UCUUAGUGCAUCCUCUUAUAGUGUUUCUAACAAUAAUCCAGCUACAUCUCCUCCUCAGUAUUGCAUCUUAUAAAAACUUGUUUUCCACGCCAUUUAACAAUCAUAGUUCAUUUUUUUUUUUCGCCAAAGCAAAUAUCAUUACCACCAAUAAAACAAAUUACAAUGUCUGGGCAACAUGCAUAACCUGCAGUGCCAAUUUCCUUCCUCAGGACAUAUCCUCAUGAUUCACAAGUCCCAUACCCUACAACUCAUACAAGUACAAAAAAUAAGACUGAACAAACUGACCAUCUAACACUGCAGCAGAAUUAACAAUUGCUUGCACUCCCCUAUAGCUUGUGCCUUAGCUCCCUACUGGUUACCAGGCUUUUUAUGACCAAUCUCCAUCUAAAUAGCAGGUCAUUGAAUCGAAAUUUCUGGCCCAGUUCCAUUGUUUUUUAGCUCAUGUUUCAGACAACUCCAUAUUGUAGCUUUGAUUUCCUGCAACACUUUGUCUGUGUCUGCUUCCCAAUCCCUUUAACAACCGCUCUUCCUGCAUUUCAUCUUCAAUUGCAGGAAAUUAAAAACUUCCAGAUAUGUUGAAUUUCAUUUGAUGAAAAUGGCGGAGCGACGAAAGAAAUUUUUUUCCAUUUGAUUGGAAAACUUUUGAACUAGAAUUUGAAGGUGGAGAUAAGGUUAGGCUAACUCAACGAGGAAGGGGUUUCUCUCUCAGAGUUGUUUUCUCGAUGGAGUUGGGCGUGUGGUUGGAUGGGAGGUUGCAAGCUCUUGAAAAUAGAUCUAGAGAAAUUGGGUUUCUGGGUAGAGAGAGGUUUAAAGAUCUCACCAUCUUGGUCUAUGCGAGGGAGAACAAGGAUGGCAGAUUCCUUUCAAUGCUUUUCAUCUUCAAACAACUGCCAAAAGGGAAAGUGAUAAUUUGUGUUCCUGCUUGUGAUGACUUUAGUGGAUGGGUUGCUUUCAGAGCAAAUAUGCAAGCUUUUUGUGGUGUUGCUAGGAAGGAGAUGACAGCAUCAACUGAUCCACCAUCGGUGUUUACACAGAAAGUGGGUGGUGCUCAACGUGUCAUGGUGAAGAAGGGAUUUGAAUUUCGUCUCAACUCCUUGAGAAACAAUGCACUGAUUGUGGAAAUCAAGAAAGGGCGCUUUGAUUGGAGUGAAAUCCCAAAGAUAUUUGGGAAAAUCCUUAGGCUGAAGAAGGAUCCGAUUCUCACCCCCAUUAAUCGUUAUAAGAUCAUGGUUGAACUUGAAAAUGAGAAGGAGGUUGAAAGAGUUCUUAUGGUUCCAAGUGUGAAGCUUCCUGGCAUCAGAUUGCAUCUGAAGAAAUGGAAACCCUGGUCUAACACCAUUAAUCCUUCGUUGUUACGUCAACAAACAAGGUGGGUUGAGCUGUUGGGCGUCCCGUUGCAUUUGUGGUCGUUUAGAGUAUUCAAGAAGAUCUGUUUUGGAUUUGGUAGCCUUGUCAAGAUUGAUGAACAAGGAGGUGAGUAUAAGGAAGUUUCACAAUACUGCGACACCCUUUCUUUUCAUUCAUGAAACGAAUAGUGUUAAAAUCCCCCCCUAAACACCAUGGGAGAUUCCAAUAACCAGCUACAUUAGAAAGCUCUUCCUAGAACUGACUUUUCUCUGCUUCCUCUGUAGGCCCAUACACAGUUGUGAACACUGCUUUGAACCCAUCAUCAGUUGACGUGUAGGCAACUGAAAGGGUGAAAGCCCCAUACAAAACAUCAUCAACUUGAAUUCUAUCACUAUUCCAUAUAAGAGUCUGCCCACCAGAUCUGCCAAUAGAAGGAGCAUGUACCCACCCAUGCGGCAUCCUUCCCCAAAGAUAAUUCACUAAGCGACCAUUAACGUCACCAAUUUUGUAUUCUUGUAAUGCUUAAAACUGGAGUAUACUUCAUAACAUUCUCCUUAGUCUACGAGCUUUAUCAAUACUUCUGGAGCCCCUCAUGUUCCAACAAGCGAAGUUAAAAGACAUCAGAAACAAAGUCCUCCCUUUGCAAACCAUCCACACCUUAUUGGAAACUUUUCUUCUUAUUCGCUCUCUCGUAAACAAGAAUUUCCUUCUGAAUUUUUGGGUACAUGCCUUCAAGAUAUCAACCGUGGAAUUGGCACCAUUAGCCACCAUGAUGCCCAUAUCAUUACCAACUCUAGCGAGUGAACUAUUCAACAUAUCUUCCCCCUCAUGUGUCUCUAGAACUCUUGAGCAACCACCAAACUCAAAAGAAGUUGCUUCUUCUGUUUCACUGUCUUCAGCCACCAUAUUCUCAUUCUCAAACGAAUCUCCCAUCUCACUAUUAGUUGCAAGCAACGAUUCCUAAUCACUCUCACCAUCAGAUUGAAACAAAUCCACUUCAUUCUCCUUUCCUCUCGAAGUCGCUCUUCGUAACAGAAUUGGUGAUGAAAUAGACCUAGUUCUUGGUGGGCCUUUAUUCAAAGGGUCCGCCCGAAAAAGAUCUCAUAAAGUUUUGGGCGAAAGAAAUAACAGGUCCAUGUCUCACUUCAAGAAACAAGUCUUCAUAUUGGGCUUGUAGCUCAUCUGCUACAAUCUCAGAUCUUAUCUGAAUACGUGGCACAUUGUCCUCCACCAAGUUAUUCAAAAUUUAAAAAGAUCCUUGCAUGUUUCUUUCCACUUCCCUAGGCAUUGGCCUUGAUCCAGUGGUCUCAACAGAUGUGUGAGCAGAACAAGAACCCCCUUUAGUGAACGCCAGAUCAUUUGCCACAUCAGCAAAGCUACGAUUCUCCUUGACUCGUCCAUACAGAGUCCGAUUCGACUCGCCUUCCUUCUCCACACCAAGAUUGAGGUUUUGAUUCUCAAACUUCGGGCAGAUUCGAAUAGGGUAUGUAACCCCAUCCCCAAUCAAGGGAAGUAUGUGUGGAAUUUUGAGUAAGUCACACCAUUUAACCUGAAUCCUAACUAUAAUUUUGCCUUGAGAGACUUUGAAAUAGAGGGAGCCAGAUAUACCUACUCCAAUCAUCAAGUGAGGUCGACAAUGAGUAGGAUUGACAGAUUUCUAGCCUCGAACUCUUGGAUGGAGCAUUAUGGGGAAUUCAAGGAGUUUUUUUGCAAAAUGCAAGCGUGGGCUUAGGCAUGGACCCCUACCAGUAAAAUUAUCAAAAAAUGUUACAAUCUAGUGUACAUUGUACCAACAACAUCCUACUGGACAAUGGUUUCAAGUUCCUUAUGCAAGGGAUAACUAGACAUGCUAAAACAUUCAUCAUGAUUACAUAUCUUAGUUAACCAAUCAGCAGCUCUGUUGGUCUCCCUAAACACAUGCUUUAUAACAAAGCCUUCCAGCUCCAUUGUUAGUGCCUGAAUUCUCUUCACCACACUUCUAUUCCUCCACGUAAGUUUUACUUUGUUUAGUAUACAGUCAACUGCCUCCUUGGAAUCAGAACAUACCUGCACUUUCUUAAUCUUCAGUUGCAAGAUCAACUUCAUCCCAUGGAGUAUUGCUUCAAGCUCAAUGCUUCCAAUAGUUAUGCCCUUUGAACCACUUGUGUAAGCCAUCACACUACCAUCACUUCUUCUCAUAAUACCAGCACAGGUCCCUCUUUCUUCUAUAAGACUCCCAUCAGUGCAUAGUUGUACAUAUUCCGUAGGAGGCGGUUCCCAUUUACACUCCCUUAUGCUAGGUUGUUUGAAAACCACACAAGCUUGCACCUUAGCACUUGCUUCUCUCUUCACCUUGUUAUCUUGGACCUGAAUCUUCAAGCUAUGGUAUCUCAUCUUCACUUCAUGAAUUGCUGUAUGUGCUACAUGCUUGUAAUCCCUGAAUUCCCCAGUAAAAAUUCUUGCAUUCCUCUCUCUCCAGAUUUCACUCACAGUUGCACACAAAAUUGUUCUACACAUGUCCUUCUUUAAGUUCUCACCUCUAACCAGUUCCAUUCUAGGUCAGCUUGAAGUGGUUUUCUUAGCAUCGUGGACAGCUACAGGUGGUCACGACAUCGUNNNNNNNNNNNNNNNNNNNNNNNNNNNNNNNNNNNNNNNNNNNNNNNNNNNNNNNNNNNNNNNNNNNNNNNNNNNNNNNNNNNNNNNNNNNNNNNNNNNNGUACACAAAACACAAACAGAGUUCUUCAUUGUUCCCCAUUUCAUUAAUCUUUCUUAAGUAUCCAAUCUUCCCUUCACAACCAACCAUGUGAUGAAAGAAUGUCGAGGUAUCAUUGUUUUAUGCCACAUAAGUCUGGUCCACCCUUGUUUUGCACUCCUUUCUCUAAGAACUGCAUAAGAAGAUUUUAUAGUGAAUGCUCCUUUAGGAUCAGGAGUCCACACAACUUCAUCACCAUCUUCAUUCUGAUGCAAUGGCACACCAGUAAUGACAUCCCACAAUCUUCUCACUUCUUCAUCAAUAUGCGGUGCUUGUUUCCAUUGCUCAUCAUUGAUCACCACACUGACUUUAACUGCCUCUCUAAUUCCACACAUUCUUUUUUACUGAGGUUGAAGUGUAUUCUCUUAAUAAACCAGUUUCUGUCCAUGGCUCAUGCCAGAAAAGAGUACUCCUUCCAUCACCAAUUAGAUGUUUUGCAAAGUACUUGCCCCACAUUCUUGGCUUCAGAAUACCCCUCCAAAUCCAGGAACUAUCAUCAGGGAUUUCCAUAGUCCAAAAGAAGUUUGAUUUAACCAGAUGAGUCUGCACCCAAUCAAUCCAUAAGGAUUUCUCUUUGUUCACAAUCAUAAACACAUACUUAGUAAUAGCUGCCUUAUUCCACGUAUGAAGAUUGAUGACUCCCAACCCCCCUUCACUUCUAGGUUUACAAAUAUCAGCCCAGGCUACCUUGCUUCUCUUCCUCUUCAUUUCGGCACCUCCCCAUAGGAAUCUGUAGCACAACUUGUUCAGUGCACUAAUAGUAGCUUUAGGAAUCAAGAAUAUUCUACACCAAUAGAUACUCAUACUGGUCAGAACUAAAUUAAUCAAAAUGACUCUUCCUGCAAAAGAGAGAUACUUUGAUCCCCAAGAGUAAAUCCUGGAAGUGACCCUCUCAAGGAGUGGGUGGCAGUCAGCUUGGGAAAGCCUGGUUGCUAGCAAAGGCACACCAAGAUAUGUAAUUGGGGGGACCACAAUUGGCAUUCCCAAAGUAUCAGCAAAAUCUUCUCUUUCUAGUGAUGAUCCUCCUCCAAAAAGAAUAGAAAAUUUUGUAGGAUUAACUCUUAAACCAGACAAUGAAUAAAAGACAUUCAAAGCAUCUUUAAGAGCCUCUGCAGUCUGAGUAUCGGCGGCGCAAAAUACCAUCAAAUCAUCAGCGAAACAUAGGUGAGUGACUAAGGGAUCUCUGCACUUCGGAUGGAGUUUGAAAGAGCCUUCCAAGUACUUCCUAUUCAGAAUAUGCCCAAACACUUCCAUUACCAUAACAAAUAGCAAUGGAGACAAUGAGUCCCCUUGUCUUAACCCUCGUUGCCCCUUGAAGAAACCUUGAGGAGAACCAUUGACCAUAACUGAGUAGUGAACAAUGUUUAUACAUGUCUGUAUCCAUUGGAUAACCAUGUCAGCAAAUCCAUAGCACUUCAUGACAGUUUCAAUAAGUUCCCAUCUUACUAGAUCAUAAGCUUUUUGAAUGUCAAUUUUCACCGUACAUCGCUUUGAGAUACCCUUCCUCUCAUACUUCCUAAGAAGUUCAUGAGACAACAUUAUAUUGUCUAUAAGGCUUCUCCCUUGGACAAACGCAGAUUGGUUUGGGCUAAUGAGUUUUGGCAGCAUACCUUUGAUCUUAUUAACUAUCACCUUAGCUAUACACUUGUAGAUAACUGUACAACAUGAGAUGGGUCUAUAGUCCUUCAUAGUAGCAGCAUUUUGUGACUUUGGGAUCAAACAAAUAAAAGUUGAGUUAAUGCCCCUAAACAUCUUCCCUGACUUAAAGAAGUUCAGUAUUGCUUUAUUGACAUCAUUCCCAACAAGAGACCAACACUUCUUGUAAAAAUGAGAGUUGAAGCCAUCGGGCCUUGGUGAUUUGCAGUCAUCAAUAUCAAACAUGGCCUCUUUAAUUUCUUCCACUGUAACAUCCAUCCCAAUCUGUUGUGCUUCAUCAGGCAUAAUAGAAUUAAAUUGAAAAUUCAACUCUACCAAGCUUCCAUUCAUUUCCUCUGCAGGUUUUGUUCCCAUGAGACUAACAAAAUACUCAACAGCUUCCUUUUGAAUAUCUUGAUCUUCAGUAAGAACAUUAUCAUUUAUAUCAGUUAAGCUCAAAAUUUUGUUUUGAGACCUUCUUGCUUUAACCCUCCGAUGGUAGUAGGCUGUAUUCUGGUCCCCAAAUUGUGAUUUAUCAGCUUUUGCUUUCUGUCUGAUUGAUGCUUCUUCUGCUUAUGAUAACUCCAUAUAAUUCUUGAUAGCAGCUUUCUCCAUUGCAGCCAAUAACAAAUCAGUAGGUUUUAUUUGUAUCUCUAAUUGGAUUCUCUCUAAAGAUGCCUCAGCUUCUGCAAUUCUAGAACUCAACUUUGACAAGUGAAUUUUACUCCAUGUCUUCAAUUUCUCCUUAAGCCUUUUCAGUUUUGUUGUCAAUCUCAUCAUUGGAUUCCCAAUUGCACUCUGCUGCCAUGAUUCCUCAAUCACCGUCUGAAAUUCAGCAUGACUAGUCCAAUGGUUAAAGAACUUAAAUGGUGACCCCACCUGAAUUGGAGUUUGUUUCCACUUGAUAAUGAUAGCACUAUGAUCUGAGAUUCCCUGUGUAAGCAUGUCAGCAAAAGAUUGAUCAAAUGCAUUAGCCCAUUUAUCAUUAAUCAAACACCUAUCAAUACGAGUCAAAGUUCUUCUCCUUUCAUCAAUGCUUCUAUUAGACCAUGUAUAGAAACGCCCUGUAGCAGGUAUAUCAUAAAGAUUAGCUUCCAUUAGACAGUCACUGAAGUCCCUUACAUCACAAGGCUGCAAAGGAUUACCUCCCACUUUCUCAGUAAGGUCUUUGCAGGUAUUAAAAUCACCAAACAGGGCCCAUGGUAAAGAAAUAUUUGUUGCUAGAGAACAAAUGUACUGCCAUAAUUCUCUUUUCUCCCUUCGGGCAUUACUAGCGUAUACACAAGUAAGAAGGAACUGUAUGUUAUCAGCUAUAACCCUUACACCAAGAUGGAUGGAUUGUUUCUGUAUAUUAUGAAUUUGUACAUCUAAAAUAUUAGAUUCCCCAAAAACCAAAAUUCUAGCUCUAUUGUGGCCUGAGCUAUUAUGACAGAAAUUCCAAUUAUUCCCUAGUCUAUUCAAAAUAGAGUUAGGAUUACCUCCCCAUACAUUAGUUUCCACCAGAGAAUGAGGCUGAGAUGUUGCAUGUGUACUAAAGACACUAUUCCGGCUACUUUACCAACAGUAUUCAUUCCACGGAUAUUCCAGGCACCUAUCUGUGUACUCAUCUUCUUCCUUUUCGGUUUGCAUAUUCCUUUCCCAUGUCUUUGGGCUUUUCAAAUGUAAAGUUUUGUCCCCUUGCUGCACUUCUAGCCCUUGUAACUGGUUUUGAUAAUUUCUGCUUCUCUUGUUCCGUAAGGUGGUAUUUGUUGCCAGUAGUCAUCUGAUGCAUGAGGUCAUCUUUCUUUGAUUUCAUUUGUCGCAUCACACCAGGUUCCAUUUCAACUUCACUACUAUCCUCCCCAUCAUCUGCCUCUGACAAAUUUGAAUAUUCUUGUUCAACAAUACCUUUGCCUUUAGAACUCACUCUAUUGCUCUUUUCUUUCUCUUGUGCACCUCUACUAUUACUUAUAUUCUUCAUCUCUUCUUUUUCUGGUUGUGUUUGGGCCAUUUUCGGAGUUGUGUGCUCCAAAUUCACAUCUUGCUGCAUCUCCCCUUGCUCUAAUUCACCUUGUGUUUCUAAAACUGUUUCCUCUUCCUCAACAUCUCCAAGAACCUGGAAUUUGUUGAGUCCCACAACUGAUUGGCCUGCUUUAGUAGAAGUUUCUCCUCCUCUGUGUCUACUGUUCUCCCCAUUCUUGUGAACAAUCUCCUCCUGGUUCUUAGGUCUCGAUCUUCUCUGCUUCGGUUUUGUCCACAUCUUACCAAGGUUCCCACCUUGAUAAUUUUCAGAACGCACAGUGGUACUCUUCAUAUUGUUGUUCUUCUGAUUCGCCUUCUUCUUCUCCUCAACUAUCUUGUUAUUUUCACAGCUCCCACUAGAAUGGCCAAAGACGUUUGCACUCAGACACAUCAAUGGCUUCCAUGUGUAUUCCAAUUGAACAGUAACGAUUUUUUUUGCACUCACUCUAAAUGGAAUCACAGUAGGCAACUCUUUUUCAGCUUUCACUUCCACACAAAUUCUAGCAUAAGACAACAUAUUCUUAGCUUCCGUCAUCUUAUCCAUGAACAAUGGCUUUCCAAUCAUGCUCCCCAAUCUACUAAAGCCUUUAAUCCAUAAAUUCUUUGGAACAUUUGACAUUUUCACCCACAAAGGUACAGAUCUGAUUGCUCCCUUGUUCUCUUCAACGUCUCUAGUUAAUUUUCUCACAACAAAAAGCUUCCCUGAGAUAUACACAGAUCCCAUCUGUAGAGCUUCCUCUUUAUCUUCAUCACUUGCAAAGCUGAAAUAGAACAUAUCUCCAUCUAGUGCAACGUCAACCUGGCCUUUCAAAUUCCACUUCUUUAACAUUGCUUCCUUUACCAUCAUGAACGGCAAUUUCUUAUCAAGAAAGAACCCUACCAAUUUCUCCUCCCAUUCCUUGGCUCCCUCAAUAAGAACCUCCUCUUCAAUUUCUAGAACUCCUUCCUUUGUCUCAACAGUUACAAAAUUUAAUUCUUCGUUUCCUGCUGAAGGGGGUGGGUCUUUAAGAAGUGAGCACCAUGCCUUCUUUGGAACUUCUAUGGCUUCCUCUGCUGCUUCCUCAGUCAUAUUCGCAAGCACUACCAAAUCCUUGCACAUUCCAUCAACAUGUUGCUCUUGGUUACCCACUUGUUUAUCUUCUUUCAAAAUAACAGCUUGGGGUUGUUGUUCUGCAUUUAGUUCAUUUAAAGAUUUCAAUUCCAUCAAGAUGGGGUUUUCUUGAACAUCAGAUCUGUUCAUAUUGUUAACUUCUGGUGAAGGAAGAAGUAAAGGGGUUUGUUGGUUAGAGGUUCGGAGUGGACAGGUAUGGGUUUCUUCACCAUGGGUGUUAAAGGUGGAGGAGAGGGAGGUCAAAAGAGGUUCAGGCUGGUCGGAAACCGCCAUCCCCACCCCGAAGGGGGGAGGAGCGAUAAGAAAAUUACCAAAAAAAGGAGUUUUUUGGUAUGGUGGAUGUCUUUUUAGGAUAAGGUUUUCUAAAAAGGCCUGUUUGAGGAUCAUACGAUCAGUACAACAACUUAAGAGAAGUUACCGCAGCAGAGCGCGUUGUUGGAUAUUCUCUUGUGAAUAUGAGAUGCUUUGGGAGUUCAAGGAGUUGGGUCUUGGGUUUCAUUUCUCUGAUCACCGAAUGUUGGUUCUGCAAAAUUGCAAUCACUUAGGUGGCCCUAGGACAUUUAAGUUUGAGAUGGCAUGGCUGGAGAAAGGUUCAUUAAUACAGUGCAUGAAACAUUGGUGGGGAGAGAUGGAUGUUAGGGGAAGACUGGGUUUUGUCAUGUUCAAGAAGCUCCAAAUUCUAAAAUUUAAAAUCAUUGAGUAGAAAAAGGCCAAUGUUGGCAGGUUUGAAGUCAGAGUUAAAGAAUGUCAGCUCUGGACUUACUUGAGCACAAGGAAGAAGUGUCAAAUCUCGAUGAAGCUGAAAUGGCAGAAAAAGAGGAGUGCAUCAGGAAGUUAAACGAUGCAUUGAAUAGUGAAGAUAGGUUCUGGAGUUCUAGAGCAAAACUCAAGUUUGCUAGAGACAGUGAAAAAUGCACGAGCUUUCUUCAUAAAGUAGCCAAUGCAAGGUAUAGUAACAUAUGCAUAUCGGUUCUGAAAGCGGGAGAGCACCUUACUCAAGACCAAGCCUGCAUUGAAAAACAUAUUGUAUACUAUUAUGAACAACUCUAUACUGAAGAUUUCUGUUCUAGACCACAUAUUAAUGAGGUGCAGUGCCAAACUCUGAAUGUUUCUGAUGCUGAAUGGUUGGAGAGAGAGAUCAGUAGUGAAGAAGUUAAGAAUGCCAUAAAUAGUUUGGAGGCUGAAAAGUCUCCUGGCCCUGAAGGUUAUCCUUUAGCAAUCUACACACUUUGUUGGGAAUUCAUGCAAGAGGAUAUCAUGGUUGUAGUAAAGGAGCUCUAUGAUAAUGAUUUCAUCAAUUGGCGUCUGAAUAACACUUUUGUGCCUCUCAUUACCAAAUGUCCUGGUGCCAUUGAUAUAUCUGAUUUUCGUCCUAUGAGUUUGCUUGGAGGGGUGUAUAAAAUUUUGGCCAAGACCCUUUCUAUUCGGUUUAAGACUGUGCUGCCAAAACUGGUUAGCAAUUGUCAAGGUGCAGCUGUAGAAGGUCGUCAGAUUUUAGACGGGGUGUUAAUUGCGAAUGAAUUGAUUGAUAGCAGAAGAAGAGAUGGUCUCCCAGGUCUUGUGUCUAAGAUGGAUUUUAGAAAGGCUUUCGACUAUGUGAAUUGGUCUUUCUUGGACUACUUACAGCAAAGAUAUGGUUUUGGAGUUAAAUGGCCUCGAUGGAUCAUUGCAUGCAUUUGACUGCAUACUUGUCUAUCCUAGUGUAUGGUACUCCAAAAGGGCAUUUCAGAACUCAUAAAGGACUGCGCCAAGGAGAUCCAUUAUCCCCACUUCUUUUUGUUUUGGUGACAAAGGCUUUGACAAGGAUGGUGUGGCAACAACAGGAUAGAGGUCGUAUUGUUGGUUUUUGCCCAACCCCUAGCAGCCAAGCAAUCCCUAUUCUGCAGUACGCUGACGAUACCUUAGUGUUCUUAGACUUCAACCAAGAGUAGAUAAGGUAUAUGAAGGCUAUUUUUCUUUUGUUCGGAGUGGUUUCUGGGUUGAGUGUUAACUUUGCGAAGAGUACAAUUUAUGGUGUCAAUGUGAGCGAUGAUUUAUCUAUGGUUGCAUCGUCAUGGGGUUGCCGAACUGGAAAUUUCUCAGCCACUUACCUGGGCCUGCCACUUGCUGCACCUUUUAAGAGCACAACGGUUUGGGCAGAGGUUUUAGAAAGAGUCAAGAAAAGACUAGCAACAUGGCGGCGUAAGUACUUGACUGCAGGGGCUCGUAUUAUCCUUUUAAAUUCAACAUUAGCAAGUCUCCCCAUCAACUUUCUAUUGUUGUUGUAUGUUCCAUCAAGUGUUGCAAACUCAACUGAAAUGUGCAUGAGGCAAUUUCUUUAGGGUUCCCAAGGUCCCACGCAUAAAUACCAUCUUGUCUCAUGAGAGAGUUUGUAUGCCAAAGCAGCUGGGAGGGCUGGGUUUAAGGAAGAUUAAGGAAGUGAAUGUUUCAUUGCUUGGAAAAUGGUUAUGGAGGUUGGCAGACGAUGAAGAGGGACUAUGGAAGUCAGUUAUUAAGGCCAAAUAUUCAAUGGAGCCAAUGGGAUGGUAUACUAGUCGUCAGUCCAACACAUAUGGCUGCUCAUUAUGGAAGGGGAUAAUGAACUGCAAGAAAAUUUUCAAUGCAGAAAUCUCGUUCAAGUUGGGCAGUGGUGUGAGGAUCAAAUUUUGGGAGGACUUAUGGUGUAGCAGGAGGCCCUUGAAGAUUUUAUUCCCAGAUAUCUAUCACAUUGCUACACUGAAAACUGGGACUGUUAUGCAGCAUGUUAAUCUAACCGGGAGUGGUUACGAAUGGGAUCUACACUUUAGAUGAAAUGUCUUUGACAGGGAACUGGAACAAGCCUCUCAACUAGUGGACUUAAUUGCACAACAGUCUGUCAAUUCCGAAUCUGAUAGGAGACUAUCGAUGGGUAAAGAUGUGUUAUACAAGCCAAAGUCCAUGUAUGCUAGGAUGAAGGACAGUAGAAUUCAGUAGAAUCAGUUGGCUUUUUACGGUUUUCCUACGUCUAAAGUCUGGAAUCCGAAAGUGCCAACUGAAGUCUCAUUCUUCAUGUGGGUGCUCACCUGCGGAAGGGUGCUGACUGUAGACAAUCUGCAGAGGAGGGGUGUGAUCAUUGUAAACAGGUGUAGUAUGUGUUGUGUUGAUGCUGAGUCAAUCGAUCACUUAUUCAGAUCAUGUAGGGUGGCUAGAGAUGUUUGGGACUUCUUUAUAAAUGAGUUCAACAGUAGGGUGGACAGAGACCAGGGAUUGUCACAUAUGUUAUGCAAUUGGAAGUGCACAGACUUGUCUAGAGUGGGCAGAAUGGUUUGGAAGGUGUUGUUUCAUGCAAUAUGCUGGCUUGGGGCAUUUGGAAUGAAAGGAAUAGAAGAGUUUUUGAGGGGUCAAGCAGAGAUUUUGGGCAGAUUAUCAACGAUGUAAAGAUGUUGACUUGGCACUAGACCUUCUUCAGACCAUCCAUGGGUGGGAUUAGACUAGAUAAUGUUGAGAUGGGAGGACAUUAUAUUUCUUGUACAUUGAGUGUUCUUUAUCUUGUACUAUGGGCUAGUGUGAACCUCUCACAUUUUUUAAUGAAAUUGUGUUUUAGUGGUAAAAAAAAAAAAUUGUUGAUUGACAAUCUUAUUUUGUAGAAACAAAAAAUUUACAAGAUUCGCAUUUGUCAAAUAAUUGUUUAUGCAAUGUAAAGCCUCCUUCAAUAGUGCUUUAAAGAUCACCCCGGAAGACAACUUGUAACUAUCUAAUAGCUAUUUUGGGUUCACAUUAUUCACAUGAGGGAGAAUGUUUGGGCUUGAAACAAUCAAAAUGCAUACUCUAGCCUGAAAUAAUUGGAUUCAGUCAAUAAAGUCUCAAUUAUGAAUAAUGUCAUGGAGAAGAAAUAUAGACAAAGUGCAAUAUGCGUAAACAUGGAAGCAGGUUACCGUGUAUUCUGAAGUCAAACCCAUAAAGAAGAGAACUUACUUGUAAGUAGGUCAUAUAAGGACUUGCAUUCACAACUCUUAAUGCUCUAUAUACUUCGAAAGGAUCUGCAAAUGUUCGACGCUCAAAACGUGGAGUUAAAACAAUCUGAACUAUAUCUCCAGCCAUGAUGUCUUCUUUUGCCUGAACUACAGCCUUUUUGUAUGCUUCACUUGUAAUACUGGACUUCUUCCACUAAGAAGCAAAUUGGCGAGUAUGCAACAGCAAGUCACCCGUGGCGAACCUUGUACUGCAUCAGACAGUUCAAACUUCAAAUGUACAGUGAAAACGAGUAUACCUAAAGUGUUAUGAUCUUUUAAUAGUCAGAUGUCUAUCACAUGAUGUUAUACUUGAUAGACUCUUACGAUUGCCACUGAAAGUGCUAAAGUUCAUUCAUAUGCUUACCUACCUCAUGGUACACCUUAAUUACUGGUCCUAAAUUUUGUACAUUCAUUUCAAACAAUCAACAGUUAUUGAAGUUAAAACUUGUGGUUAGAGUAAACUACAAUGAAUGUUAUCAAUAUAAUGGAUAAAAAAGAAACCUAUAAAAAUUUUAUUUUAUUGCAAGAUAUAAUAAUCUUAUUGGCACAAUGAUUAAAAUUAGUUAGUAAUGAGCAAGGGAUAGUACCUCAGAUAGAUAUAAAUACCUAUGUUGAUUAAACUGAUUUCAUAUUUCUGACAACAUAAAAUGCUUCUAUACAUCAUUAUUUUUAAUAAUGGUCGUUUCCCACAAUUCAGUAGUCUCGUCGUCAAUUUAACUCUACCCAACUGCGUAUGAUAAAACCAAAUUAAACUAAAAAAUUAAGUUGCAUGAGCAAUGUUAGAUGCAUUUGCAUGAAGUUGUUCAAAAGUCCUCUCACAACUGACGGAUGGAUUUCAUUUAUACGUGUUCGCGCAUCCGAUACGGGUUCGAUAUUCUUUCUUAAUCUGGAUUAGACAUGUUACAUAGAUGUUUAACUAACCAGUCUGAAAAUGUUGACUUUGGAAUUAUCUUGAUAUAUGGGCAUGUAAUUAAAAAUAUUAUCUGUUGAAAAGUGCUUUGAAGUUCAAAUUUCAACUUAUCAUAAACCCCAACCUUCCAAUGAGUACAAACUCAGGAUCUUGACUGUUAACAUUACGAAGUACUUAAACUACCAUUGCAUCCUAAUGCCAAUAACACGCCUAUUUUUCCCAAAUUUAAUAAUUUGAAAUAAUAGUUAUAAUACUAUGUAGAAAAGGAUUUAAAAUUUGUUUAUAAAACUAUUAUGCAUACAACCUUAGACUGGAAUGAACUUAUCAUGUGCAAUACCAGAGGAAUAACAUACGUAAAAUUUGUCUCUAUAAGCUGAAAUGCAAUAGAUCGGCCACAGAGUAAAUGUCCAUCAGACUAUGUCUUAGUGCAUAGUGAACGUGACAUUAUGCUAGAUGUCAAAACUAUACUAAAAACAUGAAGAUGCUGAAGGAAGGGCUCAAACCUUCGACCUUGUGCUUUAAAAGCCACAUGCUCUAACUAAUUGAGCUACUUCAGCUAAUUAUGCAUCCCUAUGCUAAAUGUCAAACCUUGUUAUCAACUAUUCACAUUAUAGAGCAAUUUUUGUUCAAGUGUCUCGCAAAAUUCACAAGAAAAAAGAAAAGAGAGUUCCAACCACACAAGUACAAAAAAAAGAAUUAAAAAAAAACCAUAAUAGUAGAAUAAAAUCUAAGUUUUAGAAGUUAGUGGUAGAAUAUGUUAGGCAACUGGCAUAGUGCAUGGGGAAAAGAUGUUAUGUUUUAAUCUAAUAUUGUCAAAAACACCAUAUAGCACCGACCAAACAUCAGCGUACUGAAAUGAGCAUUCAUAAAGUAAUAAUAAGUUCACUACAAUACCCUGAAUAGAAAUUGAACUUAUCACUACCAUGUUUAGAUGUCUUUUUGCUACCGCAAUUAAACACUUCCAUGGUACCAAAUGUAAAAGAAAGAUAACCACAAAUGGUAGUCACUCAAUGAUAUCAUCAUAAACUCUUAUCAAUAUUUGCAAAAGGAGCAAUUUUUUGAGUUGGGAUUUGACAUGAUUUGAAUUUUUUUUUCUUAACAUUGUUUUUUAGUGCUCUCCUUUGAACUGAAAAUAAUUAAGAAUAAAAAAUAUCUUUAUUAUGUUGAUACAUGCCAUUGGUCAUCAACGCAAGUAAUAAACAUCCUUAUAGCAUCUCUAUAAUAGGCCAUGUAGCCAUAGUAGAAAUGGGUAUGUAAGCUGAUUAUGGUAAUUGGAAUAUGAUAAACUUUAAGCUACAUAUAAAUGGUUUUUAACUACAUGAUUAUUCCAAGCCCAUAUAGGCAACAUUUAUGAGAAAUGAAGAAUAAACAAAAUAAAAAAUGAGCGACAUUUUUUUGAAAAGACAGAACAUUUUGAAGGUUAAAAAGAUAGAAAGAAACCUUGAGCUCAAUGCUAAUGUAAUCAGCUUUGAGUGCCAUUGCUACGAUAAGUGCAUUCGUUCAUGAAUUUUUAUAAUUCACUUACAAACUAUCAUCCCAUUUUGUCCUGUAACAAACUGUUAGAUAUUAGGUCGUUAUAGAAGGUUGAACCUUUUAUACGAAAGAGGAUCAGAAUACCAAAUAAGUAAUACUGGAGUUUACAAGGAAAACAAGAGGGAGAGAGAUGCAAUGCUUAUUCAGUAAGAAUGACUUAUUCUUAGCCAUAGCUAUAACUGAAAGGAAUUAAACCUAGAAUAUAGAAGAAUGAAUAUGUGAACACGAGGAUUCCAUUUUUACUUUAUCUGAUUAAAAAGGAGUUUGAACUAUGCACCUGAAACAGAUUGUAAAUAGUAAUAAACAUGCGGCAACAUGCAGAGUAGCUGUGGUUAAUAAUAAAACAAGAAAUAAGCUUUUGUAAUGACCUUAUCCCAUUGGAUCGUUUUCGACAUAUUCAAUAUAAUUAGGUACUUAAAAUAGCAAUUUUGUAUAAAAAUAGAGAAAAACUAAGAUGUGAUGGUGUUUCUCCUGCCAAGAUAACACUUGCAUGUCGUUGUAAGCCUAUAGAUUUCAAUAACCAUUCACCAUUUUUGGAAUUUAUGGCAGAUAAAGUUACAAAGAUAGCGAAAAAAGUUUCAACAGAUUAGAUUGCUAAAUAAAAGGUACCUGAGCAUACAAUUCUGCAUACUUGUAUAUGGGACCCUCAAACAAGUAGAUAUAACUUCUGAGAAGAAAUCCAGUAUUUGACGAAAUAGUAAAAUAAAAAUAAAUCGCUAUUACCAUUAGCACAAUAUACUGUCUCAAUUUAACGACAUGGCCAUGAUCGGUUUAGGUGUAGAAUUUUAACAACUUCCAGAUUGUUUCUGACUUUUCACUUGAUAGGUCUUUUCAUGGUAUCACAGGCUGGCAUAUUCACAUGUGUGGCUUCUUUGACAGUAUUGGCCACGACAGCAAUAACAAUGACAGUUGCCUCAUUCGUUCUUAGAUUAAGAAGCACACUGUUUAAACUUGCAAUUGUGUAGGUUCACUCUUGGAUUAAGAAGCACACUGUUUAAGCUUGCAAUUUUGCAGGUUCUUGAAUUCCACCGUGAAUUUGUAUAAUUGAUUUUUUCGUAUUAUAUUACCUUAAAGUUUAAGUUCUAGAAAAGCCAACAAAUUUAUGAUUUAUUGUAGGUGCCUCUUCCCCAAAUACUUUGGGGAAAUGACUUUAAUUGUAAGUUCUAGAAAACAGGUUUCGUUGACAAUACUUUUUUUUUCUUCUGAAAUCGAGCUCCCCUUCCCCGCUCUAUAAAUUCUCUUAAAGUUUCUCUAGUUAUUCACUGUCUGAUCUCUAUAUUUAGGUUCGCCCCAUAAUUUUCUACAAGUUUUUUAAUAUAACUUUUUUUCUUAAAAAAGAGAUGAUUAAGUUUUUAAGUACUUAUGCAUGGAUUACAUGAUACCUUUUGUAAUCUUUAUCAGGAAUAUACCUUUUUAAGUAUAUUCCUGAUAAAAAGUAGCCACUGGGAGGAAUGUAAUAAUUAAGAUUUAAAAAAUACUUGUAUGCUAAGAAACACGAUGGAAUUCAAGUCAAUUGUCUUUCUUUCCAUAUUACUUAAUUGCAAUGGUAAACAUAUGCCAGAUUAAUCUUACAUUGAAACAUGCAUAGAAAAAGGCAGGUCUGCACCAGCCACAGGCCAGGUAUUUGUUCUAUGUUGUAGGGAAAAAAUGAAAACAAAUUAAAGUCAAUUUCUUGGCAGCCAUUACAAAGUACUAUUGACAAAAGUUGGCAAUAGCUCCGAAAAACCACACCAUGUUAAGCAAAAAAAAAAAAAAAAAAAAUUGUUUCUCGUGCCUGAUGGUUGAUUUAUUUUUUUAGGGAAAUUUAAACCAGGUCUCACUUGGUCAAGUGGGUUCCAAGUCGUGGCAACUUGACAAAGUAUUAUAUGACUUCCUCAACUCAUAUAACAAAUAAGCUUUCUACCUCUAGGAUUAUAAACAACAUGCCUUUAUUUCUUUUACUUGCGUAGAACUACCUUACCUAAGGCUAUCUAAAGUUAUUAGACACAGCUAAUAUAUGCAUAAAAAAGGAUACACACCUCUGUUCCAAGCAAUGCCCAUUGCCAUAAAAAAGGAUACACACCCUAUUUAGUGGUGAAGAUUAAGCCAUCACCUAAAAACAAGAUCAAAAUUAUUCGAUUAAAGAUGUAUUUAAUUGGAACACAACCAAAUGACGCAAACAAAAUAAAGAAAGACUUAAAAGAUUUAUUAUCUGGAGUUUUGAAUAAUUUCCUGCAACUCUUUCAAAGUCUUCCCCCAAAACAGAGGACAUAUCACCCGUUACAUGAUUAAACGUAAUUGAAUGAUCACGGAAAUAUAUUGAUUAUCUUACAAGAAUGGGUGAAUUUGUACUAUUUUUAUCUCUCGAACGGGUGAUAAUCAAGUAUACUGAUUGUCUGCUUUGAUAAUGAUCCUAUAAUCUUUGCAACUUGUAUUGGUUAGCUACUUACUCGGGAUCGCACGGAUCAUAUAUGUAAGAUCUGCUAGGAAAAUAAAGUAUAGUAGUCAGUAAAACAAAGUUGUUUAAAGCUUCAAUAGAGUCAACCCAACGGGCAAGGGAAAAAAUAGGAUGAAAUAGCUAAUCAAAGUACUUGAGGGUUAUGGCCAUCUUUUUUCCUCUCGUAAUGUUUCUACAAUAACGAAAUGGAAAAAUGUACUUAACAAUUUAUAUGAAAUAUUAUGCCUAAGACAUCUGGGUUAUUGAUUAUUCAUAUAUCACAACAACACAAAUGCUCAAAGCUAAUUGUGUUAUUGCUCACAGUUAGCUAUCUAGGGCCAUAGUUCUAUGAGUUUUGUUCGGACAAAUAGAAUCCACAAGCAAGAGAAGAUGAGCUAUACAAUAUUGUUGCAAUGCAACACAAGUAUGAUUAGCAAUUUGUUUCUCUGAUGUUGUCAGUACCUUUGAUUGUGAUCUAUCAUUUCACAACCAUCCAGGAUUAGACAGUCCAAGUACCAGAAUUGCCUCCAGAUAUCACACAGGCAACACCAAGUAAGAGAUUUAGUACUUUGUACUAUUGAACUCAACAUUACCAUGUUGACAUGUAUAUCUACCAUAAAUGGCAGUCAGUCAGUGACAUCAUCAACAACCCUUAUCAAGAUAUGCAAAAGAAGCAAUUUCUUAAAUUGGAAUUUGACAUGAUUUGAAUUUCCUUUUUCUUAACCUUGUCUUUCAGUGCUCUUCCUUGAUCUGAAAAUAAUUAAAAACCAAAAAUAUCUUUAUUAUGUUGAUACAUGUCACUGGCAACAUUCUUAACAUCUCUAUAAAAAGGUCUUUGACUGUAUGAUUAUUCCAAGCUUAUAUAAGUAACAACAUUUAUGAGAAAUGAAGAAUAAAUAUAACCAAAAAUUUAUUGACAACUCUCUGAAAAGGCAGAACAUGUUGAAGGAUAAAAAGAUAGAAAGAAACCUUGAGCUCAAUGUCAAUGUAAUCAGCUUAGAUUUCCAUUCGUACAGUAAGUGCAUUUGUUUAUGAAUUCUUAUAACCUUUUUACAGACCAUCGUCCCAUUUUGUCCUGGAACAAACUGUUAGCUAUAAUUUUUAAACUGAAAGGGAUCAGAUAAGUAAUACAUUAAUACUUGAGGUCCAGAAGAUAAAAAAAGAGGGAGAGGGAUGCAAUGUUAAUCAGUAACAAUGACUUGUUGUUAACCAGUGCUAUGCUUGAAAAGAGUUAAACCUAGGAUAAAAGAAUAGUACAUAUAUAUGUUUUUAGUAAUCUGAUUGAAAAGAGUUUCCACUAUGAACCUGAAACGGAUUGUAAAUAGCAAUAAACACACGACAACAAGCAGAGCAGCUGUAGUUAAUAAUAAAACAGGAAAUAAGUUUUUAGUAAUGACCUUAUCCCAUUGGAUUGUUUUAGCAUAUUAAAUAUAUUUAGGCACUUAAAAUAGCCAUUUGGUAUCAAAGUGAAAAGCUGACAUGUGAUAUAUGAUGGUGUCUCUCCUGGCAAGGUAGCACUUGUUGUUUGUCUCUGUAAGAAUACAUAGUUCAUUAACCAUUCACCAUAUGACAUUUCUUCACAUGCUAUUAUACUUCUAAAAACCACGAGAAAAUCAUAAUAUAUUUCGGAAUACAUUACAUAUCAUAGAGAUGUAAGUCUUAUAAUAGUGAAAGUACUUAACCUAAAAUGGAUUUUCUUCAGGUAGUUUGUUAUUAUAGGAAGUUAUGGAACUAUGUACAUAGGAGUUCUUCGUAUAGAUGUGAAUAUUAGUGAAGGUACUUAAUCUAAUGGAAAAAAGUGCUUCGAAGAGUUUCAUAGUUGAGUGUGAAGUUUUGAGAGAAGUUCGACAUAGAAAUAUGUUCAAGAUCUUGACUUUCUCCUCCAUGCUUUUAUCAUCUUGACUUUUUAUUUUAGUUGAAUUCUUUUCAUCCAACUAUCCAAGGUAACAGAUAAUGGAAUAUAUAAAAAUCAUGUGAGCUUUUACUGUUAUCUUGGUUAUUAAUGUCAAACACCAAUAGUUAAUUUUUAUUGUAGCUGAGUGUUAUUUUCUUAUGAUCUUGACUGACAACUAUCCAAGGUAAUGAUUUCAAAGUUCUAAUAUUUGAGUACAUGCCCAAUGGAAGUGUUGAGAUUUGUUGCAUUCUGCUUCAAUGGAAGGAGAAGAGAGAGUUUAUAGAGACAUGAAAAGAGGGAUUUUGUUAAAGACAAACUAUGGAGAUUUUAUACAGUAGUAGUUAACCAUGGAAACACCAAUCUACUCUAAGUGGUAGAAAGUACCUUAUUAUGAGCUUAAAGCCUUAAACCAAUCUGACAACUGAAAUAUUGCUUCUUUACACCUCCGUACAACUUAUCUCCAAAAGUCUAAAAUAGUCUGCAGUCACAAAUGAACAAAAGAUUUGUUAAGAUGGGUGUAAGCUAACACAGUUUUACCAUUCAGUACAAAGUGUCUUAUUUAUUAGCCGACUUUCUUAAAAACCUCUCAUCAAAUCUCUAGCAUGUCCCUAAAAUGUCCUAAAUUAUAAAGCAGUUCAAGCAAGUUAUUAUAUCAAACAUCAGGUAAACUCCUUAAAUCAUUUGAUAAAGCAGUCCCUAAGAUGUCAUAAAUUGGAAUAAUGCCAGGUAUUCUACGCCCCGCUUCAGUUAUAGCCAGAGGGUACAGUGGCAUUCCUGGACAUGCCAUUGCAGUUAUAUUCAAUGGAUCCACAUACUUCGGGUGCUGACCACAUAUAAAAUUUGUUGUACACCAAGACACUUGUACCAAUUAAGUAAAGAUACUACAAAUGAGAUGAGUGUCAUAUGUACCUGGAGGUCCUGAAUUUCAUAUUAUUAUAAUGGAAAUACUUCAAGUACUAACAGACAUCCAUCACAGACUACUAAGUUUCCUUUGUUUUCUGGUAUCUUGUUUCAUUGAAAUUAUAUUACCGUGUAGUAAAGUAAAAUAAGUAGUAGUAGUGUUGUGGACUUGUGACCUCUGGGAAUUGGCUGAGGGAUUUUGACAUAUUUAUUGGGCAUUCACCUUCCUUAAGCAAAAUUUAAUAUUGAACAGACUCCCUACGUUUAAAUCGGUGAUAGACCUGUUUUUACUUUUUCUUUUCUUUGUUUUGAAUGGCAAGCCUGUUUUAAUUAGAUCAGUAACUCACUAUUUUCUUUUUAACUAAAACGGAAUAUUCGAUCUUACCAGCAGUCCAGCCUGUGCGAGAGCCAUUGCUAUUGGACGUCUCCAAUGGCGACGAGUAUCACACAAGAUUAUGUUCUGGUUUGGUGUGAGACAUACAUCCAAAUUGUAUUACUCAAUUACUUCUCUUAAUGUCUUCUUCAUUUUCCACCUGAUACGAUUGUGGAUCGGAUCUCGGGUAAAUCAGGACCAUCCAAAGAAACUUAAAUAUGGACCCAAAGAGAAAUUUAAUCAAUGUAGUUGAUUUGGGCCAAUUAUUUUCUUUUUCAAUAUGCAUAAAAUUUCAAUAGAUUCAACUCAAAGCAUGAAAAUAUCAUAAUCAAAAGGAAUUCACACACUUCAACAAAUUUUUUGUCCAAUAUACCCCUACCACAUAUUAUUUGACUAAACCCCCCAAAUUUAAGUAACAGAAGUUCAUUAACAAUCGUUAACCUCCGUUAACGGAACAUAUAUUUGUGAAAACCCCCCGAUAGUUAAAAGUUUAAAACAAAAGUAAAAUCAACUCUGACCUACCUGGUCAGUUAAAUUUUAAGUGUUUUUUUUUUUUUUUUUUUUUUUUUUUUUUUUUUACUUUUCAGGGGUGUUUAGGCAAAUAGGGAGUUAACAUGUGUUAGUAAACUUCUGUUAAUGAUAAAUUAGGGGGUUUCCUCAAAUAUGAGGGGUCAGGGGUAAACUGGGCAAUACAAGGUCUAAUUUGGGGGGUUUGGGGGUUAACGCCAAAAAUGGACAAAUGAGGGGGUUCUUGCCAAGAGUGACCAAAACCUGGGGGGUUAUCGCCAAUUUUCCCGACAAUAAAAGAAAAAAUAAUUUAAGAUUUUCUGGUUUCUUGAGAGAAAGACGGAGAAUUUAAGGUUUGGAAAAAGAUAAUUUAAGGUUUUUGGGUCGAUGUCUAUAUAGCAUACAUAAUUCAGCAAUGACACUUACAAAAGAUGAUAUCCAACAAUAAAACACCUGAUAAUUGUACUGAGGUUAUGCUUUUAGAGUUUUAUUGGUACAACAAUCGACUAAAGAACCAUCAAUGAUACAUAUAAAAAUAAUACUAAGAAAGCAAACUCAGAAAGGAGGAAGUAAUGAAAAUUACAUGAAAACAGAUUGACUACACAUUUAUAGCAAAGACGAAGGACUAUUAAUCAAUUCCAUUAGCUAGCCAGUUAAAUCUUAAUGACAAAUGCAGAAAUCACAACCAAACAAUUAAAAAAUAAUUUAAAUCAAAACCAACAGUAGUAGCAAUACUAUUCAGAACAAUAAUAAAUCAACAACAAACAAAAGGGGUUGCUCUAAACUAUUAAUCAAAACCAUAAGCAGAGAGAGAGAUUGUUACCAGCCACGAAACGUUUGUGAAGAUUAAUUGAUAGCAACGGAUGAUGAGUUUGGAAUUCUUAGGUUUUGAAUGAAUGAGAGACUUUACCAAAAAAAUGAAUGGGAGAAGAAAGAAUUUUGUUCAUACGAAUUAUGGUUUUGGCAAUGUAAUCUGGUUAAUCUCUAUACAGUAUCUCUAUACAGUUGUGGAUCGGAUCUCGGGUAAAUCAGGACCGUCCAAAGAAACUUAAAUAUGGACCCAAAGAAAAAUUUAAUCCAUGUAGUUGAUUUGGGCCAAUUAUUUUCUUUUUCAAUAUGCAUAAAAUUUCAAUAGAUUCAACUCAAAGCAUGAAAAUAUCAUAAUCAAAAGGAAUUCAUACACGUAACAAAAACUGAUGAAACAAACAAAACAGAACAAAGCAAGAUCAUAUCAUAUUAAUAUCAAAAUUAGUCAAAAACCCAUUAAUUAAUACAAGAAAAGAAGAAUCAAACUAUGUUUAUGAAAGAAAAGAAUUGAGGAUUCGUUAGAGAAAUAGGCAGAUGCAGUGUUGAACAUUUUCUGAGUCAGCUUUUUGUGUCGGACGUAGAGUUAUUAGUGAUGGCAGAGCUUCAUUAGGUGAUGAGACAAUAGAAGGUCUUCUUUGUGUGGAAAAUUGUUUGCAGGUUGAGUUUAAAUUAUAGAAUAAGUUCAAUGUAAAUAAAUGUAAUAACAUCUUACAUAAUUAUGAAAUUUUUGUUAUCUUAUAUAAUUUUAUGAAUUUUUUAAAUACUAAUAUUAUUUUGGGUUUUUAAUUUUAGGCUAUAUAAUUCGGUUAUUGAGGCUGGUUGGAAUGUAGUAUUUUUUUUUUUUUUUGUGUACUGGUAAUUAGAUUGUAAACUUAACUUCUACUUUUUAUUUAUAUUCUUUUACCAUGAUGAAUGGAACUUUAUGUAAAUAAUAUUUCUUUUAUCCGUGUAUUGGUAAUAACCUUAUUUUGGGUGCCACAAAGUUCAAUUUGAUAUAACCUUUGAAAUGUUAUUACAAUGAAUAUACUUAUAUCCAAGAUGAUGUUCAGAUUGAUGUUUGUGCCUUGGGCAUGGGUAUAUUUCUUAUGGAAGGUCUGACUUUCGAAGUAGAAGUGAUGUCGUGGUUGUUAUUGUUGGGAUUAUAUUGUAUGAACUCAGGAAUAUAACACAAAAGAAUUACACAAGUAGAGAUUCGAAUAACACAAAUAUAAUACAAAUAAUAUUUAUUAAAUGAAUUCGUAGAUACAAUAACACUUACUACACAAGUUGAUGAUUAAGGAUAUGAACAGAGGCUUGCCGAGGCAAUAUCCUUAAGACAAUAUUACGUCCCUGCUAUGGUGCAAACAGAUACUGGACGAUUAGUCUCCCAAGAUACAAUUGUUCUACACUCUGCUAGACUGCACUAUAAUAGCAGAGUACUGGCGAACAAACAAGAAGAACACUUUGAAUAUCUAUGGAGAGAGAGAGAGAGAGAGAGAGAGAGAGAGAGAGAGAGAGAGAGAGAGAGAGAGAGAGAGAGAGAGAGAGAGAAGCAGACUUAGUCUGAAUGAAUUGUGUGCUUACUGGCCAGAAUAACACUCAAUUUAUAGGCUAAGUUGUGUCUGUUCACAACAGACACACACCUGUUGGAAAACGUCUUUUCUCAACACACAUUUUUUGCAGACUUAAUGAAACAGGUCAGACCCAUUGGACGAACCGUUUCAAAAUGAAUAAACACAUAUGUUAGUGUAAACCCAAAAGUGUCAAAAAAGCAAAAAGAAUGAAACAAUGCUGGUUCGCUGGACAUGCCCUCUCGUGUUUCUGUACCUUAUCUGCAACUGCAUGAAUAGCUGCCUGAUCCACUUCAAAAUUUCCAUUACCAAACCCCACCAUCGGAGAUGCCCCUGUGAUGUCAACACAUGCAUGUUUUUCUUCUAACCAACUGUAUAUCAAAACAUCAGCUGAGCGUAGUGUUGAUCUACCUUCUGACGGGUCUGUAAGAAAAUUAUCUGGAGCCUCUUUCUUAACCUGUAUUCCUGCUCGCCAUACCAAAUCAUACAAUAUAUCACGCACAUGAUCGUGUCUGUAUUUAAAACCGGGGUAAUACUUACAGUGUACAGCAUGGGAGCGUCCAGUUAGCUCUUCUUACAUACAUGACAUAAAUCCCUAUCUGUAAAUAAUGGGAUCAUGAGACGGUACCGGAGAAUAACACGAUACUCUACUGCCGUCAUGCGUUGUCCUAGCCCUUCCAUAGGAAUAGCAAUAAGAAAGUCCUUGGCAUGUUUGGUCUGUAAGCAUUCUAUCACAGCCCUCUGACGAGCAAACAAAUCAAAAUCCCUGUCAAUACCAUUAGCAAUCUUCCUGUAGUAAGCUUCGCCAGUAUGUGUUGGGUUUUUUUUUUUUUUUUUUUGGGGGGGGGGGGGGUAGCCCUACUUAAAGCAAAUCAAGUACUUGAAGUUUGUUAUAUUUUGAAUUAAACUUGCUUGAAAUUUGUUGGGAAAGUAUUUGAAAUAUUGUUUAUUAUGCAAGGCUUAAAGGUAGUCGGUUGUUACAUUUGUGUUUCUGAAUUUUAAUAGAAUUGAGCAUGUUAAAGCCAAAUGAGCCGAUCGAGCCGAACGAGCUAAACAUGAGCCAAAUGAACUGAGCUCGAGUUUUUUAGUUAGCUCGUGAGCCGAGUUUGAACACAUAAUUCAGCUCUGUCUAUAUUAUAGGCUUGACUCAGUUAGUAACGAGCCGAAUUUGAUCAUACUCUAGCUCGGCUUUUUUGGCUCGAAUUGCACCCUAUGUUCAGAUUAAAAAGAAAAAAAACUAACAAUAAAUGAUUAACCAACCCUUCUCAAACAAGAAUUGUGUUAGAGCAUAUCCAAUGGCAUGGUUAUACUAGCAGUGCCACGUAGGAAGUUAGCAGAAAAAUCCGUACUAAUUUGUAAUUUGAUCUGCUAGUUUAGCAAAUCAAGAUCCAAUGGUUUUUUUUUUUUUUUUUUUAAAUAUAAAAACAAAUUUUAUUGAUAAGCUAAACGAAUUACACAAAAGUAGAGGACAAACGCGCUACAAACUGCGCGGCAAGUCCUUUCUGGAUAGCAAACCCGAUUCUCCUAAAUACAUAUUCGUUCGAACCCGCAGUCAUCACGUUGCUAUCCAUUACCUUCUGCACUCUCUUGAGGAGCUCAACUGCUUCUGAGCUUAGCAAUCCAAAUGUAUCAAAUGCAAAGGGGAUGAAACUAUGUUGGUUAGCCCUACAAGCUCCGUCAUGUUUCUCCACUUUUGCUGCUGCUGCAUUGCUAGCUGCUAGUCCCACCUCAAAAAUCCUAGCACCCAGCCCAACCAUCGGAGACGCCCCUGUAACAUCAACACACGCAUGUUUACCUUUAGACCAGUUGUAGACCAGAAUAUCAGCAGGACGUAAUGUCGAUCUUCCUUCCUUAGGAUCAGUAAGAAAGUUAACAGGAGCCUCCUUCUUAACCUGUACUCCAGCCCGCCAUUACACAUCACACAAGAUAUCUCUAACGUGGUCAUGCCUGUACUUGAAGCCGGGGUAAUGCUUACAAUGGGCCGCAUGGUCCCCGAAUGCAUCAAGUCUGCUCUUCUUGCACACUGAACAAAGCUCACCAUAUGAAUAUAAAGGGAUCAUCAAUCGAUAACGAAGAAUAACACGAUAUUCUACAGGCGUCAUGUGUUGUCCAAGCCCUUCCAUCGGGAUAGCAAGGAGAAAAUCUUUGGCAUGUUCUGACUGCAAACAUCCAAUCACGGCCUUUUGUCUAACUGACAACUCAAAUUCCCUCUCAAUGCCAGAGCUAAUCUUGUUGUAGUAUGCUUCCGCCAAGACAUGUUGGGGUCUGAAGGGGACGGUAGCAGUUGGAGCAAGAUUACUGAGAUCAAAAUCAGGUAUAGAAAGAUGUAAACUAGCAAUGGCAGUAUCGAAAACAUUACCCAUAGGUGUAGUCACACAACCUCGAAGGAUGUGGUCUUGGAGAUUCUUGGUUUGCGUACGUGAAGCUACGAAAGCAAACUUCAUAACAUCACUAGCACAAUAGAUACCAAGGCCACCCAUACGCAAUGGGAGGGUUACCAUACGCCACUGUAAAUCGCCAAAACAAGGUCCAUCAGAAACCACAAUAUUCUGAAGGGUUGCACGAAGCUUGUGGUCAAACCAUUUGGCUGUUUCCUGAACAUAAUCAGGGGGGCAAGUACGGAGAGCAAAGGUGAGUUUAGAUAAUCCCAUACAAGAACGUAAAAGUGCCAACUCACAUUGCGGAUCCUUUAGCUGUGGUAAUAAACCCAUGAGCUGAAGUGUCUUAUCCACUCGUUGACGAACAUUACCCAUAAUAAAGGAUGCAUCAAUACUUACAGCCCCUCCUAGCAACUUAACCCCUCGCUGAGGACAUGAUAUACCAACCGGAAAGAUAUCUGGAUAGGAGCAGUCAGGAACAACAGAAGGCCAAAACAACUCUGUUUUAGAUAUAUUAAGCACGAGCCCAAGAGAUGGUCCUCUUUCCUGAAUGAUACGAAUAGCUCUGGCCACAUGAUCUGUACUACCAAUCAGAGUACCAUCAUCUAAGUACCAUGCCUGCAACUCCAAGUGACAUUCUGACUGAAUGCGGUGUAUCAAUGGAUGCAAGACCAAAGCAAAGAGAAGAGGCCCCAAAGGAUCCCCCUGCUGUAUCCCAGCUGCUGACCAAAUAUGAGUAGACACUAGGUACAAUCGAGCAGGUUGGCAAUAGAGGUAUUCGACCCAUAGAGCAAUAGAUGGACAAUGACUGCGUACCUCCCGUAACAUAGCAGAUCGAUCAACAAGGUUGAAGGCAUUCUGAAAGUCCAAAAGCAGCAUGGAAAGCGAUGUGUCAUUUUUGUUGGAAUAAACCAACCGAUUAACAGCAUGCAAAAUUGCCUCUGCUCCACCAGGCACACCAACCCCAAACUGAAAAUCCUCUAGGUAUGGGAUAAUAUCCUUAGAAACUCCUCUCAUAGCAAUCUUAGACACCAGGCGACGCCAAACCAUACCCACAGCUAUUGGGCGAAUGCCGUUACCUUGCUUAAGAAGUGGGGUGAGCGGCGCACUAGCUAUGAAUUCUGCCAAGACCCGUGGGCAUCGACCUUGUAGCCAUAUAAGUUCACAACCGGUGUCAAGGCCUCGAUAAGAUCUGUGGCUACAGCGGAUGCAGCCCCACUCAUAGCAUCUAAUAGAUGUUGGGCCCGGAGACCAUCUCGCCCACAAGACGUCCCUUUGGGGAAGGACCUGAUGCAUGAUAAUAUCCCAUCCCUCUCAACUGACAGAGGUGACUCAAGUAAAGGAAUAUCGGGGACGGAAGGUGGUGGAUGCUUCAGGUGUUUAUCCUCUAAAGCCCGCUGCGUCUCUGGAGUGUUCGGAGCAACCCUUGAUGAUGCCAACACCUUCCCGGCUGCUGCGAAGUGCCCGUCUGCAACCUUUUGCAAACACCGUCGUACAUUCUUGCUUUGGGACUGUCGAGAUGAUCGUUCCAGCAGAGGCUCUGUAUGCGUGACCCUCUCAAUCAGACGAAAUAUACCCCCAGGCUCGUUCCAAAUAGAGAGAGCCUGCAAAAUCUGAUUCUGCUGGAGAUAUUUCCGAGUGCCAGAUCGACGCUCUUGGCGAUUCUGCGGAUGAAACACUUGCAAUGUACAAUAGGGAAGUAGGAGCAAUCUAACCCAUGGCCCUGUCGACAUGGGGUCUGCAGUAACCUCAUACAAAAUUGACUUCAGUGCGCAGGAAAAUGUUAAUCGACAAGGACGUGGAAUACUUUUCACUGUGCGAAAAGGUCUACAGAAAAUACGAUUAAGUGAUAUCUCAUCUAAAGAAGGUGCAACAAUAGAAAGGUGAGUAUCGAUACCAAUGUCCCCUCCUGCUGUAGGUGCGGGUGGAUUAUCAACAUGCACAAGCUGUGGUGGUUGUAUACCUAUAAUUGCACACUCUAGCUCACCGGUCUCCUUUCGCGCAGGUGGUUUGAUGACUGCACCAUCCGGAUGUUUACAUUUUAUGAUCGAUGCAUGGAUACCAAAACAAUCACCACACAUCCAUUUGGUCAUCCUCUUCAAAGUAUUGUCAAGCGACGAAAAUAAACCUAUAUCAACUUUGAUCGCAUCUCUCAGCCUGUCGAUGUCAUUUACCCUCCUCAAGUUAUCUUUCUUAACAUGCGUUGGGACGUACGAAGGUUUAUAUCCAUUUUCACACGGACCAUUGGUGCAUCCAUCAAAGUUUCGAAAUGGACAAUGGAUACUCUCCAUCAAGCAGCCAAUUUUUUUUUUCUCCUGUUUUUUUCCUGUUUUUUUUUUUUUUUUUUUUUAAAAUUUAAAAUUUUAUUGAUAAGCUCAACAAAUUACACAAAAGUAGAGGACAAACGCGCUACAAACUGCGCGACAAGUCCUUUCUGGAUAGCAAACCCGAUUCUCCUAAAUACAUAUUCGUUCGAACCCGCAGUCAUCACGUUGCUAUCCAUUACAUUUUGCACUCUUCUGAGGAGCUCAACUGCUUCUGAGCCUAGCAAUCCAAAUGUGUCAAAUGCAAAGGGGAUGAAACUAUGUUGGUUAGCCCUACAAGCUCCGUCAUGUUUCUCCACUUUUGCUGCUGCUGCAUUGCUAGCUGCUAGCCCCACCUCAAAAAUCCCAGCACCCAGGCCAACCAUCGGAGACGCCCCUGUAACAUCAACACACGCAUGUUUACCUUCAGACUAGUUAUAGACUAGAAUAUCAGCAGGACGUAAUGUCGAUCUUCCUUCCUUAGGAUCAGUAAGAAAGUUAACAUGAGCCUCCUUCUUAACCUGUACUCUAGCCCGCCAGAACACAUCACACAAGAUAUCUCUAACGUGGUCAUGCCUGUACUUGAAGCCGGGGUAAUGCUUACAAUGGGCCGCAUGGUCCCCAAAAGCAUCAAGUCUGCUCUUCUUGCACACUGGACAAAGUUCACCAUCUGAAUAAAGAGGGAUCAUCAAUCGAUAACGAAGAAUGGCACGAUAUUCUACCGGCGUCAUGCGUUGUCCAAGCCCUUCCAUCGGGAUGGCAAGGAGAAAAUCUUUCGCAUGUUCUGCUUGCACACAUCCAAUCACGGCUUUUUGUUUAGCUGACAACUCAAAUUCCCUCUCAAGACCAGAACUAAUCUUGCUGUAGUAUGCUUCCGCCAAGACAUGUUGGGGUCUGAAGGGGACGGUAGCAGUUGGAGCAAGAUUACUGAGAUCAAAAUCAGGUAUAGAAAGAUGUAAACUAGCAAUGGCAGUAUCGAAAACAUUACCCAUAGGUGCAGCCGCACAACCCCGAAGAAUGUGGUCUUGGAGAUCCUUGGUUUGCGUACGUGAAGCUACGAAAGCAAACUUCAUAACAUCAGUAGUACAAUAAAUACCAAGUCCGCCCAUACGCAAUGGGAGGGUUGCCAUACGCCACUGUAGAUCGCCAAAACCAGGUCCAUCAGAAACCACAAUAUUCUGAAGGGCUGCACGGAGCUUGUGGUCAAACCAUUCGGCUGUUUCCUGAACAUAAUCAGGGGGGCAAGUACGGAGAGCAAAGGUGAGCUUAGAUAUUCCCAUACAAGAACGUAAAAGUGCCAGCUCACAUUGCGGAUCCUGUAGUUGUGGUAAUAAAUCCAUAAGCUGAAGUGUCUUAUCCACUCGUUGACGAACAUUACCCAUAAUAAAGGAUGCAUCAAUACUUACAGCCCCUCCAAGCAACUUAACCCCUCGCUGAGGACAUGAUAUACCAGCCGGAAAGAUAUCUGGAUAGGAGCAUACAGGAUUAAGAGAAGGCCAGAACAACUCUGUCUUAGAAACAUUAAGCACGAGCCCAAGAGGUGGUCCUCUUUCCUGAAUGAUACGAAUAACUCUAGCCACCUGUUCUGUAUUACCAAUCAGAGUACCAUCAUCUAAGUACCAUGCCUGCAACUCCAAGUGGCAUUCUGACUGAAUGCGGUGUAUCAAUGGAUGCAAGACCAAAGCAAAGAGAAGAGGCCCCAAAGGGUCCCCCUGCUGUAUCCCAGCUGCUGACCAGAUAUGAGUAGACCCUAGAUACAAUCGAGCAGGUUGACAAUAGAGGUAUUCGACCCAUAGAGCAAUAGAUGGACAAUGAUUGCGUACCUCUCGUAGCAUAGCAGACCGAUCAACAAGGUUGAAGGCAUUCUGAAAGUCCACAAGCAGCAUAGAAAGCGAUGUGUCAUCCUUGUUGGCAUAAACCAACCGAUUAACCGCAUGCAAAAUUGCCUCUGCUCCACCAGGCACACCAACCCCAAACUGAAAAUCCUCUAGGUAUGGGACAAUAUCCUUAGAAACUCCUCUCAUGGCAAUCUUAGAUACCAGGCGACGCCAAACCAUACCCACAGCUAUUGGGCGAAUGCCGUUACCUGGCUUAAGAAGUGGGGUGAGUGGUGCACUAGCUAUGAACUCUGCCAAGACCCGUGGGCAUCCACCUUGUAACCAUAAAUUCACAACCGGUGUCAAAGCCUCCAUAAGAUCUGUGGCUACAGCGGAUGCAGCCCCACUCAUAGCAUCCAAUAGGUGUUGGGCCCGGAGACCAUCUCGCCCACAAGACGUCCCUUUGGGGAAGGACCUGAUGCAUGAUAAUAUCACAUCCCGCUCAACUCACAAAGGUGACUCAAGUAAAGGAAUGUCGGGGACAGAUGGUGGUGGAUGCUUUGGGUGUUUAUCCUCUAAAGCCCGCUGCGUCUCUGGAGUGUUCGGAGCAACCCCUGAUGAUGCCAACACCUUCACGGCUGCUGCAAAGUGCCCGUCUGCAACCUUUUGCAAACACCGUCGUACAUUCUUGCUUUGGGACUGUCGAGAUGGUCGUUCCAACGGAGGCUCUGUGUGUGUGACCCUCUCAAUCAAACGAAAUAUACCCCCAGGCUCGUUCAAAAUAGAGAGAGCCUGCAAAAUCUGAUUCUGCUGGAGAUAUUUCCGAGCACCAGAAUGACGCUCUUGGCGAUUCUGCGGAUGGAACACUUGCAAUGUGCAAUAGGGAAGCAGGAGCAAUCUAACCCAUGGCCCUGUCGACAUGGGGUCUGCAGUAACCUCGUACAAGACUGACUUCAAUACACAGGAGAAUGCUAAUCGACAAGGACGUGGAAUACUUUUCACUGUGCGAAAAGGUCUACAGAAAAUACGAUCAAGUGAUAUCUCAUCUAAAGAAGGUGCAACAAUAGAAAGGUGAGUAUCGAUACCAGUGCCCCCUCCUGCUGUAGGUGCGGGUGGAUUAUCAACAUGCACAAGCUGUGGUGGUUGUAUACCUACAAUUGCACACUCUAACUCACCGGUCUCCUUUCGCGCAGGUGGUUUGAUGAUUGCACCAUCCGGAUGUUUACAUUUUAUGGUCGAUGCAUGGAUACCAAAACAAUCACCACACAUCCAUUUGUUCAUCCUCUUCAAAGUAUUGUCAAGCGACGAAAAUAAACCUAUAUCAACUUUGAUCGCAUCUCUCAGCCUGUCGGUGUCAUUAACCCUAUUCAAGUGAUCUUUCUUAACAUGCGUUGGGAUGUACGAAGAUUUGUAUCCAUUUCCACACGGUCCAUUGGUGCAUCCAUCAAAAUUUCGAAAUGGACAAUGGAUACUCUCCAUCAAGCAGCCAAAUUUUUUUUUUUUUCCCCUUUUUUUCAGUUUUUUUUUUUUUUUUUUUCCUGGCUGGCUUGACUUGGCUGGAGCUGUCUCCUGGUUCUGUCUCAGCUGGCUCACCUGACUGCUGGCUCGAGUGCCGGCUUGACUAUGUUGACUGGCUCAGACGGCUCGACUCACUGGCUUGAAUUGGCUCUCUGUUCUGGUUCGGCUGGGUUGGCUUGGCUCGGCUCGGCUCGGCUAGGACAAGCCAGAUUUGCGAUGGAAUGAGAGAUGGAAACCCAAUCUCGAUCUGGGUGUGGNNNNNNNNNNNNNNNNNNNNNNNNNNNNNNNNNNNNNNNNNNNNNNNNNNNNNNNNNNNNNNNNNNNNNNNNNNNNNNNNNNNNNNNNNNNNNNNNNNNNUGCUGGAGGGCUGGUGGUGGUGGUGGUAUGCGAGGGUGAAGAUGGUGUAUGCGCAGGAGAGAGGGAGAAGGAGAGAGAGAUAGCGGUGGGUGGUGGGGAGGAUGUCUGGUAGUCUGGAUGAUGGUCAUCGGAAAGAUGACAUCAUGCGGCGGCGGCCGGUCAUCAGGAAGAUGACCCCCCCCCUUUUUUUUUUGUGGCAUGGCUUGUCUGGCUUGAACUGCUGGUCUGACUACCGGUUCGGCUGGUCUGGCUACCGGUUUGGCCGGUUCGGCUGGUCUGGCUGCUGGUUCAGCUGGUCUGGCUGACUGGCUUAAGCUGCUGAUUCGGCUGGCUUGGCUAGAUGUAUCGGCUCGGCUCGUCUGGCUAUUGACUCGGCUUAGAUGGCUUGAACGACUGGUCUGGCUGCUGGUUCGGCUGGUUCUGCUGAUGGUCUGGUUGGUUCGGCUAGUUCAGCUGGUCUAGCUGCUGGUUCGGCUCAUCUCAAAGUACAGAGCCAGAUUUACGUGGAAUUGGGAGAGAUGGAGUCGUAGAUCAAAAUCGUCGAUCUAACUCAAGUAAAAUGGUGGCAGCAUAUGGUGAGGGAGAAGUGGUGGUGGUGGGAGUUGGAGGAGGGCGUGGUGGUUGGAGGGGGUGUUGAUGGCGGUGAAAAUAGAUGGUGAUGGUGGUGGUUUUGGGUGGGAGAAGAGAGAAACAGGCCGGAGAGGUUGACGGGGUAAAAUAGGCAGUGGGGGAGAGAGGCAGUAAUGGGAGGGGUUAGGGGGUGGUGGUCAUGGAGGAGAGGAGAUGGCGGCGGCGACGGUUGUCAUCGGGAAGAUGACAUCCCGACGGUUUUUUUUUUGUAUUUUUUUUUUUGUAUUUUUUUUUUUUUUGGCAAGCGAGGUUGUGGGACCCCUCAACCAUUGGAAUUCGGUUUGGUUUGGUAAAAAAAAAAAAAAGGCAUCGCGCCGCAUUCCACUUGCGGUUUGGUAGAACACCCAACGACAUUCCACUUGCGGUGUGAACAUUGGGUUUAAGUGUUCGUUGGGCCUAAAUAACCAUCGAGCUCCAAGUGGAAUUCGGUCUGCCACUAAAAGGGCAUCGCGCUCCAAGUGGAAUGUGGUCCGGUGGUCUAACGUCUUACAAGUAGAAUGGGACACGAUACAUUUUCUUAGUAGAAACCAAUUCUGCUGCUCAACUGCUAGUUUAAACAGUUGACUUAGCAGAAAAUGGAAUCUUUUAAGUUUUUGCUAGUUUAUUUUAGCAUGAACCAUUAGUGAUGUUUUUUGCUAGUUUUACUAAAAAAAUUAGUUUAAGCACUCCAUUGAAAAUGCUCUUAUUUGAUGAUUAACAUGCUAAUCAACUCAAAUAUCUAUUGAUUAACUUGUUAAUCAACUUCAAUAUUUGUUGAUUAGCAUGUUAAUCAACUCUAAUAUAUAUGUUAAUUAAGAUAUUGAUUAACUCCAAUAUUUGUUAACUAAUGAUAAAUGAUUACGGUAAUGUUGAAAAGGAUAUCAAAUCUGUUAACUAAUAAGAAACAUUGAACACCAGUAUAUAUAGAUGUGGCUUUGUCGUGUUGGUUUCAUCCAUAUGGUAUACUAAAAUGGGUUAUUUUGUAUUUGGUCCCUCUAGAACAUUAGUAUUUAGCAAGUGGUCUGUCUUAUUCACAUUAAGAAUAAGCCCCAAUGACGGUCCAACUGCCUGAAUGAUAUGUAUGGCUGCAGCCACCUGAUCAGUGUCACCAAUCAAGGUCCCAUCAUCCAGAUACCACGCCUGCAACUUCAAGUGACACUCAGAUUGGAUGCGCAGUACUAAUGGAUGCAAUACUAAGAAAAAAAGAAGAGGCCCUAAUGGAUCCCCCUGCCGAAUCCCGGUUGCUGACCAAAUAUAGGUAUACCCCAAAUAUAAUCUCGUUGACGGGCUAUUUAGAUAUUCAACCCAUGGUGCAAUACUGGGACAAUGAAUGCGUACCUCUUUUAGCAUAGUCGUGCGAUCAACAAGAUUGAAAGCAUUUUGGAGACCCACCUACCAUCUAUGGAUCCAACUCAUUGGUACAUUAGGAGAAGCCGCGAAUUCAUUUGGGCGGCUAAUUCUGAGUAUGAGAUUUAUCCUGCUUUACACAAAGAUGAUGAGUUUUAAAAAAUGGUGAAGGUGCUUGGGGUGAGAUGAUGAAUGCAAUCAUCGAGUGGCGUGAUGACUUGGAUGGCGGUCGACACAAAUGUUGGUCCUUGGCAGCGGUCGCCGCGGUCAAGUGGUGGCUUCAAAUACUAUUUCGGUGACUGGUUGGCUCCACAACCACAGUUGGGACCAAAUCGACCCACAGAGGCCGUUCCGGCGGCGUUUCACCCUACGACCCCAGGUCGGGCGGGAUUACCCGCUGAAUUUAAGAAUAUCAAUAAGCGGAGGAAAACAAACUUACAUGGAUUCCCCUAGUAACGGCGAACGAACCGGGAAGAGCCCAGCUUGGGAAUCGGGUGGCAGCGUUUUUUGUUUAUUUGUGUUUAAUCCCUUUUUUGUUAGUUGACUGUCAGUCCACCUAGUUGACUAUAGUCAAACCAUCUAUUUUUUUAAAUACCUAAACUACCCAUGCACGUGUCUGGCACAUGUCCAUAUCUCAUUGGUUGAUUUAAUCUAAUGUCUAAGUGGUUUGCCACGUGGAAUAAUAUGUCGUUCAAGGACCUGUACAUGCUUUUGAUUCAGUCUAACACUCUAACUACACUUUCCUUUCAUAAAAGAAGAAAUUAAAUUUAAAACAAAGAAGAAGAAAUCAAUUAAUCAAGCAUGGAUAUGUUAAGUAUAAUAUAUUCUGAACCAAAACAUUGCCUUAGACAUAAUAUAGUAGAAGUUAGAGAAGAAGAGAAAUAUUGAUGUUCAAUUGUUUCAAGUAUCUUGUUCUCAUAACUUGGUUCUCUUUAUAUAGGAGAUACAUCAUUAAGGGGAUAACUCAAAGGUCAUGAGUUAUACCAAUCCAAAAGCCUUUACACUUAAUUACAUGCUUUGAUCAUGUGGUCAUCCAAUGUAUCAUAACACUCCCCCUUGAUGACCACAAGUAUUAAGAGAAUUGUUUACGUUAAAACUUUCCUCGAAAAACCCUAUGGGACAAAAACCUAAGAAAAAAUAGUACAUAAUUCUCGUAGUCUUCGAAUUUUGUUGCCUCACCAAAACCUUGUAGGAAAACCCAAGUGGGAAAAAAGCUUGCCAAGGAAAUAUAGUACAACUUCCACAAUUAUUUGGUCUUCAUAUGAUAAAGAUUUUCCUCUUGAUGUCGACCGGACUAAAUUGAGUUUCCGCAUUCCAGUUCCCGCAUUCCCAUAUUGUAUACCAAUUUCUUGAAUGUGGUUGGAAGUAAAGAUUUGGUGAACUAGUCACCAAUAUUGUCACAUGAACGUAUUUGUUUUACGGUAAUCACUUGAUUGCACUGAAGUUCGUGGAGGAUCAAUGUUGGCACCCACACAUACAUAAGCCUUAUAUUAUCACUCCCUGUUGGGUGACAUGCAUUCAAUGAUAGUUGCCUCAUUAAAAUCUUGCUAAGAAAAACCCAAUGGGAAAAAUCAAAGCGAAGGAAAAAGAGUACAACGUUCUUCAGGAUCAUUGAAUUGGAAUAUGAUGUGCAUUACAAUGUUGCCUCAUUAAAACCUUAACUGAGAAAACCCAAAGGGACAAAACCUAGAAAAGGAAAAAGUGUACAACGAAUAAUUCUGGGUUGCAUACUUCGAGAUGCUCCCCUUGAAUAACAUACUUCAGGAUGAUCCCCAUGAUUAGUUAAUGUUAUUCCCCUGAUAAUAACAACCCGACCUUCAUGCGGUCGAUGAUGAACUUCUUUUUUAUUAGUCAUGGACACAAAAUCUGAAUAACUUGCGUUGGCAAUGUAAUGAGAAUGUUUAGCUUCUUAAACUUCAUUUGUAUUAAUCAUCUUGGUUAUUGCAUUAUACAUUUUCUUCAUUUCAAUCUCUUUAUUCUUCUGGACAUUGUGAGUAAAGAAGUAUUGUUGGUUCUGUCCUCUUUGAUAUUACAUUCUAGAAUCAAAACUAUGCAAGCUGCAUUAUCUUCAUUGAGAAUGCUUGGAACAUCUGUGAUAGAUGAAAAUUGCCUAGGACUACAAAUAUCUCGAAUACUUAUUGAUACAAAUUUAUGACAUGCAUCGUAAAGCAGAACUUAUAAAAUGGUCAGAAACAAUAACUACUAAAAAAUAGUAGAAUGCCAUAAAGAUAUCAAUAAUACUAGUAAGAAAUAUAACAUGUUUGAUAUCAAAUCUUACAAAACCAAUGCAAAUAAACUGAAUUUACAUAAAGCCAAGAAAUUUCCUGAUUCAUUUUUAAAGCUCUUAAAACCUUUUACUAUAAUCAAAAUUUGUAAAUCAAUAUACCAUUUGAUUCUUCUCGAUUUACUAGUCGAGGUAAAACACAUAUUUCCAAGGUAUCCUAUUUCAAAUCCCCCCAUUUGAAAUAGUUGACAAGUUUAACUCUUCAGAAGUCCCACAAAAACUGUCGCCAUUAUUAAUCCAUUGGAAAUUUCAUUGCUCUUGUAAAUGUUAGUAAAAAGUAGGUCGGAGAAGAUGAUCGGAGUAUGGAAAGGAAGGAGUUUUUGGUGUGGAAGUUGCUGAGCUAUCUAGAGAGAUAGUUGCCUACGUAUCUGAGAUUGACCAACUCCAAGAAUCAAGCCUACGUAGUUUGGAUUUAUAGGUGAAUUGGGACAACGGAUAGCUCAUUAAUUGCCCAACAGUGGGGUCAAUUAAUGAGCGGAUAUUUUGGAUCUAAAAAUAUAUUGUAACUGAAGAGAAUCAAAACAUAUGAAGUUUAAAUGAGGUCGAUGGAGGUCGAAUGCAAAAGUGUUCACGUCGAGUGAGCUCGAAUAAAAAUAGGCUCACGUCGAGCUAGGUCGAUAUUGAAAAGAAUUUAGGUCGGGUUAGACUUGAGAAUAAUGAGCGUCCGGUAAGCUCGUAUAAAAAUAGGCACACGUCGAGCUAGGUCGAUAUUAGUAUUGAUUGGCGAGGUUGACGAGCUUGAAUAUAAUGGUAUCUACAUAGCCUCUUUUUAUUCGAGUCGAAGUUAAGGGAUAUAGUUGGACUUCGAUUUGAAUGAAAAUAGAUCAAGGUUUUCUUUAAAAGAGCAUUGGGUUGCCUUGAUUUAUUGGGUUUCCUUGAUUGUUGAGACCAGCAAAGAAUCCUUUGCGUGCUGCAUUAAAUGAAGAUAGGUUUUUGAGGGAAAAGUAAUGAUUGCAGUUAUGGUAAGUGUGCUGUAAUGGCCACGUGGAUAAUUGAUUUGAAUUUUGAUUUUGGAAAAAGGCUAAAGAAAAAGGGGCAAAAACCAAGGGUUUUAGCGGUUAGAUUUUCUUUUGCAUAUCUAGCCGUUGAUUUGAUUUUUGUUGAACGGUGAUGAUGUGAUGAGUAAAUUUUAUAAAACCUAACUGUAAGGUUGGAAAACCAAGGGUUUGUUGCAUCGUGGAUUUAAGGCUUCUUCUCUCUUUUGCGAAAGGUAUUUUUUCUUGAACUUUCUUUCUCUUUUUUCUACUCUUGCUCAUUCUGUUUAUUGUUUUUCAUUGUUUUGUAUGUGUUUGUGAUAAUCGCCUUGUUUGCUCCUUGAGUAGUUGUUGUUCAUGUGAUAUCUUCUUGAUUCCUUUGUUAUGUUCUUUGAAAAUUCUGUUGUUUUUGUUGUUGUUCUAAGCUUUUCCGCCAUUGUUGCAGCUUUAAAGCUUUUUAUUCUUCGUUUCUGCUUCAUUUCUCUUGGUUUUUCUUUAAGUUUGCUGGGUAUCUCGUUGUGUUUGAUUGCCUGAGUUUUAUCUUAAGAAGUUUCACUAAAAAUGAGUGAUAUAGAGUCUGAAAGUGUUAGUGAGAAUGAAGAAGAGGUUGAGCUCGAGGAGAGGGUCGAGCUUAGCGUAAGUAAUUCCCGAAGACGGAGCGACGAGGAGGAAAUUACAAGUAGUAGAUCCCUUACAGUAGAUGAAACUCGAAGAUCUUUUCCCGAGAUUCAAGAGGAGUAUAGCAUUAGGAUCCCCGACCUUGAAAUGUAUAGAGUUAGCGAUAGGCUAUUUGACUUGUGUGGGGACACAACGUUGUGUUUGAUAUGUCUUGCUCAACUAAAAGGUGGAAUGCGUCUUCUUUUUAGUAAGUUCGUAUGUGAUAUUCCCACUACGACGUUGCCCCCAUCAUGAUGCCCACUAGCUUUUGGACUUCAAUGUUAAUUUUUGAGGAGCUAAAUAGGUUACACGAUUAUGAUAUAUGCAAGGCUGACGUCGUUGCUUAUUAUAGUUGUGUAACUGGUCGGAGUAGGGAUUAUGUUUGCUCCCUUAACAGAAAAAGGAGUUGUGGUAGAGCAAAACUUUUCAAUCCUCCCACCUCGAAUGAUGGUUGGAAGAACUCCCCUGUGUACAGAAUUCGGGGUCAGUUUGUACAGGCCAGUGCAUUUCUGGCUCGAUAUGCCAUUCCCAGUAUAGGUAUACUUGCAUGUUAGUAUCUGACUGAAAUGGUUGUUGAUCGAGCUUUGAUAUAACUUUGUAUGUUAUGUGCAGGUUAGACAAAGGAAUACAACGAGCCUAUCGACGGUCGACUGCAUCCUAGCAACAUAAUCGAGUUUGUUGAGAAGUCUUGGGCAGAAAAGAGGGAGUUGCUUCAACAUCUAGCUCAAUAUUUCCGUGAGUCUCGAGUGAAAUUUACAAGAGGCACCCAGGGAGAAGCUGGUACGUCGGGUGUUGUAGUUCCCAAGAGAGGCAGGAAGAAGGAGCUUGCAGUUGUUAUUCCUGUUACUGAAUUAGUUUCAGCUCGACCUGGUGACCUGCCUUACCUAUGCCUCUAAAGAAGAAUCUGAGCUUCCUUCUCACUGGUGGCGUUGUGGCCCCUACUAGUAAGAUUCCUGAUGGCCCUAGCCUUAAUGACUUCUUUGGCUCGAAGAGUAUCGAGCCUAAAAAUCCUCAGCGAAAGAGGAAAGUUGUUGCUACUUUGGCCGAGGUGACUGUCGCCUCGAAGAACGACAAGGGGAAAGGGAGGGAGGUAGAUAAAACUCAGGCUCCUACUUCCAAAACUGGGAAGGGAAAGGCUAUCGACUUUCCUGAAAAUCUUUUUGUAGGAGGGGCAAAUCGUUUCGCUCCUGUUUUCCCUUGUCACGACGCCUAUAUAAAGGCUGAUGACUCUGCACUUAAUGAUAAGGAUAUGUGUCUAUCCCUGAUGGAGAAUACAAUCCUUUUUGAGGAUGCGAAGAAGAUUCGACCUCAAUCUCUAGAAGAUGACUCCAAGAAGUUUGCCAACUGUACUUACAAGGUAUGUUAUAGCUCGAAAUUUUAUUUUAUUUUAUUUUUUGAAUUUGUUGUCUUUUGUAGAUUAACCUGAUCCAUAAUAAGUGGAUUUGUAAGCUCGAGCAUGCCAGAAAGAAAGCCGAGAUGCUACAGAAGGCGAACGCUGAAAACACCUCCCUUCGAGCUUAAAACAAGGAUCUGAAGUUGAAGCUCGAUUCUACGAGAAAAGAGAGUCCAAUUGAAUAAGGACAUUGACGAGGCUCACCAAGUAUUCUUGAAACUCGAGGGCCAAGUUACUUCUGUGACUUCGAGCUGGGAUGCCGAUGCUCAAAAGUCCAUUAAGGUGAUAUCCCAAUGGCAGAAGAUCGCUUAUUUUUGGGAGGAGAGGUGCCUUAGGCGCCACGCUCAUAUUGCGUCCUUGGUUGAUGGCUUUGACCCAAGUUCAGACCAGGAUGCUAUCAAGGUUUUUGCCCUGGAGAGAUAUGAGCUUGACGUGAGUCGACAAGCAGGCAACUCUAGCUCGACUAGGGCUAUUGCUGAAGGUGAGACUGAGGUUGCUGAGGAUGCCAAUGUCAAUUCUCCGACUGAAACUUCUGGCGAAGGUGGUGACGUGGUGAUGGAUCAGCAACAACCUUUUCAGCAAUAGACUUAGCUUGAGAUUUGAUAUAUUGCUUUUGGUCAAAUGUAAAAAACAAUAGUAGGGAAUUUCGACUUUGGUCGACCCUACGAUUUUGAGUUUUGGUUCUAUUUGAAAUAUUUGUUGAUAUAAUUGAAUGAAUGGGUUGAAACUCGAUUUUGGAAGUGGUGUAUGUUUUGAUUUUUUAAUUUGUCUAAGGCACAAGCUGAGCUUUAUUUUUAUUGCGGGUUAUGAAUAUAUGUAUGAUGGCUUAUAAACAUAAAGAAAAAUAACUAUGCUGAAGUUAUGUUUUGAUGCUUGUAUGUAUGAAUGGUUUAACUCGUAAAAUAUCUAAUUUAUGGCUUCUAGCCCCGUUUUCUAACUUUGGUAUAAAAAAGAAAAAAGGGUUAUUUGGAACGGUGGUUAAGGUAGGGAAAGCUUUAAGAACUUGGAAUUCCAAGGCCUAGGUACUUGUUCUCCUUCGGCGUCAAUGAGUGUGUAUGCACCAUUUCCGAGGUCAUUUUUGAUAAUGUAUGGACCUUCCCAAUUAGGGUUUAGCUUCCCACUCCUGAUUUCUUUGUGUUGGAGAAAGCCUGUCUGAGGACGAGGUCGCCUGAUUGAAAUUGUCUUGAUUUGACAUUUUGGUUGUAGCUUCGUUUUAGGAUUUGUUGAUAACGAGCUAUUGUAAUUGCAGCUUGAUUUCUUUUUUCUUCAAGCAUAUCUAUUUCAUGUGCCCAUAAGUCUUCAUUUUCUUCUGACUCGAUGAGCUGUGAACUAGUCGUUAGGAAAUUGAGCUCGGUGGGUAUGAUGGCUUUUGUGCCAUAACAUAAUGCAAAUGGUGACAUUCCUGUAGAUGUGCGAGGUGUCGUUCUGUAAGCCCAUAGGACUCGAUCGAGCUCCUCUAUCCAUUUUAUCCUUGUGCGCUUCUAGCUUUUUCUUUAAGUUGUUCAUUAUGGUCUUGUUUGUAGCUUCGGUUUGACCAUUGCUUUGGGCAUAGCGAGUUGUUGAGAGUGUGUGGUUGAUUCUCCAAUCUAGAUAGAAUUCCUCUAUUGUGUUACCACAAAAUUGUUGCCCGUUGUCAGUAACUAGAGUAUGUGGUGAUCCAAAUCGAGUUAUGAUGAAUUUCCAUAUGAAAUUUUUGACAUCUUGCUGUCUUAUGCGUCGUAGGGGUAUUGCUUCUACCCAUUUAGUGAAGUAGUUUGUUGCAACUAGUAGAAAUCUUUUCUUGGUCUUAUCCUUUAAGAUAGGUCCUACAAUGUUGAGAUUGUCUUGAGCUCUCGAGUUGACUGGUGUAUAAAUGGUGAGAACCUUUGGCACUUGUCACAAUGUUGGACGAAUUUUUCUGAGUCCGAUUGCAUGUAAGGCCAAAAGUAGCCUUGAUUCCGUGCUUUUUGUGCUAAGGAUCUAGCCCCUGCAUAAUUUCCACAUUCGCCAUGAUGGAUUUCAUCUAGAAUUGUGUGUGCUUGCUUUGGUGGAAGGCACCGUAGGUACGGUCUUCUAGUUGACUUUCUAUAUAGUCUAUUCUUAACCAAGAUGUAAUUUUUUUUCUUUUCUUUCGAGCUUUCGUAGUUCAAAGUCAUCAUCUGGGUAUGUUCCUCUUAAGUAGUUGAUGAUUGGGCCCGUCCAUGAGUCCGCAAUCUCAGUUUGGGUAAUAUCUAUGAAAUCGGAGAUCUCAUUGAUUUGGUGGAUCUGAGUCUCGUAUGCUGGAGCUGCCUGUAUGUCAAUUUGAAUUACUCGAGGCGAUUUUGUGUCAAUUUACAAGGCUAAGUAUGCCAGACUGUCGCCAUGACGGUUAUCAUGUCUUGGGAUAUGGUGGAUUUCACACUCGGUGAAAUGAGUUAGCAAUUUCUAGGUAUGCUCUAAGUAUAGCUUUAGAGUCUUUUCUAUUGUUUCGUAGUCACCAAGGAGUUGACUGACUACUAAUUGUGAGUCACUUAGAAUCUGUAACUCUUUUACCUGUAAGUUUCUGGCCAUUUGUAUGCCGGUGAUUAAUGCUUUAUAUUCUGCGUCGUUGUUGGACGAGGUGAAGUUUAACCGAACUGACUUUUCAAAAAUGACCUCUUUCUGGUGAAAUGAGUGUUGCACCAACACCUGAGCCAUUAAGGUUUUUUGAGCCAUCGACGUGGAGUUUCCAUAUUGGUGCUUUGAUGAGUGGUUGUUCAUUGAUUUCAUUAUCUGGCAUCCACGUAUUGUCAUCAAUGGAAUAGUCCACCAGGAGGUCGGCGACUAUUUGACCUUUCCUGCUGCUACGUGGUGUGAAAAUGAGUUCAUGAUCUCCGAAUUCUUGACCCCAUUUUGCCAUUCUGGUUGACUUGUUUUUAUUUUCAAGUACUUGUCGGAGUGGUGCAUCUGUGGUGACUUUCAUCUUGUGUGCUUGGAAGUAUGGUUUUAACUUUCUUGAUGCGAAGAGUAAGGCUAAACCUACUUUUUUGAGGCUUGAAUAUCGAGCUUCAGAGUGCAACAAAGUCUUACUGAUGAAGUAUAUUGGUUUUUCGAUACCGCCUUCAUCUCGGAAUAAUACCCCGCUGACUGCAUGUUCUGAAGUUCCGAGGUACAGCCCUAGUACGUCGCCUUCUUAGUGCACUGUGAUGACGGGAGGAGUUGCGAGGUAUAGUUUGAGCUUGUCGAAUGCUUGUUGGCAUUCUAGAGUCCAAUUGUAAGUUGAUCCUUUCUUCAGUAUUUGAAGUAGAGGGCGUUGUUUGUCUGAUGCUUGAGCUAUGAAACUGUUCAAGGCUGCUAACAUGCCAUUGAGCUUUUGAAUUUUCUUCUUAGUCUUUGGGCUUGGUAUUUCUAUUAUAGCCUUUAUUUUUUCUGGGUUUGCCUCUAUCCCUCGUUGUGUAAUUAGGUAUCCCAAGAAUUUUUCGGAGGCAACACCGAAUAAACAUUUUUCUGGGUUGAGCUUCAUAUUGUAUUCAUGAAGUCGAUGAAAUGUCUCUUCGAGGUCGGAUACGUGAGAUGAUUUUUGUUUGUUUUUUACGAUAUGUCAUUGACGUAUACCUCCAUUGUGUUGCCAAUCAUGUCUUCGAAAUUUUUGUUGUAAGUCGCUGAUACGUAGCCCCUGCAUUUCUUAGUCCGAAAGGCAUGACUGUAUAGCAAAAGGUACCUUGUUCAGUAAUGAACGCGGUUUUCUCUUGAUCUUCGUCUGCGAGUUUGAUUUGAUUGUAACCUGAAUAGCCAUCCAUCAAGGAGAUGAGCUCGUGACCCGCAGUUGAGUGAACGAGCUUGUCUAUUCGAGGUAGAGGAAAACUAUAUUUUGGAGAAGCUUUGUUAAGGUCCGUGAAGUUGAUGCAUACCCUUACUUUACCAUUUGGUUUAAUGACUGCGACAAUGUUAGCUAGCCAUUCAGGGUAUGCGAAUUCACGAAUAAAUUUGGCAUCUUUUAAUUUUUGUAUCUCCACAUUGACUGCGUUAGCGAGAUGAGCUGCAAAUUUGCGAGCUUUUUGUUUAACAGGUUUUUUGUUGGAAUCAACAUUUAACCUAUGGCAUGCAAUAUUGGGAUUUAUCCCUGGCAUAUCGGUAUAAGCAAAAGCAAAAACAUUCUUAUUCAUCUUAAGAGUGGCAAUAAGUUGCCAUUUUACAAUGGGGUCCAAGUUAGCCCCUACAUAGACAUAUUUAGGAUCGUCGUCCGACCUUAUGUUGACCUUUUCACCUUUUUCAAUAACUGGUGGGUCGGAUGCUGAAUGAUAGCCUUGCCUUUGUCGGCCUGUUGGAUCUCAUCGACAGUGGGCUUAGAUUUGCUUCCGACUAUCUUGCUAGUUGCCGAGAUCGCAUUGACAGUGGGCUGAAGUGAGCUCACGACUGUCUUAGAGGUCUCCCCCUUAUUGGGAAGUGGGAUGACCUCAGGUAUUGCAUGGCAUCCAUGUGCCUCAAUUUGGUCACCUCGUAGUUCCAUGAUGCCUCGGGGGCCAGGAAACUUGAUGACUUGAUGGUAAGUCGAUGGAACAGCUUUCAUCCUAUGGAUCCAUUUCCUUCCCAGGAUUGCAUUGAACUGGGUAGGAACAUCAAGGAUGAAAAAUAUGCAGUGAACAGUUACUUCAUCUCCAUUUUCACCGGUUGCCACAGGAAGGCAAAUUUUACCCUUUGCUUCUGUUUCAGGGGAAUUGAACGCAAAGAGGGUGACAUGAGGCUUUUGCAGAACUAAGUCAGGCAUUUGCAUUUGAGUGAAUGCCUUGUUGAAUAAUACAUCGCAUGAGCUUCCUGGGUCGAUGAGUACUUUUUUGAUUAUCCAACCACCAAUGUUGAUGUAGACGACGAGUGCAUCAUUGUGUGGAAGACACACUUUCUUGAGGUCGAAAUCUGAAAAUAUGAGGGCAUUGUUGCCCGUGACCUGCUUAACCACAAUUGCUUUAUGGGUUAGGUGAAAGGUAUGGUGGAUGUGAUGGUUCUUCUGUUUUUUGGAUCGAGCUGACCACUCUGAAGGUCGAGCAUCCAUGAUCAUGUUGAUGGUUGCUUUGGGUUUUUUACCCUUUUCUUCUAAGGUCUUUUGUUGUUUUGCAUCGUAUUGUUGCGAAGAUCUGGUUUGUUUUUCGAGAUGAAGUCGUCAAGGUGACCUCCUCUUUGAGCUUAUCACAGUAAGCUCUCAGAUGCGACAAUCUUCAGUGAGAUGAUUUCAACAUUUAUGAAGCUUGCAGUAUGGAUUCCCUUCGAUAGCUAGGUUCAAGAUCGUGAACUUGAGGUUGGAAGUAGGCUCAUCUUUCAUUAGGUCAAAGAGUUGGUUGUAGGAACAUUUAAAAGGGUUUGGGAAUUUAGAUUUUGAAGUCGAUUUUGGUUUGCCUUUGUAUUCCGAUUUUGCCAUUUUUGGUUUAGAAUAAGUAGGCUGUGUAGUUUGAACCACAACUACUCGUUCUUUUGACUUUGUUAAGGCUUCCUCGAGCUUGAUGUACUUAUCAGCUCGUACAUAGAGGUCUUCCAGCGUUGCAGGGGCAUCUAGGAUGAUGUUCUUUCCUAAUGCCAUAUUGGGGUUGACAGCCGAGAUGAAGGCCAAGAGGCAUGAGUUCUCAUCUGGGUUUUCAGCUUGCAAGCAUUCUUUCUUGAAUCUUGCCAUGAACUUUUUAGUGGUUUCCGACUCGUCUUGCUUGAGUCGAAACAGGGCAGUGACCUCGAUUCUUCUUCGCUUGUUAUGAAUGUACUGAGUGACGAAGAGGGACUCGAGCUGAUCAUAUGAAGUUAUGGACUUUUCUGGGAGUCGAUGGUACCAAUCGAUGGCACUCCCACGGAGUGAGGCUUGAAGCAAUCUGUAGAAUAUGUCUUUGUAUUUUGGCUACAAAGCCAUGCUGGUCUUGAAUUGGAGAACGUGAUCAAUUGGAUCUCCACUUUCGUCGUAGGUUGUAAACUUUGGUGGCAUGAAGUUCUGGGGUGGCUCUUGUUGGAGGAGGUCUUCAUGAAGGGGUUCUGUCUUAUAGCGCUCUAGGGUUGUGGAUGCAACCUUUUGAGCAGUGUUUGCUUUGAGGGAGUCUUGAUGGUUUCUAUCAAGUUUUUCGGAAAGUUGAAGUAUCCGGUCAUGGACGACUUGAAGGUCAGCAAUGGUGGGGGCGGUGGUAUUGCUGGAAGUGGGUAAAACAGGGUUGUUGAUGGUGGUGGUGUUGACUUCUUCAGUGGUGAGUCCAUUUGUGGCAACUCCGUUGAGUGGUGCUUCGUUGGUAGCGGUGGUGGUGUUCUUCUGGUUGAAUAUUUUCGGCCACCAAUCUGUUCUUGCUGGUCUGCCAUUUGCUUCUGGAGUUGCUCAAAUUGGUCGGAAGUGAUGGUUGCCAUGGUCGUUGUCUGGUUAAUAUUCGAUCAUAAAUCAGUCGGCGCCAAUGUAAAUGUUAGUAAAAAGUAGGUCGGAGAAGAUGAUCGGAGUAUGGAGAGGAAGGAGUUUUUGGUGUGGAAGUGGCUGAGCUAUCUAGAGAGAUAGUUGCCUACGUAUCUGAGAUUGACCAAGUCCCAGAAUCAAGCCUACGUAGUUCAGAUUUAUAGGUGAAUUGGAACAACGGAUAGCUCAUUAAUUGCCCAACGGUAGGGUCAAUUAAUGAGCGGAUAUUUUGGAUCUAAAAAUAUAUUGUAACUGAAGAGAAUCAAAAUGUAUGAAGUUUAGAUGAAGUCGAUGGAGGUCGAAUGCAAAAGUGUUCACGUCGAGUGAGCUCGAAUAAAAAUAGGCUCACGUCGAGCUAGGUCGAUAUUGAAAAGAAUUUAGGUCGGGUUACACUUGAGAAUAAUGAGCGUCGGGUAAGCUCGAAUAAAAAUAGGCUCACGUCAAGCUAGGUCGAUAUUAGUAUUGAUUGGCGAGGUUGACGAGCUUGAAUAUAUUGAUAUCUACAACUCUCAUUUCGUUUUCUUACGAAUUCUCAUUUGUAAUCUUCAGGUUUUACACAAUUUUUGGGUUUUUACUAUAGUUCCAAACACACCACGUCUAUUGAGAGACUUAAUUUUGCUUCUUGUAGCAUUUUCCAUUUUAUUGGCCAUAUAUCAUUUGUUUGUCGACAUUUUCAUUUAUACACCGUGGUUGUGUAUCCUUUCUAUCCCAUUGCCCUUGCUAUUUGAGUAGCUACUACAUAACCAAAUAUGUCAUCGAUGACAAAUUUCUUUAUCUCUCAUAGUUUUGAGAUCUCAAUUUUAUUAGGUAUACUUUUGCCUCACCAUGGGCAUUCACAAUCUUACCAUGGACUUGUGUAAUUACAACAAUGUCUUCUGGAGUUAUAGAGAGAAUGGGUGUCUGCAUGACCUCUUCUUGAGUGAAAUGAGUAACCAUUCUUCGGGAAUGAGGGCAAGAUUUUCAUUUAUUCUCCACUUUUGGGGAGUUGAAACUUUGGAAUUUAUAAGUCUAUAAUCUUCUGGCGUCCUUAUAGAUAAAAUAUCAUAUUUUCAUGUUUGUAUUUUAAUAUUUUGGAACUUCAUGUUAUAAAAAUAUCGGUACAUUAAAUUCGAAUUAUUCAAAUUUUGGAACUUCUUAUUCAUUAAAUCAUUUAAACUAAUGUAUAAGGUCAUAAAAAUAAAGUGAUACCAAUAAUCAUCUUAGGUCCUUGUAUCACAUAUAUUAUUGUCUUAAUAAAAGACAAACAAAAAAAAUAAAUUAGGAAUUCAUCCUAAUAUGUAACAUUAGAACAAAUGCAAUAAUUACUAUCACAUUGCAACAUAUAAUCUUAUUAUAUACCAUAUAACCAUACGAACGAGAAAUAGUAUACAUAUGACCUAUAAUCUGAUGGUAUCGUCAUACCUUCAUACUUGUUCAAAAUUUUUGUUUUUCAUUCAUAUAUAUCAUUCAUAGUUUGGUGGAGGUGUAUUCUGCACACCUUUCCCUUUAUCUUGGUUUGGCUUAGCUUAUUUUUUCUUUGUGAUGGUAGUGCAGUUCUAUGCCAAGUAUAAUUAUUGUGACCGAUCAUUAUAAGAAUUUUGACCACGACCAAGCACCAUGACCACGACUGCUAGCAGUUUUGCCUAUGUGAUGGUGUGGUGCAGUUUGAUGUAAUAUAUUUGUGUACCUCACAAUCAAAAGAUAGAUUUGUAUUAAUUUUUCCUUCUUGUGCCUGUAUAAAUUAGAAAUCAUAGUAGACAAGUAACAAGCAAAGGUCGUACCCACCUCAGAGGAGGGAGAUCUUAGCUCAAACACAAUAGAAAACAAUUGUUAAGAAACACCAAGGGAAUCAAUAAUAAGAAUUGAGAUUGAUUCUAACUUUCUACAGGCAAUAAUUAAAUAAACCCUAACUUAAGAAUAUGGUAGAGAUGAAAAGAAGAUUUAUGAUGACAAUGGGGGAAGAAUUGGUAUCCACAAACUAAAUCAUGCAAACAUAACAUGUUGUUCUUUCAUGUUCAAUCUAUAACAAUUAAUUAGUCACCUCUCAGUUAUUCUAAUUAAUCAUUAAUACCUAUAAUAAUCAAGUAGUCACCUCUCAGAUAUUCUACUCGAUUAAAAGGGAUUCUCUUAUGCAUGCUAUUGAAUAUGUCUUAUUAAUCAAACCGUCACCCCUCAACUAUUCAAUUUAAUUAACUCAACAUAUUGAUUCAUAACUAAAACAUCACCUCUCAGUUAUUUGAAUUAAUUACAAAAGGGUUCCAAUAAAAGAUAUCAACUACAGAUAUGUAAUAAUCACCUCUCAGCUAUUUCACUACACAUCUUUAAUCAAUAUAAAUAAAACCAUUAAAGCUAGGUAUCCUUAAACCCUAACAAUAGUAUUUUAAUAACAUGGAUAACAAUAACAUGCAAAUAAUCAUACUUACCUCAUACUGUAGCUAGAAGUAAAUAAGCAUUAAGCACUUUGAAUCACAAUGAACAUUAAGAACAAACAUGGUGCUUUUGCAUUAUCUAGAGUGCUUCAACCAUCCUCCUAAGGGAAUUUAGCUACUCAUCCUUGAUGAUGACACCAUGGAAUAAAUAAAUAAAUAACAAAACAUCAUAAAGUAAAGUGAUUUGAUUUGAUUGAUAUGAAUAGAGUUUGAUACAAAGAAGAAGAAGAUUAACUUUCUCUCACAAAAAUAUUCUCUUUUCUCCCUCUAUGAAAAACUCUAAAUUUAAAAGAUGGGAGUCUAAAAGAUACCUAAACCUUAACUACUUCUCCUAUAUAGAAAAUACAAAGUAGAAUACUUGCAUGCAAAGACUUCCAAAUUAGGUCAAAUUCGUGGCUGCUGCUGUUGGUCUUCUAGAGGCAUUAGGUAUAUAGAAAAACCUAAUUAUCUUAGGCGUAAGUUGUAGCUUGGACCAAGACCUUCAGUUUAAUAGCUCAUGGGCCCAAAUCAGAGUUCUGGAUCUUCUUGUGAGGCAUUUUUAAGUUUGGACUUAAAUAAGGCCUAAAAUAGAAAUUCUGACUUGUGGGCUCCAAUAGGACCCGGUUUGGGCUGAGAAUUGGACCGCCUCACUUUGACCUAAAGUCAAGUCAACAGAGCUGAUUGUGGGGUGCCCUCAGCAGAUCUUGUGGGUGCAAAUAUCGAUUCUCCUUCCUAUGUGCAAAUAACACCUUUUUGCUUGCUUUUCUUGACUUUUCGCGGGCUUUUAGACAAUAUUCGCAUUUCGGCUCAUAAAACCUACACAAUAGACAAGAAAGCACUAAUCAAUAGAUAUAACACAAUAAUAUAAGCUAAGUGCUAUACAAACAAGGUGUUAUUCGGGAGAUAAAUAUACACUUUUGAGGACUUAUCAAAUACCCCCAAACAGCACUUUGCUUGUCCUCAAGCAAAGAUGAGAAGAAAGAAUUAAGGACUCAAAAGAGAAGUAAAACUAUGGUAAUUGCAUUAACCAUAUGCAUCAAGGAUUUUAACCAGAAGGAUUUCCCAGGUGGAAGAGUUAUAGUCUCCUGAGGGUUUUCCAAAGAAUAUACCUACAAACUUACUACAAUGACUAAUCCAAGAAUAGGAAUUUCUACCAUUUACCUCAGAAAUGGUUAUAUCAAGGAUAAGGAUAAGUAUUGCAAAACCGUUCAUAUGAGAUAACAUACUAUAAAUGCAUGAAUAAGAUAUGAAAUAUAAACCAAGCAUAACGGUCUCAAAUGCAUCGAAUAUAGGCAUGUACCGAUGCUACCACGGGUCUUAAGUUACCACUGGAAAGGUCGCCUUGACUUCUGCUUCGCAGUCAUACACUCAGAAAUAAAGUCACUCAGAGAUGGUGUUUAUCAUUUUAUCUCUAUGUGAGGAAGGAAGAUGGACAAUCAUCUCACAUAUAUCAAUAAGAAUGGACUGGUGUAAUGGAAUGAACUUAGUCUCAAAGAAUGGAAAAAUUAGGCUUGCUUGAGAUGUCGGGUUUUUCACCUCAGCACCUUCUCACUUACUCGCCACAUCCUACCAUAUCAGCUUAGAUCUACAAAAGACAGUAAUUGGUUGUAACUUGGCUUAGGACAAGGCUAGAAUGGAAAAGACUUUUGUGAAAUAUUUUUGGAACAUUCGGGCCUUCAAUACUUGUGAUUUGGAAUAACAACACAUGGAGAAAUUUUUGGAAUUUUUCUUUAGGGAAGAAGUGUUUCUCAUCUACUUUUGGAAAUUUUCAAUGAAGCUCUAGCCAAUAUUUUGUAAUCUUUUUUUUUUUUUUAUUUGAAAUCGUUUGGAAGAUUCUGGUUUUUUCUGGAAUUCUUCAAACUUUUUGGUUUUCAAUAUUUGGUUCAUCUCACUAGUUUGGAGAUUUCUAUAUAUUUCUCCUUUCUUCUUGUAACCACAUAAACAAUCAUCCUAAUGUUCCAAAACAAUGGGUAAAAGGACCUAAACAUUCUAAGGGUAUUUACUCCCACAAUGGAGUUGGGUAAGGACAAUGGGCUCAAAAAAAAUGCUAAGUAACAAGAAGGCUCAGAAUGGUCAACCUAAGGGAUAAAGUACCAUCGGGAUAGGCUAAGGUAAACAAGGUUUAUCUAAAUGUCUUUGUAUCAUCUUUAAUUACUGAUAUGGUGAUCACAUCUUGAAUAAGCUACAAGACCCAAGUUUAUAUUACACCCACUUGAUGUCAAGGCUAACUAUAAAAAUGAAUAUGAGACUAAAAACAAACAAAACUGAGAGGUUGAGUCUUUUGACUCCAGAUUGAUGUAAUAUCUCUCCAAGAAAAGGACGGGGCUCAAAAGCUCACUAGAUUAAGUCUCCACACUUAUUCCUCAAGUUUCUCAAGGUGUAGUUGUAUUUGCACAUGUAAUCUGUAAUAAAUGCAGAUGAAUGCCGUGCUUAUGCUCAUGCAAAUGUAGUAUAAGACUAAACUACUUGGUGAAACAUAAAUGUCCUUAAACUUGAAAAGAAGAGAAUUCAACCAUUAUAUUCAUCAUUGAUGGUGUACUUAUCCUAUUUUUGGAAAAGUCUUUGUAACAAAGAUUUUUUUUUGGAUUUUUAAAAUUUUUUGAAUUUUUACACAAGUAUGGAUAAAGAAGUUUCAAAAUCAUUUGCAAAAAGGAUUGUAAUACUUCCCCACCCCCAAACAAAAAGAUUGCCUUAUCCUCAAAGCUCAUACUAUGCAUAGGAGAGAGAGAGUAAGAAAGAUAUUACCAUGAAUGUACUAAAAAAUCAAACCGCUUUAUAAAUUCCUGCCAAACAAAAUUAUCCCCACAUACAUAGAGAUUACAAGGAAUUCCAUACUAAGACACAACUGAAAUAAAAUAUGUUGAAAUAAAGGACUGACUCAACCUAAAGGGACUAUCUUAAAACAAUGCAUUUUGUAACCGCAAUAAUUAUCAACCAGCUAAACGGCAAAAGAGAGAAUGGGUGACAGAACUGAGCAUGGAUGAUAGAACGGGCGGUCUAAAAACCAAAAUGCAACUAAACCCGGCAACAAAAAGAGAAGCAAUAAAACAUGAUCGGGCUUAGAAGAUACACUGGGCUGCCUCCCAAGAGCGCUAAGUUUAACUUCUUCAGCCAGACAGGCAGACAAACAUGACUCAAUCCCUAGAUAAACGCUACUCUAAACGAAGAUACAGAAGAGAUAAAAGGCUAGAGUGGAAUGUGCGAGAUCCUGAUGUCUAAGAUACAACAAAGAGUCUUUUAAAGUCAGAUACUCGAGACUUAAAGGAAGACGGAAAAUGUCUUCCCCACCCCCAAACAGAGCGGGAAACAGGUUUGUUUGGUGGUGACGCUCAAGAGAAAAGCGUGCACUGGAUCAAUUAUACUCAGCCAGUAAGAGUUUGUGGACUAACGGUCCCGACACUUUCAACCACACCUCUUAAAAGAGAUAUCAAAAUAGAGCAAGAGAGGGUCUGGAUACCAGCAGGUCAAUGGUCAGUCUAAAUAGGUAGGGUCCUCUAAGAGAGUUUCAGGAGGCUUUAACUCAUGAAAAUGCUUAAGACAAUGACCAUUGACUUUAAAUUCAAAACCGUCUGCAGGAUUAACACUUGUAAUAGCAUCAUAAGGAGUUACUGCAGACACAACAAAGGGGCCUGACCAACGAGACAUAAGUUUGCCAGAAAAUAAUGCAAACGAGGAUUAUAAAGCAAAACUUUGUUUCCAAUUUGAAAAUAAAACUGAUUUUUCUGUUCGGUAGUAAGAGAUGGAGAGAUGAUAACAGGAUGACUACCGUCUGAAUCUAAUUGGGCACAUUUCAGCUCGGGAGGAAGAGGAUCACGAGAUGGAGGGAUGGUAACAGGAUGACUACCGUCUGAAUCUAAUUGGGCACAUUUCAGCUCAGGAAGAAGAGGAUCACGAGAUGGAGGGAUGGUCUCUACUUGGAACUCAGAAUCAAUGCAACAAACCGAAUCAAGGCCCUCAGGGUCUUUGGGGUCAAAGAUAGGCACAGAAUCAAGAUGAGUUUUGGUUUGGGCAAUAAAUUGGUCAAUGUCGAAGUCAACAUUAUGCAUGGUAGGGCAAUUAACAACCGGAUCUUUAGGGUAACAACUAGGUACCAUCUCAUAGGGUAGAGAAUCGAGAAGGCACACAUCUUUAGAUAAAGAAAGAUCAGGGGGUUGUUGGCCAAGAUUAAAGAUAUUUACUUCAACAGUCAUAGCUCCAAAAGUGAGAACCAUAGAACCAUUCCGGCAGUUAAUGAGAGCAUUAGAGGUGGCAAAAAACGGUCGGCCAAGGAUGAUGGGAGCCGAGUUAUCGGCAGUAGCCUCAGUAUCCAACACCACAAAAUUAACAGGAUAGUAAAAGUCAGACACUUUAAGGUACUUUUAAUGAUCUGUCGGCAAGUUGUAAAGACAUGUUCGUGGGUUUCGUGUAUGUUAGACCCAGGCUGAGGUACAAGGAGUAAGGCAAGAGAUUAACACUCGCUCCCAGGUCUUACAAAGUUCUACCCAUGAACUUAUCACCAAGCUUGCAGGGUAUGGUCGGUUUUCCAGGGUCUUUAUACUUUACCACACCGUUAUGUUGGACAAGUGCAGAGAAUUCUUCAGCGCACAUUUGUUUUCCUCUUAGCGGUGCAGAAGUCCUUCAAAACCUUAGCAUAAGAAGGUAUUUUUUUAAUAGCCAUGAGGAAAGGUAUAUUAAUAUUUAUAUGUUUAAACAGAUCAAUUACCUCCUCUACUUGGACUUCCUACAGAGACCUUGUGAGUCUCUGGGGGUAAGGUACAGGUGGGUCGUAAGGCAAUGGAAUAUCCACAAUCUUACGGGUAUGUAUCCUUGGCUUAGAGGUGUUCGCCUCAUUAGCCGGAUCUUUAGGCGGUGCAAUAGGUGUAGUGGUAACAGGGGUCACAAUGCUAGGACUUGGUUUAUAAUUAAUCUGAUUAUCAACCUGUUUGCUAGACCUAAGUGUGGAGACCGAGUUAACUUCAGCAAGCGGUACAGACGGAUUUGUAGUAUCCGUCACCAAGGUAACUUCCUUGCCUUUGGGAUUCGGGAUGGACUGUCCCGAAAAUUUACCCUUUUCAUCAAGUUUUUGUUCAAUCCUCUGGAUAGCUUGGGCAUUUGACUCAAUAGCACAUCCUCAAGGGAGGUCUUAGGUGGGGCAGAUUGAUUAGCUGGCAUAUGGUCCCUGGAACCACUCAUGUGAUGAGUAUUGUUCGAGUAAGGGGGGACCGGUGCCCUGUUCCGAUUAUCAGUGUUACCAACAUACGUGGCAUUGCUAUGUUGCCCAUAAGAGUUAUUAAAACCAGGUGGAGCCGCAUAAUGAUUAUUUGAAUCAGAAAGAUUGGAGCAGUCCAUGUAUGUGUACGUUGCAUUGCCCUUAGUAAAGUUGGUUUGCCCGGCGUAAGUGAACGCACGGGCUUCCUCAGUUUCUGGUGAAUUAUAAAAGAAAGGGCAGAACUCGACAGUAUGGGUCUGGUAAUGACAAGCAGUACAUUGGAGAGUGGAGGCACUUAUAACAGGUGAUGUGGGCUUUAAGGAUACCUCAAGUGCUUCUACCAUUUGUACUAAACCAUGAAGUAAAGUUUUAACCUCAGAGUCAUGUUUGACUUCAUAUAUACCUCUAGGUUUAUCAAAUGAGUAUGGGGUAGUGUUUCUCGGGGUAUGUUCAGGUAAGUCCCAUUGCUGGCUAUUAUUAGCAAUUUUUUCAAGGAAUGCCAGAGCCUUGGCGGUGGAAUAAUCAAAAAAUUCUCCACCGCUCAUGCUAUCAACCAUGUUUCUAGUUGUAUAAUUAAGGCCUCUAUAUAUGAUCCUAACUUUUUCUGUGUUAUCAACUCUGUGGUGUGGACACUGAAGAAAUAGGUCUUGAUACCUCUCCCAUCCAUCAAAUAAAACUUCACCCUCUUUAUGCUGGAAACUUCUUAUGGUAUCAACUAUAUCAUUAGUUCUGGUAAUAGGAAAGAAUUUGGUCAAAAACCUUUUAUUUAGUUGAGCCCAGGUGUCAAUAGAAUUGGAAAGGAAGGCCAUGUAACCAGUGAUAUGCUCUAUCCUCAAGGGGAAAGGGGAACAAUCUCAAGCUAACUUCCUCCUCAGACAAAUGUUUCUCCAUAAAAGUAUUGAGAACGGUCAAAAACUUAUUGAGGUGCUGAUAUGGAUCCUCCUGUGGAAGUCCAUGGAACUUAGGCAACAUGCCCACAAUCUGUGGGCGAAUGCCAUAGCUAUCUACAGUUGUCUCAGGUAAGACUAUGUAGGUAGGUGGCCAAAGGUGAAAAGUAAUCCCGAAGGGUAGCUUCUUGAGCCAUAGGGGCAGGUCUUACUUCAGAAAGUGAAGUCGAGUCGUUGAACUCUUCUUCAGAAGGUAUGGAGGUUGAGUCGUUAAACUCUUCCUCAAGAUAAGGAGUGAGGUAUGUGAUUGUGCUCUUUGUGUGGAUUGGAGUUGGUUUGGACAAGAUUUUACCUGAUCUAAGAUGCAUGCAACAUGCGCAUUACAAAUGCCACAGAAGUCCUAAGCAUCUAACAAGGGGCUCAAAAACUGACUCAAUUUUGUGUUCACCCAAGUCAAUGAGUUAUUUCCAACCUUCCCUUGUGAAUUCUCCCUAUAUUUCAUGAGUCAAGCAGCGAAUAACCAGUGUGGGAUGUUUUCCGUGCGUAAGCGACAGUCCUUAAUUAAGAAACCACAGUAAUUCUACAGACGUAAUUUGUAGGGGUUCCAGACCCAAUUCCUAACUUGUGCUCCAAUCAAAGGAUGGUUCACGUAGUAUUAGUUGAAACAUCUGCUCAAGGUCUCAAAUGAACAUCGUGAUAGCAUGGCUUUAGUUGGUUCAAUUUUAAAGCUUGGGAUAUUGCAAUCAAUUGAUAUUAGGUUUCACUUAUAGGCCAGGUCCGCCUUGCAGUCCCAGUUUAACAAGUAAAAACAGAAUUUAAAAUCAAGCAAAAAUCAAGGUCAUGCUAAUCAUUACAGAAACUACUCUUGCAGGGGAUUCAAGGAGGGUUAGGAGAAUGCUUACCUCCUACUUUGUGCUAAAAAAUAAAAGUGCCAAACAAGCGUACAAAAGUGGGGAGAAGACGAGUUGAAGUCGACUAAGGGGAAACCGCUCCUUGGAUUUCAAUCGUCCUUAGGAGUCGUUCCUUAGUAGACUCAAGGCUAGCUCCACAACCUUACUCUACUAUCUGCCGCAAACAUACAAUAACAUAAAUCCUAACAACACCAACUUUAAAAAUAUUACAACUACGACCCUUUCGUGGAUCGAAUAAUUAAAUAUCUUACAAGUCUUUAAAAAUAAUGAAAAAAAUAGACUACUUAGUUCACCUCACAAUCUCUCAACAGAAAAAAAAAAUUAGCUGAAAAGGAGUUCUGGAAUGCUCUGGAAAAAUCACGCAAAACAAGGCAAAUUCCCUGCCUGGAACUCGACUCGUGAUGGAUAUAGGCCAAACUGAAAUCGACUCGAGAUCGGGCCCAGUUUCAACCAGUAACUUUAAGGAAAAUUUCCAGAACGCCCCUCUUUCGUAAAAAUUUGAUCUUUACUUCAUUUUUCGAGUUUUUUUCAAUCUGUCUUCGCUGCAAGAUCAAUAAGAGGACUAAGUAACAAGACACUUUAAAUAAAUAAUAAAAAGAACUAAAAAUAGAAGGGUGGGAGGGAUAGAAGUGGGAUGAUGUCCCGAAACUACUAUUCUCGUUUGUGUUUGAAUGAACUUCGUUCCUUAGAGCGGCAACGACGCCAUUUUGAUGUAAGAUAUUUGUGUACCUCACAAUCAAAAGAUAGAUUUGUAUUGAUUUUUCCUUCUUGUGGCUAUAUAAAUUGGUUAUCAAAGUAGACAAGUAACAAGCAAGGGUCGUACCCACCUCAGAGGGGGAGAUCUUAGCUCAAACACAAUAAAAAACAAUUGUUAAGAAACACCAAGGGAAUCAAUAAUAACAAUUGAGAUUGAUUCUAACUUCCUACAUGCAAUAAUUAAAUAAACCCUAACUUAAGAAUAUGGUAGCUAGAGAUGAAAAGAAGAUUUAUGAUGACAAAGGGGGUAGAAUUGGUAUCCACAAACUAAAUCAUGCAAACAUAACAUGUUGUUCCUUCAUGUUCAAUCUAUAGCAAUUAAUUAGUCACCUCUCAGUUAUUCCAAUUAAUCAUUAAUACCUAUAAUAAUCAAGUAGUCACCUUUCAGCUAUUCCUCUCGAUUAAACGGGAUUCUCUUAUGCAUGCUAUUAAAUAUGUCUUAUUAAUCAGACCAUCACCUCUCAGCUAUUUAAUUUAAUUAACUCAAUAUAUUGAUUCAUAACUAAAUCAUCACCUCUCAGUAAUUUGACUUAAUUACAAAAGGGUUCCAAUAAAAGAUAUCAACUACAGAUAUGUAAUAAUCACCUCUCAACUAUUUCACUACACAUCUUUAAUCAAUACAAAUAAAACCAUUAAAGCUAGAUCUCCCUAAACCCUAACAAUAGUAUUUUAAUAACAUGGAUAACAAUAACAUGCAAAUAAUCAUACUUACCUCAUACUGCAGCUAGAAGUAAAUAAACAUUAAACACUUUGAAUCACAAUGAACAUUAAGAACAAACAUGGUGCUUUUGCAUUACCUAGAGUGCUUCAACCAUCCCCUAAGGGAAUUUAACUACUCAUCCUUGAUGAUGACACCAUGGAAUAAAUAAAUAAAUAACAAAACAUCAUAAAGUAAAGUGAUUUGAUUUGAUUGAUAUGAAUAGAGUUUGAUACAAAGAAGAAGACGAUGAACUUUCUCUCACAAAAAUAUUCUCUUUUCUCUCUCUAUGAAAAACUCUAGAUCUAAAAGAUGGGAGUCUAAAAGAUACCUAUACCUUAACUACUAUUUCUCUUAUAUAGAAAAUACAAAGUAGAAUACUUGCAUGCAAAGACUUCCAAAUCUAUAUACUAUAUAAUAGUGGAGCCUAACAAGUGCCACAUGGCGUGUUCUCAACAACUUGAUAAUAGAACUUAAGCCCAAGAUAAAACCCAACGGAAGCCCAAUACACAUCAGCAAGCAGAACCCAAAUUUUAAAACCCUUCCUCUCCUAUUUCAACUCCUUCCAAAAAUACAUGUUAGCAUUUAGCAAGCAGAACCCAAACUCUUCUUCUUCUGUUUCAACUCCUUCCAAUUUCUAAAAGACUAAAACUCUUCUUCUUCUGUUUCAACUCCUUCCAAAUCUUCUAUUAAAACCCAUAUAUUACAAUAAUGGCGGUGUGAGUAACUUCUGAAAAACCCAAUUACAGCUAAGCCUGCAUCAAUCUAUACUUCCAAAUCUUCAUCACUUCCAAUAUUCUAGAUCCCUUCAUCAACUUUUAUUAUUCAAGUUCGAUUGCUUCCAAUGUUUUUUACCCUUUACUUUAAUUGUGCUGCAAUGCAAGAUUGGCACCAUCUGAUGUGUUUUAAUGACGGAAUACUUCAAAUCUCCUGCUAUAAUUUUAUCUAAGAGUCCUUGAGUUAUGUUAUCUAUACAUUAUCAUGAACUUACUGACUUUAAAAUUGCAAGAAAAUUAUUGAUUGAUCAUAAUUCAUAUACAACUAAUCCAUCAAUAUUCUUAGUAUUUACUGUACCUGACUACAAUUUCGAUGUUUGGCGGAUUAUUUGGGUGAAUGAAUGAGGAAGCCUUUUAUUGUACAUAGGUCAUAGACCAUGUUUGCUUAACAAACCAUUUUUUUUUACUGUACAUAGGAUUUCUUAGAACCACUAACUUAGAAUUGGUUUAGAUUGAAAUAAUAGCAUUGCAAGUGAUUUUGUCGCAUAUACUGUCACCGAAGAUAGAAUGCAUGAAUCUAAGUGUGGCAUUUUUAUACACAAUUCAAUGAUAGCUGCCCACAACACUCGAGUAUGAAAACCUUCUCUUUUAAAUUUUUGCAUAAGGGGCGUCACUAUUAGCCAAGAAUAUUCAGUGAGUUUCUAAACAUAAUAUUUUAUUUCCUUGAUUUGGGAGUACAAUUCGACAGUAUGGCAUAUCAUGCUUCUAAGUUUAUUCUUAAUAUAACAUGGAGCAUUUUAAAUGAACACUCAUCUGCUUUUAAAAAUAUCCAUUUGACCCAUUAUUUAUAGUUUUACUUACUGCCAAUACGCUUUUACUGCAAUUAAGAACAAUAGGGAUAUGAAGAAGAACCAUGUGCACUAGGGGUGGCAAAUGGGUCGUGUUGGGUCGUUUUCGGGUCGUGUCUGUGUCGGGUUGCGGGUUGAAAUAGGUAAAACACGAAAUGACCCGGUUAUUAAACAGGUCAACCUGAAACACGACCUGCUUAGACCUGCUUAUAGACGGGUCACACGACUCGACACGGUUGAGACACGAUGUCAAACCUGUCUAAAUUGCACUUUACAUUUGCAUUAAUAGAUUAUUUUUUCUGGUAAAGUACAUUAAUAGAUUUGAAGAAGGCGAGUGGAUUCAGAAGAGAUCAAUGAACAUUACCAUAAAAAAGAAAAAAAAAAAAUUUAGGAUCAAUGAUCAAUUAUCAUCACCUAUGUUCAUCAGAGAAACUUCCAUUUUCAAACCCAAACCCCUAACAUUUCCAUCAGUUGUUGAAGAAAUUGAGUUUGGUUUGCUUUAGAUCUUUAAAUUCCUAACCCCUUUGAUUUUACUCCUUACUUCCUCAUACUCCUUUUGACACCAUUGCUGAUCUGAUUAAAAAAAACCCAAAAGCUUGAAACUAAUUUGAAGUUAAUGUUUUUAUGUGAUAGAAUUCUGCUCUUGAGUUAGGUUUUAAUAAGAUGGUAAAUGAGAAGAAGUAAAAGAGAGAUGAAGAUGGAUUUAAUAAGAAGAAUUUAAAAGGAAAGGAAAAAAUUCUGCCAUUGAUUGGAAGUAUGUUUUCAAAGCUUCUACUACUCCAGCAACUAAUAAAGAAGAAGAAAANNNNNNNNNNNNNNNNNNNNNNNNNNNNNNNNNNNNNNNNNNNNNNNNNNNNNNNNNNNNNNNNNNNNNNNNNNNNNNNNNNNNNNNNNNNNNNNNNNNNAGGAGAGAAUCCCAUAACAUUCGUGUAAACAUGGGUUAUUUUUGGGUACGAGGGUUGGACACGGACACGACCCAGUUAGAAAAUAGGCUCAACGGGUUAAACACGUUAGUGACACGAAACAGGUAAAUGGUUAACCCAAACACGCAAAAAACGAGUCGUUUUUGGGUCGUGUUUAUGGGUUCGUGUCAAAACUGCCACCCCUAAUGUGCACUAUUUACGAACACUGCGGGCUUGGUGUGGGCUCUGUUUAGGGGGCCAAGUAUACACAGUGCCUAUAAUACAAUAGGGAUCUGUAGUGAUAUCCUUUUCAUUUAAUUUCCAAGUUUCUUCUUCAUAUUAUUUACUUCUUUUAUUAAUUUUGAUCGGGUACUUCCAGACUUUUGCCCUUAUUUAUGUUCUUACUUGAUUUGAUAGCUUCAACAAGUAAUCACAUGAUUGAACUAACCUUAUGUCCAUCUCUCUACUUGGAUUUGAGAAGUUGGCAACAAAAGUGAACUCGCCAUUCAAAUACUGCGCUGUCUAGGUAUGCUAUUGAAACUUGCAGAAGUUGCUUGGAAUAAUGGGUAUUUUGGUUUACUACAUAAUGCAUCACACCAUAUGAGUGGAUUGGUCCACCUAGGCAGUGGGAGUAGCCUUGAAUAUCUUUGUUUUCCAGGAGUACUAAGGUGGUUUAGUGGUGUGGAAAAGUGUUGAUUUAUUGCAUGCUUAUACAUAAUCAUUUGGUUAGAUGGAGGAGAAGGUAUGGUUUGAUUUUCGGGUAGAGGAGGAAGAGAAAACAUCUUAAGAGAAAUAUAUGGUGCUGUUAAGUGUCAACACAAAGCCUUGGAUGAAAACAAUGAGGUUAAAACAUGUGAGUGAGAUGGCGGUGCUUUAAAGAAGGUAUACUUGCUUACUGUGAUUUUUCAAUUUCUCUUUAUUUGUUGUUUUGUGUUACUGCUAUUAAACUUAGGAUCCACACAUGCUUGGAUUGUUAAUAAUAUUCGACAUUUUGCUUACACAAGUUUCAUCUUCUUUGUUAUUUUUUUUAGUUCUAAUAUUAACUAAACUAUGCCGUGAAGUCUCAUCUACGAUCACAAGGAAAAGGUUUAGCUAGCAUCCAUUAAUAUGGUCAUAUGGACUAAUUCUUUUUCGCUAAUGUAAUAUGGACUAUAAAACACACCCAUUUCUUAGCCAUUCAUGUGACAUCUCCUUAAGUUUGAAUGGUUUAUGUAUAACAGAAAUAGGGCAGGUGUGACUUUUUUAGAACCACAUACGAGUGGGUGAUGUCGCACCUAUGACCUAUACUGAGUAAGCUUCUAUCUUAUUAUUGUUUAGUUCUCACCACCCAUAAGGUCACAAAGCUAAAUCUUGAACAAAGUUACUUAUGAAGUGUUAUGAGUUCAGGAAUUGGAUUUCAAACUCAACAAUUAUUAUGAAUCAUGUUUUUUUUUUUCUUAUCAAAAAAAAAAAAAAAAAAAUGUUUUAUUUUUUUUUUGUUAAAUUGUAAAUUUUAUUGAUGUAAAGAAAGAGUACAAAAGUAGCAUGUUUACUAGGAUCAAUGAUAGAGACAUUCACUUCACCAAACCAUAAGUAAUCAAUUAUACUGCACAUAAUAAAAAACAUAGGAAACAUACUAUUCUGAUAUAUUGCUAAUAUAUCAGAAUGUUCCCUGCACAAAGUAUUUAUCUAUAAUCCACAACAGGCUAUAUACGAACAUAUAUAUUGCAAAGUCCUAUUUGGAUAUCAGUAUGCAUUGCGUUGAUUUUUAUAUCAGUAUUUGGAUAUCAGUGUGCAUUUAAUAUUUAGACAGUAUGAUUUGGAUAAACUAAUUUUAUAUAUUUUGUUUAGGCUAUAUAUGAGCAUUUUGUUUGAGCAAAGAUUUUAAUAUAGUUAAAAUUCUAUUCUCAUAUAUAUAUAUAUAUCUGAAUUGCAAAGAUAGUGGUUUUAUAUGCAUAAAGUGGAAUUUUCUAUAGUGUGUUUUGAUUUCUUUUAAUGAUAUAUAUUGUUGACCUUUAUUUAAAAAAAAAAAUUUGCUUACUUAUGUUCACCAUAAGUAAUGUCCUCUGAUUUUCAAGGAUAUAUUUUUUUACGGUGUGCACAUACUACAACCAUCGAGCAAGUAAAGAGGGAGUUGAUGGUUUACUUAUGGAAUUGGUUAGAUAAUGAGCUAUUAAAGGUAGAGCAUCAGUUCAAGGAACUUCUAUUAGAGUGGCAGACGAUUCAUAUAAAAAAAGAGAGUGGGAGACUAUGGUCCAAGGAAAUGUGUGAGGGAUAAAAGAGUCCUGUAAUGUUAAUAAGAGUUUGUAUUAUCUUUGUUUUGGUUUUCUGGCUACCUAACAAUGUCCUUUGUGGCAUGCCGAUCAGAAUGUAACAGUUUUUGGUAAUUAAUAAAAUCUAGCACUUCUAUUAAAAAAACAUCUUAGAGUAAACUCUGCUCUGGGUUGUGUUAGCUUCAUGUAUGCAGAUUGUGUUGCUAGGUGUCUAUGUGAUAACCCUGUGAUAUAGCUUUAAGUAUGCAGAGUUAUUUGUUGCAAGGUGUCUCUAUGAUAUACAUAUGCUUUCCUUACUAAGUUUUGAGCACUAGAAGCUGAAAUGUAGACUUACUUUACAAUGAGAUUUCAUUCAGCCUAUAAUAAAUUAAUAGACUCAAUAUUUAUCUAUUAGCUGAAAAACUCACUUCUCACAUCCCUCACUGAGAAAGUCUCAGUGAAUGCAGUUGACAGAGCUGAAAUUAUAUAUUCUAUACAAUCUCUUUCAUUAUUUUAUUUAUUUAUUUAUUUGAGUUUUUUUUUCUGGAAACAAAACUUGAUGACAAAAAGGAGGAUAAUAAUCAUAUAGACCAAAGUUAUUCUGCACUGGAUCCUCUACAGGUAAAACACAUUAACUAAAACUUUGUUAGUCCACUAACAUAGAUGUAUGUUGGUCUAGAUAACAUAGAGAAAAAGGUGGUGCCUACUAUAGAAGUGAUUGAUGCAUUUAUGUCCUCUACAAUUGUUAUUUCUUUUGUGAUCUAAUUGCCUCAAUUGAAGUGAGAGCUAUGGUUGGAGCUACAGUUGGAAGGUCUUCAUUAUUUAAGUAACUGUAUACUGCCAAGUGCUUAAGGCUUUAGCGCUUAGUUUGCAACUUCCUUAAUAUUUUUGUUAAUAGUAGUGUAGCUAAUAGAGGUGGUUUUCUAUCGGUUUCAUGUGUAGGAUGCCAAGGAUAACACAACGUUGGAAACUGAUGAUGAUUUUUCUUUAAUUCAUUCUGAUCAGGAUCAUAAUUUUGUUAUCAAUUCAGUGCUCCAAUAGCACGGAGCCAUAGUGAUUGUUUUAAAAUUUCGGGUGAGCCUUUUGCUAAACGAUAAUGCAUCCCUCCAGAAUUGAAAUUUCUCAUCAAUUGAUUAUUACAGAGUUAUUUUGUGUAAUUAAAAAUGGUAAUAAUAUAACACAAGAACAAAAAUCCCAGUGCGACUAUGUAAUCACAAAUCAUAAUAUCUUUGAGAAAUAUGCCUGCUAUGUAAUCACAAAAUCAUGCGUAGCACGGGUUCAACAACUAGUACUAUAUAAUAGUAGAGCCUAACAAGUGCCACGUGGCGUGUUCUCAGCAACUUGAGAAUAUAACUUAAGCCCAAUUGUAAGCCCAAAUCCUUAACAAAAUUUCACAAGUUUUCUACCAUUCUUCUACUUCACCGUCUUCUACAAUUCUUCUCCGUCUCAGAUUCCUCUUUCUGCACGGUAUUCAAUUUCUAAUUGUAUCAAAACCUUUAAGCCAUAUUUAUUGAGUCUCUUAGAGCUUUAAUAUUUUUCCUCCCUGUUAUUUGGUGUAACCUACUCAACAAGAAAAACAGGUAAUCUCUUAAACUUUUAAUUUUUCUACAUUGAUGAAUUCUAAUUCAUAAUUGUUUUCUAAUUUUAAUUCAUAACUUCUUCCUAUUCGAUAAUUGAUUAAUUCUAUUGUGUUAAUGCUGGUUGUAUUGACCUAUUUCUAGAUCAAUGCAUUCACUAGGUCAGGUCGUUAGCAGACUUGACCAAUGGGGGGAGCUUUACAACGACGUGGUUGCACCUCGUUGAGAUUGAGAUUGCCUACGUACUCUAGUUCGUGGGGAUUUAACCUAGAGAUCAAGCCAUCGUAGUUCUGUUUAUAUAGGAGGUGAAGAGGCGAAGAUCAUGGGAUCCUGCAGAUUCUCCGACAUAUUUAUGAUGAUAUGAUUUUCUCCAGCGAUUGUGUAACGGUUGUAGUAAUUGGACAACGGCUGGAGGGAGUAUCUUGGGAGCCGAAUUAGGGCACGUGCGUAUUAGCAGACCGCUGCUGAUUAUGUAGUCGAGUCAUUGUGGUCGAGCUACUAGUAAGUUGAGAUCGUAGCGACCUGACGGAUUAACGACUAUGCCACAUUUAUAAGCAUCUAGUUAGGGAGGCAAAUCAGGUGGCAGAUUUGUUAGCUAAAAGGGCUUUGCAGAAUGUAUGUACAGAUAGAUGGAUAAUGGAUCCUGACGCUCAGUUGAGUCAGUUGUAUUUUGACAGUAUUUCUAGUGUGUACACUAGAACUAGAUAAUGUACAGUUUGCUAGAUAAAUAAAGUAUCUUUUCAUAAAUAAAAAAAAGUAUGGAUUCAGACUGUCUACCCCUAAGGAGAAUCAGGUGCAGUACUUAAUUGAAGAGUGGGAAAAAAUAAUUUGGGAUGAAGAAUCUGGGGAAUAAUAUUAGGAAAUAGGACAGGUUUGCAGAGCUAAUCACAGUUUAGGAGCUGCUAUAAAAGAUCGUUCUUGAAUCGUGGAGUUGUUCAGUUUCAAAUUUCAGUCUCUUGUUACGUUCAUUUAUUAUAUGUUGCAAUAUGUACACCAUUUUAAAACAGAAAAAAUAUACAGUAAACUAAAUCUCAAUCUAAAUAUCUAAAAUCUCAGAGUUGAUAGGUUGAGAAGGAGAAUCAUAAUAAUUACUAACAGGUGUGCGUUGUGCAAGGGUACAUAGUAUUCUACUCCACAUCUUCUUUUUUUUCCGCUUGCAGGGUCCCAAAGCCAAAGAAAGCUACGAUUUGCGUCAGUACAGCUGCAACGACAAACUUGGCAAGUUACACAUUGUCAGGAAACUGUUGCAGCAAUGGCCGACAUUCAAUGUUAAAAAUAUGGCCAUAGUACCCUACACAAAACUGUGGUGAAUUUGGAUGACGUGGAAUAGAUAUUAUCUUCAAAGACAAAACGCUCAACAAAACAAUUAUUUAGCUGAAGGGACUGUUUGGACCUGGCCAAAUAUGGAUCAACUUUCAAUAACAAUGAGGGAGAGGGUGAGAUUUUCUGAGCUCCAAAAUGUGUGAUAAAGUCAUGGAAGAGAAAUGAUGAAGCGGGAAGAACACCAGCAAGUUAGGGCCAGACAACACACCAGCAGCAUAGGGCUAAAGCCAGCAGGUUAUAGGUUGCAGCAAACCAGCAACGUAUCGCCACCAGAUGCUGGAUUGUUCUACUUCAGUUAGUUAACACAGCUGCCCACACAAUCUAAAAUUUCUAUGAAAUUACAGUGAUGUAUGCUAAUUGCUAAGAAAAUUCUCAACUAGUUUAGUCAAGGGAGAGGCAAACAGAGGUGCAACUGCAGGGGUUUGAAGAUAGCAGAUAAGCUGAAGUAAUUUCAGCAAGACUGCAGAGGAAACAGACAACAGUAGCAGCAGCGAGCACUGUUCAGAACUAUGCAGUUUCUAUGGAUAUUUUGUCAGGAUCAGUGUAAGCACUCAUCUUCUUUCUUACAGUUAAUUUUUUUUGAUAGAAUGCAGGGAUCACACUGUACAAGGAUGUACUACUGGAGAGGUAGUAAUCUGCUGACAGUAGCAUAUAUACUGGUCAGAAUCUGUAAUUGUUCCAGAGUUUUGAAUAUUAAUUUUACGUUCCAAGGAAAUGGACACUGAUUCAAGAAUUGCAAGAUAGUUGGAGGUGAUGAGGAGCUCAUUCCAUUCGCUAUUGAUUAGGAGGAUAGAUAUGUGUCAACUGGAAGGUAUAUGUCCACUACUAUUAUACGAAAUUGCAGUUCUGGACAGGUGUGUAAAACUACAAAUAGUGCUAAUCUAACAAUUGAAUAUUCAACCAAAUCAAACAAUACGCAGAAAGUAAAUAACACACAGGAAUUUUUAACGUGGUAAAACCCAAUAUGGGAAACGUCCACGGUUGUCCUCGCGACAACAAAUAAAUCCACUAGAUGAGAAAGAGAUUUACAAACCUAUCAACUACCUGCAAUCACUGCGAGUUGACACUCCUGGUUAUCUCUAACACCUUGACUUCACCAGAGCACCUUGAUGUACGCACAAGACACUCGACUUCUUGAUGAACACACAAGAAGACUCGAAGCCGAUCUAUGUAACAAGCUUACACCAGAGUUCCUUGAUGAACACACAAGGAUACUCGACUUCUUGAUGAACACACAAGAAGACUCGAAGCUAAAUCACUAUUCAAUAAUGUAGAAGAAAAUGAAUAGGGAAGAAGGAAGAAGAAGAUGAAUGAGAAGAAGAAGAUGAAUUCAAUCACCAAAACAACCUAAACCAAAACCUAAACAAACUCCAAGAACAAGAGAAAUCUUGGACGGCCAAAGGACUAACUUGUUCUUUGGAAGAGAAACCCUAUUUAUACUUAGGGUUGGAAACCAAGGAAAAUGGGCCGAAAUAGUGAAAACCCACAUUGGACGUACGUACGUCGAUAUGACGUUCGUACGUCUCAAACCGAAAUACACCUGCUGACUACUUGGACGUACGAACGUCCUAAGAAGGUACGUACGUCCAGACCAAACAAACUUCCUGCUGACAUACCAUACGUACGUACGUCCUGAAGAGGUACGUACGUCCUGAACCAAAUACCAUACUUGAGACACACGACGCGAAGACAAGGACACGGGACGACGCGCGUACAACAAAGUUUUCUUAACAAUGAACUCAAGGCGAAAUAACCAAGGACGACCAAUGUCACAAAAUUGAUGUCAAACCACUUCGUGCCGGUUUCAAUCUCCCCCUUUGACAUUGAUUUUGUGACAAAAACCUAUGACUCUAAUAGCACUUAUAAAACGUGCUUACAAACCCAAACCAUGGCAUUUAUAAAACAUGCCUACAAAAUCACUCAAGGUAGAACACAUACCAAGUCACCAAUUCUUGUUAUCCAGCUUGAGCAAGACGCUUUAACCAUCAGAGACCGAACGGAAGCAACUAAGAAUUUCCGAAACAAUCAAGGAAUCAACAGAAGUUCCUUCGAGCAAUUCCCCCAUACUUCAUGAGCUCCAAAAUUUUGACACUCGAGCUCCCCUAUAACUGUACAACCUCUAAUCAUCAACACGUUCACUCCCCCAUACUUGUAGGAUACCUGCAACAUGACCCAAGAAUACACUAACAAAGGAAGAAACGAAUGUUAGUAUUAGAGUCAUAAAUCUCCCCCAUUUUGUCACAAAUGAAGCAAGGUAACAAAAGAAAGAGAAAAGAAAAAAAUACCAAACCAUAACAAAUAAGAUUAAAGAAGAAAAGAAAGAGAACAAUCAUGUUAACAACAAAAAGGAUAUCCAACGGAAGCCAUAACAUAAACACUUGUUAACGCGAUGUCAAUACAAAGAAUUCUCUCCCAAAACAAAAGCUUCUCCUAAAUGCAAUGCAUAUGAGAAAGAUGCACCUAGAACAAACAAACCAAAUAAGGAUAUUUGAAACACACAAAGAACCAAACAUACAAGGGUAGAAGAGAGUAAAGAGAAAACCAUACCAUAAAUCUGGAAUCCAUGACGCACAAAACUAAAAAACAUGAGAGAGAUCUAGACAUAUAAAUGAAGAAGAAAGAGUACCAACACAGACACAAGAAGGAAGAUUAGAUAAGACCCAAAACGAGAUAAGAAGGAGAUAGUGAAAAGACACUGAAUACUUAUAUAGGUAACAGAGGGAAGAAAAGAAAACAUAACAUGAAUCCCUGAUAGAAACCAAGAGAAACCUAUACUUAGAAGAAAGAGUCAGGACACCAACAAUCAGAACAAAUGAUUCACUAGAAUAUCACUUUAAACAACCGACCAUAACCACCUGAGAUAGACUCCAGAGAGACUACUUCAUAGUAGGAAGAUAUCUAGAGAAAAAGAGCAAACAAACAAAAAGGAAGGAAUACCAUACCCGAUGAAAUCGGCAACGUACAAUAAUGACCAAGAACCGAAUAGUCAAACCUGUGAGAAAUGUGCAAGAAAAGAAUAUGCGAAAAGAGAAAGAAGAAGAGAUAAACAAUAGUUAGUAGGAAAUAUGAAAGAGAAUAGGGAAACCAUGCUUACUAGACACAUCCAACAAUAUCCCAUGACAAAACUACAGGAAUAUGAGUAUCUGCAGGAAGAGAUAUGUAAAGUAGAAGAAAAUCCAUUGAGAAUCCAUGGGGAAAUCCAAUCUGUACAUGUUCCUGUAAGCCCACCCUAGUGAAACCCAACAAUUAGUUCAACAUAUGCCAAACAAGAUAAGCAAUCAUCAAGCUCAUAAAAAGAAAUGCUUUAAUCUGAAGAAUUAGCAAGGAUUAACGAUUUCACCAAGUCACAAAACAACAAUCCAACUUCAGAGCAAAUUUCCUGCCAGAACACUAAGACUCCGAUGACAUGCCAUACAUUGUCAGAAAGAUUAGAGAGUCAAUAGAAGAGAAUUGCUAACAGUAGAUGACCGAACAGAGCAUAUGCAUCCCAAAGUAGAGCAGUGGUAGCCCAAAACCAUUGCAUGAGGAUUAUUACAGAAAACUACCAAGAACACAUCUAAUCAAACCUAUUGCAGGAAAAAAUAGGAUCAACCAGACACAAGAAGCAACAAUAAGAGGAUAGGCAAGUCUCAUAAGUAUUUAAUCACACACCAGCUAGCCAACAAGGUAAUUCAAGAAUAUUAUCCCAACAUAGAAAAGUAUGAUGAGAACCUAUGAGAAAAACAUGAAGCAGUAUAAAUCAUGACAAACGAAUACACCAAUAACAUGAUUUCAUCACCAAAAUAUGCUUAUGCAUACCUUGUAGCUUUCUUAAAACAAAUUGAGAACUAUUACCUUGAGAAAUCACAUCAAACACAUGUGAGCCAAUGACAAAAAUAGAAAGCAUGAAGUGUAAAACCAAAUAAUACUAACAAUCUGACCUUAGUAUGUCAAGGAAACACCGACUGAAAAGAAUUACCAAGGAUGGAACCAAAAUAGAGUAAGCCAGAAACACUUUCAGCAAGAACAUCCGCCUGUAAAGUUACUGAGAGAAAAAUAAAGUUGACGACACGCACAUUGUCCAUGAACUCCUUUGAGCACGAGGAGGACGUGUGCCCGAUGACAAAGCACCCUUGGAACCGGGUGUUUCCUUAGUUGGAGUAGUGCAAGCGUGCUUAGGAAGCAUGGCCUGCACACACACAACAUUAUAACACCACACAAGUAAGUAAAACCAACAAAACAACCAAGAAAAACCUUAGGAAACCCAUUGAGGCAUUUCACCAAACACUUGGUGAGCAAUACAGGACAUAUAGGCAAAAACACUACAUGAGCUUACCAAAAUGAUACUAAACAUGUCCAUGAAACUCCACAACCAUUAAUAAUCACAAGAAGUUCCAAAAAGCAUCUAGACAACAAGUAUAUAUCCAAUGGUAUGAACCCAAUAUGAUCAUGGUAAACAAGCUCAUAAUCCAAAGCAUAACCGACAAAUAAUAAUGAAGUAUCAAGAGAAGAACAGAGAGUAAUAAGAGCUUCCUAAACAGUUAGAAGGGGAUAAAAAACUUCUCUUGUUCGUGCUUAGAGAAUAUAUGCACGAUUUGAAUUUAGUUGGCAAGAAUUUCAAACAGAUGGGCUGGAGAAGAAAACAAUUUGGGCCGUUACUGUUCAGAGGACGUACGUGCGUCUUUAGUACGUUCGUACGUCGGAAUACAAGAAAAAAACCUUGCUGCCUGAACAUGCGUACGAACGUUAUAACACCGUUCGUACGUUCCUCCAAAAAAAAACAUCUGCCUCCACAAACAUUCGAAUGUGCUAAUAACGUUCGUACUUUUUUUUUUUUUUUUUUUUAACAGAAAAGCAAACCAAAUGACAAACAACACAAACCAUAAUAAGAAGAGAAAAGGAAAAAAAAAACCGAUGUACCAUAGAAGUGAAGAGGAAUACAUCAUGAACUUCCAAAAACAGUAGCCAAUCCCAAUCCGUACAAAAAUGAGAGGCAAUAUAUGGGGAUAAACAAAAGAUUGAACAAAUAAGAGAAUUGAAGUGCAUCAUAAACUAAACCUCGGUGUGUAGAUGCAAUGCAAUGCAUAAAGAGAGAUAAAGUUCACCACUAGAACACACCCUUUGAAGACCUAGAAUAUAGAACCAUCAACAAGAGACAUACGAUUAGCAAGUGAGCUUAGAAGAAACAAACUUCAAUCCCCUUUGAAACAAACAAUAUGAGUGGAAGACAAACGAAUAUAAAUAUGAACUUUCAAACAAAAACCAAGAUAUCCAAAAGGCAAAGGAAUAUAAACUUUGUAUGCCUUACAUAAAAAAAAACAAUGAAUAUGCGCUUGGAUUUUUAUUUUGCCGCAUGUGGUGGAGUUUAGUCUUCAUCACUAAUGUCAUUCCCGCGUGGGAGGGAUUUUUGCCUCCAUCUUUUCAAAUACACGAGGGUAGGGUGUAGCCUACAUCUUUUUGACAAACACAAACUCAAGAAGUGCAAUACCAUGAUAACGUGCAACACAAGAACUAACAUCUCUUGAGUGCAUCCGUCAGAGCAUGACCCUCACAACCCCAACGGGUUCUUAGCCAACUGAUAUUGCUUCAAAGACAAUCAAAUGGCUGGGGAUAAGGUGAGUCAUUGACCACUAAUAAGAGUUGUAAUAGGAAGAUAAGAAUGUUCAAUAACACGAACAACAAGAUGAACAUUAACCAAAACAAAGGAGAGAUAGCUCAAGAUAACAUAAAUACUUGAGAGAUAGAGAAGUUCUAUGAGCUCAAAGAAUAUGUAAGUGGUUUCCAAAAACUCCCAUCAUGCAAGCAUGCCGUGCACUGUGCAAACAAGCGAGGAAAAAUGCAUGAUACAUACCAAAACAUACUUAAGAGUUCAGAAAGAGAAAACAACCAAACAUAUUGCAACUUAUUUAAGACAAUUGAAUUAAACCAAUAUCUCAGAAAAGAUGCAACCAACAACACAUACAUGGAAUAAAUAAAGAAAAAUAGAAGGAAUAACCAACAAUGUAUUCAGACAUGCAACAUGAUCUGCAAGCUAAACAAACAAAGCAUAAAAAGUAGAAACACCAAACAAAUAGCCUAUGUGGUUAGAGAAAUAUGCAAUUCAAAUAACACAAGGCUAGAAACAACCUACAUCAUCCCAAAUAUGGGACACCACCAGACCUUUGCAAGUCCAGAAAAACCUUCAACUUAUCCUUUCUUAUCCAUACUUGUUUAACACUAGGCGUGCACACCUUGGAAGUUGAAAAGAUAUGAGAUUUCUCCUUAACCAGCUUUGCAAUACACUUAUCCUUAACUAAUUCCACCUUAGGCUUAGACUUCCUUUUGUUGGAAUACCUGUUUUUCUUAAACCUGUGAUGAGAACCAUUAUAAUUCCAAGGUCUAGAAAAGGCACAAGAAGAAACAUUAGAAUCAACAUGAUUAUAAUGAUUAGGAACACGAGAAUAGGAUGCAUCAUGUUGAUUAAAAUCCCAACAAAAAAUAUUCAAAUGACCAACCCUACCACAAUAAGAACAAUGAAAAACAUUAGACUUACUCAAAGAAUUCUUAUAAGAAGAUGUGGUAGUGGUGGAUAAACCAUGUAUGUCACUAUUUGGUUUAUGACAUUGUCGUUUAACAAAACCCAUACCUCCCCUAUUAGAACAAGAUGGCUUACUAGCAAAAGCAACCUUAUCAUUAGCCUUAGACUUAAACUUUGUGCAAGAAACAUGCUGAAAACUAUUAGUAUUAAGUCUAGUCUCAAUAGGCGGGGUAGGCAAAAGAGCAGGCAAACUAGAUUUUACAGAAGUAGUCACACUAGAUGAACGAGUAGAACUAGCAAUAGGAGAGUCAAAUCUAGUUUUGUCCAAAACCUGCAAUUGGAGUUGAGUAGACGUUAAACCAUUCUUUGUUACCUCAUACUCCACCAAUAGAGAUUUGUAUUUCUCAUCGACCUCCUGAUUGGCCUUCUCUAAAGCUGCAAUUCUACAUAACAAGUCAAGUUUUUCUUUGUCAAAUAAUUGAGAAAUAGAGAUUUCAUCAUCUGCAACACAAGAAAUUUGUUUUUCAAGAAUCUCAAUUUUAUCCUGCAAAGAAAGAUUAGCCUUUUCCAAAUUUUCAAUUUUGGAUUCAUAAACUUCCCCUUGAAGCAUAUAGUCUUCUGCACAAUGUCUGAGUCGUUGUUCUAGAGAAUCAACCUUAUUCUGCAAAACACCAUUAUCUUCAAAACAAAAAUUAUCAGAAGUAGUAGACAAAUUACAAUUAGCUUUAUUAAACUUUUCCUGCAAAUCAACAUUAGCUUUUUGUAAUCUUUCACAUUCUUUUGCAGAAAGUCUGUAAAGAAGAGCCCAAUUAUUAUUGUCAACCAGAAUCAAAUCCCUGUCACAGUCACUAGAGCAUUCUUUACUAGCAGUUGAUUGUUCAUCAGACAAUCGAGCAACAACCGAGACAUAUGUCUUACCAGAGUAACUCAUAGCACUAUUGAUCGUUAGCGUGAGCCUUUACGCUCCUUAACCAGCCCCCAGCGACUGAUACCAAUUGUAAAACUACAAAUAGUGCUAAUCUAACAAUUGAAUAUUCAACCAAAUCAAACAAUACGCAGAAAGUAAAUAACACACAGGAAUUUUUAACGUGGUAAAACCCAAUAUGGGAAACGUCCACGGUUGUCCUCGCGACAACAAAUAAAUCCACUAGAUGAGAAAGAGAUUUACAAACCUAUCAACUACCUGCAAUCACUCCGAGUUGACACUCCUGGUUAUCUCUAACACCUUGACUUUACCAGAGCACCUUGAUGUACGCACAAGACACUCGACUUCUUGAUGAACACACAAGAAGACUCGAAGCCGAUCUAUGUAACAAGCUUAAACCAGAGUUCCUUGAUGAACACACAAGGAUACUCGACUUCUUGAUGAACACACAAGAAGACUCGAAGCUAAAUCACUAUUCAAUAAUGUAGAAGAAAAUGAAUAGGGAAGAAGGAAGAAGAAGAUGAAUGAGAAGAAGAAGAUGAGUUCAAUCACCAAAACAACCUAAACCAAAACCUAAACAAACUCCAAGAACAAGAGAAAUCUUGGACGGCCAAAGGACUAACUUGUUCUUUGGAAGAGAAACCCUAUUUAUACUUAGGGUUGAAAACCAAGGAAAAUGGGCCGAAAUAGUGAAAACCCACAUUGGACGUACGUAUGUCGAUAUGACGUUCGUACGUCUCAAACCGAAAUACACCUGCUGACUACUUGGACGUACGAACGUCCUAAGAAGGUACGUACGUCCAGACCAAACAAACUUCCUGCUGACAUACCAUACGUACGUACGUCCUGAAGAGGUACGUACGUCCUGAACCAAACACCAUACUUGAGACACACGACGCGAAGACAAGGACACGGGACGACGCGCGUACAACAAAGUUUUCUUAACAAUGAACUCAAGGCGAAAUAACCAAGGACGACCAAUGUCACAAAAUUGAUGUCAAACCACUUCGUGCCGGUUUCAAGGUGGGCUGCCAAUAUUGCUCUCUGUAUGAUUUCCUCUCAUAUACAGAUUUUUACACUUAGAAAAAUGGCCUAUUACAGGAUCAGGUAGCCAAGAUUGAAGACUAAACCUCAUGGAACAUGCAUGAGAGGAGACCAACUUUGCAAUGGGAGCAAGAACAAUGGGACCAGCUGUUGACUUUGCUCAGACAACAGAGAUUAAGCAAUGAUCCUGACAACUGGAUAUGGUGCCCUACAAGUAAGGAGUCUUUCACAGUCAAAAGUUUUGAUGAUAAACUUGAAGAAGAAAGGAGAGCCCUCAAUGCUGCUACACUGCCUGGUUUCCCUUACAACUUGGUAGGGUCUACUGAUAUCCCUUGUAAGAUCAAAUUUUUUUUUUCUGGUGCUUUGUACAAGGUAGAAUCCAAACCACGGAUCACCUUGUCAGAAGAGGAAUGGACCUGCCUGACGUAUGCAUUGUCUCUAAGCAGUACCCUGAAACUGCUACACACUUCACUGGUUGUAAGGGUACUGGAGAAAUGGCCAAGGCAUAGGAGAAAAGGGAUCGGAGCAAACUUACUAAGUCUCUUACCUUAUGCAAUUAUGUGGAAUGUAUGGCUCACAAGGAAUGAUUACAUCUUCAAAGUGAAGCCGCCUAAUCUCGACAAACUCUGAAGCAGAAUUAAGCUUCUCUGUAGUUCUGGAUUGGAGGUAGAGCUCUGAACAAAUAUUAUACCUAUGCAUGCAGAUCUGACCAACAACUGGGAGUUAAUGCUGCUGCUGUAAUUGUCGAUUGUAAUUUGCUUUGGUUAUGUACACACUCAAGAGUUGUGAACUAUAAUACUAUAUGCAGUGAAUCUCUCUCUCAGUCAUCUUGUUACCAUCAAUUAAAAGCGCCAAUUUAUCUAAAAAAGAAACCCUCAGACAUAGCAAUUUCAAUUCACUACAUGACUUUCUGACUCACUGUCACUAUCAAUCUUGUUCGCGACCUUUUUGUUAAGUUGGUCGCGUAGGUCGCCUGUUGGACCUAAACGCUGGGAGAGGCUACGCCCUCUGCUGCGGACUGGACUUGUGGAGGCCGUUCUGGCCUUGCUGUGAUGUCGCCUUGGUGAAUGCGGAGGCGUUCUAGAAUUUUUCUUGGCUCGUUUGCCAUUGGUAUCCUCCUGCCUUCCAAGGAUCCAAUUGUUGAGCCUUUUUUCGUGGGCCCAAGUCUAAAGAGCGCGUUUCAAAACGCGACAGUCAUCAGUUUGAUGACACCGUAUCUUGUGAACUUUGCAGUACGGUCGACCAGAUGUGUCCUCCAACUGUGUGAAGGCAGGAAUCUUGCACCAAUGGUUGUGCUUUAUUCGCUCAUAGAUAUAACCGGCUGGUCGUGUGAACCGGUGGUAAUCUCGUUGCUCAGUAGGCAACGACUUUGCUUUGAACCUCUUGUUGUCAGAUCGAGGUCGCUUAGUGGAACCAGAUUCCACGUUGGAGAUGACAUGAUUCUUUUCCCUACCAGUUAGGGCUUCUUCGAGCUUGAUCUAAAGAUCUACCUUAAGGUAUAGCUCGUCCAGAGAUGAAGGCCGCUUCAUAGCUAGAGAUUUGUGCAGGUCGGAUCCCUGGAUCAGACCAUGAGAGAAUGCGAUUGUUGCGAAGGUUUCAUGUUCCUUCGCAAAAUCUUGGAUGGAAUGUAGUUCAGAUUUGAAUCGAGCAAAGAAAUUGCUAAAUGAUUCGCCAUCCCGCUGCUUGACUUUGAAGAUGGAAUCAAUGGUGACAGGACGCUUCUUGUUAUGGAUAUAGAAGAUAACGAACUGUCUUUCGAGAUCUGCAAACGAGCUGAUGGAUCCUGGCUUCAAACGGUGAAACCAAUCGAGAGCAGGUCCGGUGACGCUGGACUGGAACAGUAAACAUAAUAAGUGAUCCUCUUUGAUAAGAGGAAGGGAUUUACGAAAUCCUUUGAUAUGGUCGGUUGGAUCUCCAACUCCUGGAUAUUGGUCGAAUUUGGGGGCGUUGAGUUUGUUAGGCAAUUCAUGGUCGAGGAUCUCUUUGGAGAAGGGAGACUCCUGAAAUUGCUGAAGGGACUCGACAACAAGUUGUUCUGCGGUAUGGCCUUUGCGAAGUUGAAUGAUGGCCUGAGAGGCUUUGAACUCUGCUAGUUGUUGGCUGAGUUCUUCAUAUUUUCGAUUGGAGUCAUCAACAGCAACGACUCCAUGUCCACCAUUUGCUACUGGUGUUGGGGUGGUAGUUUGUGCAGCCUUUAACUGUGCUUUUUCUGCCUGAAGACGAUUGAUUUGGUCUUGCAGAUCUUGGAUGGUUAAUUCCUGGGUAGCCAUUUGAAUGAAUGACUUUGAGUUGGGUGGGAGGGUUUGGGUUUUUCGGUAUAAUCGAAUUCCUUACAGUCGGAGCCAAAUGUAUUGACCUAUUUCUAGAUCAAUGCAUUCACUAGGUCAGGUCGUUAGCAGACUUGACCAAUGGGGGGGAGCUUUAGAUCGAAGUGGCGCACCUCGUUGAGAUUGAGAUUGCCUACGUACUCUAGUUCGUGGGGAUUUAACCUAGAGAUCAAGCCAUCGUAGUUCUAUUUAUAUAGAAGGUGAAGAGGCGAAGAUCAUGGGAUCCUGCAGAUUCUUCGACAUAUUUAUGAUGAUAUGAUUUUCUCCAACGAUUGUGUAACGGUUGUAGUAAUUGGACAACGGCUGGAGAGAGUAUCUUGGGAGCCGAAUUAGGGCACGUGUGUAUUAGCAGACCGCUGCUGAUUAUGUAGUCGAGUCGUUGUGGUCGAGCUACUAGUAAGUUGAGAUCGUAGCGACCUGACGGAUUAACGACUAUGCCACGUGGCUGCUUUUUAUUGGUUGGAGUAUAUAGUCCCCCUACACUGGUGUUGGUUUCCUUCACUCCAUAUCUAUUUAUGGUAGGACAUUCCAUAUCUCAGCCAAGGCCAAAGGUUUUAGUACAACCAACAACAAUAAUUAGCCUCACAAUAUAGCUACAAUACAUUUGUGAAAAAUCAAUUUUUAUUAGCCUUUUGAGUUUUGAUUGUUUCUCACCAUGUUAAUGUAAUUAUCGAUUGAAUUUUGUAGCAUGUAUUAUACAUUCACAAACCCACUACAUUGCUUGGAUGUUUUCUUCACAUUGAUAUUCAGUUAACAAGAUUCUCAAUAGACACAAUAAUCAUCGCGUAGCGGUGGCGUCCUACUGCUGAUCAAGUGUUUUAUAUAAGUAUUUACCAUUUUAUUUAGAUCAAUGGACAAAUCUACUCAAUUGUUUGAGGUAAGUAAUAUGCAAACCCUUCUUCAUUAUACUUCUUUACUAAACGGUUUUGCUUAUUUUUUUCUACUACGGUUUUCUCCUGCAACUGAAUAUCUUGCUCUAAAACCAAUUUGUUAUACACAAAGUAAAUAUUUGGGUGGAAAAACGUAACACACCGAAAAAGAGGCUGUAGAGGAAUCUCCCUUAUAAAAUUGCUUGAAAACCAAAAUCCCCACUAAUGUGAAAUUCGUCACUUGAUAUGUUUCGCGCAAUUGAAAAAAUAAGAAAAGGGGGAUGGUUGUUUGGCUAUUUUUUAUAGAUGCACUCUAUGUGAGAGAUGCACGCAAAAUUUGAUACACUUUUCUAUAGGUGUUGUUCUCACCAAUAAAGGUGGCAGACAUUUUGUGAUUGUAUUUUGAAAGUAUUUUAGUAGUUGUACUUGAUUUAGUUUUUUUGUCAGUAAAAUCUUUUAUCAGAUUUUAUCCAUGAAGUACACAUAAUUUCUAUUCUAAACACGUUCAUAUCCAUUUUGUUUAGAUCGGCAAGCCUGUUUAUUAACGAGAUCAGUAACUCAAAGAUGCACUUCCUGGGAUCGAACCUCAUACCUCUGGUAUCAUCGUCCAGAGGUAUUACCAACUGGGCUCAGCUGGCAUCUGCUUUGUUUGUUGUUUGUUAGUAGUUGCAUUAGUAUAUGACUUUAUCCGCAAUUUAUAAACAACUUAAUAUUAUAUAGAUAUAGCUCGUCCAGAGAUGAAGGCCGAACAUAUAUCGAAGUGUAAGAACAAGAUAAAGAUAAAAAAAUUACCAAUAUACAAGUGUUUCAACACAAAUAUAACAAUAUGGAGAGAGAAAUACUAAUUACAGCUAUGUAAUCUGAAACUUCAGGUUAUGAAUCGUUGGGUUCAUAUGUGUUGCUUAUAAAUAAAACUUCCGGUUCCAAAUUUUUGGAUAGAACUUCAUGUCCAUAACUUUUGGAUAGAAAAAUUUCAGGUUCAAGACAAUAUGUCUAGAAUUUUAAAUUCAAUUAUAACUACAGAUUAUGAAUCAAAAUAUAGAACUUCGUGUUCAACAUCAAAUGGAAGAAUUGCGGGUUCAUAAUCAAAUGGGUAUUUAAAGUUCCAAAUAUUAUUGAAAUUCACUAAUUACAUGAAACACAAAACAAAAUUUUUAUUCCUAAAAGUAAAACUUCAAGUUUCAAAUACAUGGAACUUCGGGUUCUCAAAAGAAAAAAAUUUAGAUCUUCAGGCCUAGAAUGGUAUCGCAAAUUUUCUGGUAUGGAUAUAUAUUUAUUUUUUUUAGAGUUGAUAGUGGAGCAAGGUUUAUAAGAGAGAAAAGAAAAACCCGUUUUAUCUAAUGAACGGAAUCAUUGGGCCAAUAAUCAGAGUUAUUGGUCUUUGUUAAAGACGUACAAGUUUUGAAAAAUUGUGAAACUUUAGGUUCAAAUUUGAGAUUUAGAAAUUCGGCAUCUAAAUUAAAGUCUACAUCUAGAUUUAGAAGCCGAAUUUCUAAAUCUCAAAUUCGAACCUAGAGUUUCACAAUUUUUCAAAACUUGUACUUCUUUAACAAAUACCAAUAACUCUGAUUAUUGGCCCAAUGAUUCCGUUCAUUACAUAAAAACGGGUUUUUUUUUUCUCUCUUAUAAACCUUACUCCACUAUCAACUCCAAAUAUAUAUAUAUAUAAUAUAUAUAUAUAUAUAUCCAUACCAGAAAAUUUGCGAUACCAUUCUAGACCUGAAGAUCUAAAUUUAUUUGUCUUUUGAGAACCCGAAGUUCCAUGUAUUUGAAACUUGAAGUUUUACUUUUAGGAAUAAAAAAUUUGUUUUGUGUUUCAUGUAAUUAGUGAAUUUCAAUAAAAUUUGGAACUUAAAAUACCCAUCUGGUUAUGAACCCGCAAUUCUUCCAUUUGAUGUUGAACACAAAGUUCUAUAUUUUGAUUCAUAAUCUGUAGUUAUAAUUGGAUUUAAAAUUCUAGACAUAUUGUCUUGAACCUGAAGUUUUUCUAUCCAAAAGUUAUAGACAUAAAGUUCUAUCCAAAAAUAAAAAUAAAAAUUGGAACCGGACGAUUUAUUUAUAAACAACACAUAUGAACCCAACGAUUCAUAACUUGAAGUUUCAGAUUACUUGGCUGCAAUUAGUAUUUCUCUCUCCAUAUUGUUAUAUUUGUGUUGAAACACUUGUGUAUUGGUAACUUUUUAGCUUUAUCUUGUUCUUGCACUUCGAUAUAUGUUCGAAUGAAGAAUAUUAAAUAAUAUGUGGAUAAAAAAAAAAAAGAAAUUACAAGUCUAGGUUCUUGGUAGAGCCAUAAAUUUCUUACUUGAGCUAGAAGUCUCAUAUCUUUGAUCAUAAUUUUAAGUUUGAAUGUUUUGGUUAGGAACCCACAGUUCUAACUUUAAUUUGGUUUCGACUUGUAUAUUUUACUUGAAGUUUGUCCUAUAUAUAUAUAUAUAUAUAUAUAUUUUAUAACAACCACUUGAAAUUUGUCAUUCAAUGAAGUGUGUAUAUAGAGAACGUCGGUUCACCAAAUAUUCUGCCUUAAUUUCUUGUCUUCUUGUUGGCGAAGAAAAUAAUGACCUUCUUUUGCAAAAUCAUGAAUCUCGUCCAACUGGUAGUACUAUACCCAUCCCUGAAGUAAAUGCGUCCUCCUUUAAUGGUCGUGGACGAGGCCUUGGUCGUGGUCAUGGUAGUGGUCAUGGUCGUGGUCAAAAUUCUUAUAAUGAUCAUGAUAGUCACAAUAAUUAUACUUGGCAUAGAAUUGCACAAUACCAUCACAAAGAAGAAAAAAAGCUAAGCCAAACUAAGACAAAAGGAAAGGUGUGCCGAAUACACCUCCACCCAACUAUGAAUGAUACAUAUGAAUUGAAAAAAAAAAAAAUUUUGAACAAGUACGAAUGUAUGGCGAUACCAUCAGAUUAUAGGUCACAUGCAUUACUAUUUCUCGUUCGUAUAGUUAUUUAGUAUAUAAUCAGAUUAUAUGUUGCAAUAUGAUAGUAAUUAUUGCAUUUGUUUUAAUGGUACGUAUUAGGAUGAAUUCCAAAUUAAUUUUUGUUUGUAUUUUAUUAAGACAAUAAUAUAUGUGAUACGAGGACCUAAGGUGAUUAUUAGCAUCAAUAUAUUUUUAUGACCUUAUACGUUAGUUCAAAUGAUUUAAAUGAACAAUAAGUUCCAAAAUUUAAAUAAUUCGGAUUUAAUGUACCAAUAUUUUUAUAACUUGAAGUUCAAAAUAUUAAAAUACAAACACGAAGAUAUGAUAUUUUGUUUAUAAGGACGCCGGAAAAUUAUAGACUUAUAAAAUUCAAAAUUUCAAUUCCCCAAAAGUGGAGAAUAAAAGAAAAUCUUGCACAUUCCUGAAGAAUGGUUAGUCAUUUCACUCAAGAAGAGGUCAUGCGGACACCCUUUCUCUCUACAACUCCAGAAGACAUUGUUGUAAUUACACAAGUCCAUGGUGAGACUGUGAAUGCCCAUGGUGAGGCAAAGGUAUACCUAAUAAAAUUGAGAUCUCAAAACUAUGAGAGAUAUGGGAGAUAAAGAAAUUAGUCAUCGAUGACAUAUUUGGUUAUGUAAUAGCUACUCAAAUAGCAAGGGCAAUGGGAUAGAAAGAAUACACAAGUACGGUGUAUAAAUGAAAAUGUUGACAAAUAAAUGAUAUUUGGCCAACAAAAGGGAAAAUACUACAAGAAGCAUAAUUAAGUCUCUCAAUAGACGUGGUGUAUUUGGAACUAUAGUACAAACCCCAAUAAUGGGGUAAAACCUGAAGAUUACAAAUGAGAAUUCGUAAGGAAACGAAAUGAGAGCAAUGAAAUUUUCCAAUGGAUUAAUAAUGGCGAGAGUUUUUGUGGGACUUCUGAAGAGUUAAACUGUUAAAUAUUUUAAAAAGGGGAUCUAAAAUAAGAUACAUUUGGAAAAUAAGACUUUACCCCAACUAGUAAAUCGAGAAGAAUCAAAUAGUAUAUUGGUUUACCAAUCUUCAUUAUAAUGAAAGGUUUAAGCGCUUUAAAAAUGAAUCAAAAAAUUUCAUGGCUUAUGCAAAUUCAGUUUAUUUCCAUUGGUUUUGUAAGAUUUGAUAUUAAACAUAUUAUAGUACUUCUUAGUGGUAUUAUGGAUAUCUUUAUGGCAUUCUAUUAAUUUUUAGUAGCUAUUGUUUUAUAACCACUUUAUAAGUUUUGUUUUACGUAGCUAGUCAUAAAUUAGUAUGACUAAGAUAUUUGUAGUCCUUGGCAAUUUUCUUCUAUCACAGAUGUUCCAAGCAUUCUCAAUGAAGACAAUGCAGCUUGCAUAGUUUUGAUUCUAGAAGGUUCUAUCAAAGAGGACCGAACCUACAGUACUUCUUUACUCACAAGGUCCAGAAGAAUAAAGAGAUUGAAAUGAAGAAAAUGCAUAAUGCAACAACCAAGAUAAUUAAUACAGAUGAAGUUUAUGAAGCUAAACAUUCUCAUUACAUUGCCAAAAUAAGUUAUUCAGAAUUUUGUCCAAGGCUAAUAAACAAGAAGUUCAGCAUCGACCACAUGAAGGUCUGGUUGUUAUUAUCAGGGGAAUAAUGUUAACUAAUUAUGAAGUAUGCUAUUCAAGGGGAGAAUCUUGAAGUAUGCAACCCAGGAUUAUCCGUUGUACUCUUUUUUCUUUUCUAGGUUUUGUCCCGUUGGGUUUUCUUAGUUAAGAUUUUAAUGAGGCAACAUUGUAAUGCACAUCAUAUUCCAAUUCAAUAAUCCUGAAGAAUGUUGUACUCUUUUUCCUUUGCUUUGAUUCUUCUCAUUGGGUUUUUCUUAGCAAGGUUUAAUGAGGCAACUGUCAUUGAAUGUAUGUCACCCAAGGGGGAGUGAUAAUAUAAGGCCUAUGUGUGUGUGGGUGCCAACAUUCAUCCUCCACGAACUUGAGUGAAAUCAAGUGAUUACCGUAAAACAAAUACGUUCAUGUGACAAUCUUGGUGACUUGUUCACCAAAUCUUUACUUCCAGCCACAUUCAAGAAAUUGGAAUACAAUAUGCGAAUGCGGGGACUCAAUUUAGUCCAGUCGACAUCAGGAGGAAUAUCUUUAUCAUGUGAAGACCAAAUAAUUGUGGAAGUUGUACUCUUUUUCCUUGGCAAGAUUUUUUUCCACUUGGGUUUUCCUACAAGGUUUUGGUGAGGCAACAAAAUUCGAAGACUAUGAGAAUUAUGUACUAUUUUUUCUUAGUUAGGUUUUUGUCCCAUCUGGUUUUUCGAGGAAAAUUUUAACGUAAACAAUUCUCUUAAUACUUGUGGUCAUCAAGGGGGAGUGUUAUGAUAUAUUGGAUGACAACAUAAUCAAAACAUGUAAUUAAGUGUAAAGGCUUUUGGAUUGAGAAACUACAAAUAGUGCUAGUAUAACAAAUGUGAAUUCAAACAAGCAAACAAACAAUACGCGGAAAGUAAAUAACACACAGAAAUUUUUAACGUGGUAAAACCCAAACUGGGAAACGUCCACGGUUGUCCUCGCGACAACAAAAUAAUCCACUAGAUGAAAAGAGAUGUACAAACCUAUCAACUACCUGCACUCACUGCGAGUUGAUACUCCUGGUUAUCUCUAACACCUUGACUUCACCAGAGCACCUUGAUGUACGCACAAGACACUCGACUUCUUGAUGAACACACAAGAAGACUCGAAGCCGAAUUCACAAUAACUUUUGAAGAUCACAAAGAUAUGAAUUGGGAAAAGGGGGAAGAAAGGGAAUUGAGUUCAAUAGCCACAAACAAGUUCAAUAUCAAAAACCUAACCAAAACACAUGAACAAGAAGAAGGAUGGACGGCCAAAGAACUAUCUUGUUCUAUGGAAGAGAAACCCUAUUUAUACUUAGGGUUGAAAACCUAGAAAAAUGGGCCGAAACUGUGCAAACCGACUUUGGACGUUCGUACGUCGAUAUGACGUUCGAACGUCGCCACACAAAAAUAAGCCUGCUGCCUAACAUGACGUACGAACGCUCUAAACCGGUACGUACGUCUCCAUACGAAAACACGUCUGCUGACUACUCGGACGUACGAACGUCCUAACUGAGUACGUACGUCCUGACCAAAAGAUGUUUGCUGCUUCAGUGAACGUACGUACGUCCUAACUUGGUACGUACGUUCAGAACCCAAUAACUUAUCCUGGACAGACCUAAGAGACACAAGGACACGAGACGACCAUGCGUACAUCUUGAUUUUCCUAACAAUGAAUUCAAGGCGAGAUAACCAAAGACACUUUGUCACAAAAUUGAUGUCAAACCACUUUGUGCCGGUUUCAAUCUCCCCCUUUGACAUUGAUUUUGUGACAAAAACCUAUGACUCUAAUAGCACUUAUAAAACGUGCUUACAAUCCCAAACCAUGGCAUUUAUAAAACAUGCCUACAAAAACACUCAAAAUAGAAACACAUAACAAGUCACCAAUUCUUGUUAUCCAGCUUUAGGAAGAUGCUUUAACCAUCAGAGAUCGAACGGAAGCAAUCAAGGAUUCAACAGAAGUUCCUUCGAGCAACUCCCCCAUACUUCAUGAGCUCCAAACUUCAUGAGCAACUCCCCCAUACGUGUAGCAUACCUGAAACAUGACCCAAAAAUAACCUAACAACAAGAAGACGAUUGUUAGUAAUUAGAGUCAUAAAUCUCCCCCUUUUUGUCACAACAAGUGAACAACUAUAAACAAAUAACCAAGAUGUGAUUCUGAAGAUGUCCCGGUAGCCUUUCCCAAUGAUUGACAUGAACCAUGCAUGAAGGAAGUAAAGGUCGAUGAUCAUAGUCAAAUCCAUGGGGAACGCGACAUAAACGACAAACCUUGGCAUUGUUCUUGUACUCCAUCAUCAUGAACAACACAGACCCAACACCCGGAACAAAGACUCCAUUAAGUGCAAAUUCUGCCAUAGAAAAUUCUGAAGAACAAAGAUAGAACUAGCAAGAGAUAAGAAGAUACAAUAGGAGUAAAAGAGGAGAAGACUCCCCUAUAUAUAGGAGAAAAACUAUCAUGGGCCCAAUAAGAGGUCCAUUACCAAAAAAAUACUGCAAAACAAAGAAACCAAGUCGAACUAACAUGAAAAUAGCAAUAGCCAAGAACAUGCUCAAUACCAAAGAAAUAGAAACAAGCUGCUUGAGAGAAGCAAUAAACAACCAUCAAAGAAGAAGAAGAAGAGAAAGACCAAAGAAAAGACCUUGAGAGAAGGUGAAGACUUCCUAUGUACGUGCUAGAGAGAAGAAAGAAGCACGAUUGAUGUAACAGUAAGCCUUUGGUUCAAAAAAAAAAUUAUUUAUUUAUUUAUUUAUUUAUUUUUUUAUUUUUAUAAAGAAGGAAAAGACCAACCUAACAGCUAGAUAAUAAACCACAUAACUCCAAAAACCAACAAAUUGAGAGACAUCACAAGAAAACACUUCUACGUAUCAUACGAAUUCCAAUUACAACCGAAUAUAGUUUAAACAAUCCUCAACCACAAAAGAAUGCAAAAUCGAAGAACGACAUCAUACACAAAGGCAUGGUACUUACUUAGACGAUGCAAGCAUGCAGAUGAAACAGAUAGGCCAAAACCAACCUCCAGAAACAAACUAAAAACAUGAUCAUUGAGAAUAUAGAAAACCACUUGCAACUAGCCCAAAAUGAAACUGAAUCAGAUCACAAAACAACAAGGAAAACACACACUAUUGUUUUUCUUCUUGUUUUUCAACUAGACAAAUGAGGAGGCUACUAUUCAUUCAUUUUUUUUUUUUUUUUUUUUUUUUUUGUUUAUUUGGUAGACCAUUGAAACAGAUGCCAUUCCCGUGUGGGAGUAUGAAAUAUCUCCAUCUUUUACCAGAACACGAGGGUAGGGUGUAGCCUACAUCUUUUUGGCAAAACACACUCAAGAAGUGCAAUACCAUGAUAACGUGCAACACAAGAACUAACAUCUCUUGAGUGCAACCGUCAGAGCAUGACCCUCACAGCCCCAACGGGUUCUUAGCCAAAUGAGUAUGCUCUCAAGACAUUCAAAUGGCUGGGGAUUUCGUGAGUCAUUGACCACUUACAAGAGGCAAAACCAUAUAAAGGAAGACGAUGAUCAUGAAUGGAAACCAGAUACGAGUGGAGAUAUAUAGGUAUGGAAAACAACAGUCCAACUACAUGUAGAUGCACCAUGCAAGAAACUACCAAGACGAAGAGAGUAUGAUGUAACCCUACAACUAUGCAAGACACAAAAACAGUUGAUGAAUGUCAAACUAGAAACAUCUGUAAAAUGGAAUCCACACAAUAGAGAAGGUAGUAUGUCCUCAAAAACAACCACAAUAACAAUAAAUACCAAAAAAAACACCGAAUCUAAACAUCCUAACUACAAUGACAAUACCAGAGAGAAAAAGGAAGUAACAAAACAAUUAGGGAAGAGUGACAACCCCAAUGGACUUACGCAAGGAAUGGAAUCGGCCUGCAUCAAGAGGUUUUGUAAGAAUAUCUGCUAGCUGAUGUUCAGUAGGAAUGAACUCCAUUACUAUAUCACCCUUUUCGACCGCCUCACGAAGAAAAUGGUGACGAAUGUCAAUAUGCUUUGUGCGUGAGUGUUGAACAGGAUUCUUGGAAAUGCUAAUGGUACUGGUGUUAUCACAGAACAGGUCCAUCGCCUGCUGUUGAAUGCCAUAAUCCCGAAGCAUCUGACGCAUCCACAGAAGUUGAGUACAUGCACUAGCUGCAGCUAUAUACUCAGCCUCACAUGAAGAGAUGGAAACAGAUGAUUGUUUCUUGCUAUGCCAGGAAACAAGAUUAUUCCCAACAUAGAAACAGCCACCACUGGUACUAUGACGAUCAUCAAGAUUACCACCCCAAUCAGCAUCACAAUAACCUGCCACAACACUAUUCGUAUCUCUGGUGAACCAUAACCCGUAGUCAAGAGUGCUAGCAACAUACCGAAUAAUACGCUUAACCGCAAUGAGAUGAGAUUCUUUAGGGUUAGCCUGAAAUCUUGCACAAUCUGUCCGAACUCAUCCAACUUGUUCUUAAAGAUCCACUUGGUGCCAACCACAUUAGUGUGAGUAGGUCUAGGAACCAACGUCCAGACAUCACUACGCGUAAACUGACCGAGUUCUUCCUGCUUAGCAACUAGCCAAUCAUCAUCAAUAAGAGCAUCAGUAACAUUUUUAGGUUCAAGAGAAGAGAGAUAACAAACAUAAUGAACACAAUUUGUUUCCUUGGCCCUCCUACGAGUCAGACGCUGAUCAUUAAUAUCCCCAAUGAUAUCUCCUAAGGAGUGAUAUUGUUUGACACGAGGUGAAGCUAGAUUAAACACCCUUUCAGGGUCAGCAGGAACAGUGGAGAGAUCCGAAGACACAUCAAUCACAUCUGGUGAUUGAACUACAUCAUCCGGUGUGAGCACAGCACCGGUCCUACUAGGCACGUCCUCUGCAGCAUCAGAAGGUUUAGUACCACCAUUGCCAUUAUCAGGUGAUGAUAACGAUAUGGAAGACAUGUCAGCCGGGUCUGACACGGGUGAGAGAACUGUGACAUCCUGUGUACCAGUGGAAACAGAAGAGUCAGAUGUAAUAGUGUCAUCAACAACAACAUUAAAGGAUUCCAUGACCUUGCGAGUGGUGUAGUUAAACACUCGAAAGGCUCUACUGUUAGAGGAAUAACCAAGUAAAAGAGCUACUUCACCUCGACUAUCAAACUUGGACUGACUUUGUCUGUCCUUGCACACAUAGCACAAGCUACCAAAAACUCGCAUAUAUUUGAGAUUCGGCUUCUUACCAUACCAUAGCUCAUAAGCAGUUUGUGUGGUACCAGAUCUUAGGUAUACACGGUUCAUUAUGUAACAAGCAGUAUGAACCGCUUCCGCCCAAAACUUGGUUGGAACAUCCUUUGCAUGCAACAUAGCACGAGCCAUCUCCUGAAUAACACGAUUUUUCCUUUCAGCGACUCCGUUUUGUUGCGGAGUGUAUGGAGCCAAAAAUUCUUGCCAUGUACCAUUUGCAAUACAAUACUCAAUCACACCUGUGGCUGUGAACUCACCACCUCUAUCGCUUCUGAUAUGUUUAAUUUGAGUAUCUUUCUCGUUCUGAAUACGAAGGCAUAUUCCCUGAAACUCAAGAAACGCAUCAGAUUUUUCACGCAAGAAUGAUACCCAGGUAAAGCGAGUGUAAUCAUCAACCAUAACCAAGAUGUAUCGUUUGCCUCCUAGACUAGGAGUACGAGUAGGACCCAUCAGAUCCAUGUGUAUGAGUUCUAAAGGAGAAGAUGUGGUUAUGGAUUUUUUCUUGGAAUGUGGACUACGUAUCUGUUUACCUAGUUGACACCCACCACACACAGUGUCUCGAUUUCUUCCAAGUCUAGGAACUCCCUUAAUAUAUUCAUUCCGAGUGAGAUUGUCCAGGUGUUCAAAGUUGACAUGACCUAGUCGUUGAUGCCACAAUAGACCUUCAUUUAGUUUGCUAGGUAAGCAGUUCAUGCUAGAUGCAACCGGCUGAAUGGCAUAGCAAUUAUCCAAUGUUCGUUUACCUGUCAUGAUACACUUACCUGAACUAUCAAGCACGGUACAUAUAUUUUUGGAAAAAUUAACAGUAUGGUCAGUAUCACACAGUUGACUAAUACUGAUCAAAUUUACACGCAAACCAUCAACUAACAAACAAACAUCAUUCGGAGAUAAACCAAUACCAGCGACAAAUCCCUUACCAAUCACAGGAGAGCUCUUACCAUUCCCAAAAGUAACACUUCCACCAUCUAUAGCAGUAACGGAGGAGAAAAGUUUGGCAUUACCUGACAUAUGUUUUGAAGCAACACUAUCAAGUAACCACUCAGUAUCCGAACUUGAGACAUGAAGAGCAGUGAUCGCCACAUUCGAAACAUUUCCUGCAAAAUUACAACGAAAAGAGUAAGAGGCAUAUGGAUAAGAUGGAUAAUCAUACGACGGCUGUGAAAACAGCUUCCAUGAUUGUGGAACAUGAGCAGCCACACCACACUGCGAGGCCCAAUGUCCAAACUGUCCGCAUAGUGAGGACGACAUUUUACGUUUCCUUCCCUGAGGCGGAACACGCCUGAACAGUUUCCACUUACGCCGGAUGCCAACCGUGUCCACAGAGUGAUGAAUGUCGGACUUUUUGGUAGGAGGAUAGGGCAACAGUGGAGGUAAUUCAGAAGAUGACAACCCAUUGCACUUUUCGAACAACUGAAGGCGAAUCAACUCCUUUUUGACCUUGUCUAGUUCUGAGGACCUUUAUGCCGCGCUUCCCAUUCGACCUUGUCAUGCUCAAGAGCAGCAAGAUUACCCAGUAAAGCCACCUUAUCAACCUGCCAUGAUACAGGUUCCCUAUCCAGGAUUGACAUAGAUGAGGAACUAGAAGACAGUAAGUCAAGUCUGUCCUGAAGAAUACAAUUUUGUGCCUCCAACCUUAGGCAUUCCUUUCUGGAUAACCGGUAUAGAGUAGCCCAAUCAUUAUUGUCCACCAGAAUCAAAUCCCUGUCACAAUUACUAGAGCAUUCUUUACUGUCAGUUGACUGCUCAUCAGACAUUCGAGCAACAACCGAGACAUGUGUCUUACCAGAGUAAUCCAUAGCACUAUUGAUCGUUAGCGUGAGCCUUUACGCUCCUUAACCAGCCCCCAGCGACUGAUACCAAUUGAGAAACUACAAAUAGUGCUAGUAUAACAAAUGUGAAUUCAAACAAGCAAACAAACAAUACGCGGAAAGUAAAUAACACACAGAAAUUUUUAACGUGGUAAAACCCAAACUGGGAAACGUCCACGGUUGUCCUCGCGACAACAAAAUAAUCCACUAGAUGAAAAGAGAUGUACAAACCUAUCAACUACCUGCACUCACUGCGAGUUGAUACUCCUGGUUAUCUCUAACACCUUGACUUCACCAGAGCACCUUGAUGUACGCACAAGACACUCGACUUCUUGAUGAACACACAAGAAGACUCGAAGCCGAAUUCACAAUAACUUUUGAAGAUCACAAAGAUAUGAAUUGGGAAAAGGGGGAAGAAAGGGAAUUGAGUUCAAUAGCCACAAACAAGUUCAAUAUCAAAAACCUAACCAAAACACAUGAACAAGAAGAAGGAUGGACGGCCAAAGAACUAUCUUGUUCUAUGGAAGAGAAACCCUAUUUAUACUUAGGGUUGAAAACCUAGAAAAAUGGGCCGAAACUGUGCAAACCGACUUUGGACGUUCGUACGUCGAUAUGACGUUCGAACGUCGCCACACAAAAAUAAGCCUGCUGCCUAACAUGACGUACGAACGCUCUAAACCGGUACGUACGUCUCCAUACGAAAACACGUCUGCUGACUACUCGGACGUACGAACGUCCUAACUGAGUACGUACGUCCUGACCAAAAGAUGUUUGCUGCUUCAGUGAACGUACGUACGUCCUAACUUGGUACGUACGUUCAGAACCCAAUAACUUAUCCUGGACAGACCUAAGAGACACAAGGACACGAGACGACCAUGCGUACAUCUUGAUUUUCCUAACAAUGAAUUCAAGGCGAGAUAACCAAAGACACUUUGUCACAAAAUUGAUGUCAAACCACUUUGUGCCGGUUUCAUUGGAUUGGUAUAACUCAUGACCUUUGAGUUAUCCCAUUAAUGAUGUAUCUCCUAUAUAAAGAGAACCAAGUUAUGAGAAUAAGACACUUGAAACAAUUGUAGAUCAAUACUUUCCUUCUUCUCUAACUUCUACUAUAUUAUGUAUAAGGCAAUAUUUUGGUUCAUAAUAUAUUAUACUUAACAUGUUAUCAACACGACUCUACUCAAGCUUGAAGGUAUAAAACCAUCUUGGUAAGUAUAUGAAUGAUUAAAUGGUUAAUCAUCACUAGUUGUUUAUAUACAUGGUAAGUAUAUAUCUAUAUCAAAUUUCUAAUAGCAUGUGUUUAUAUUUAUAUUUAAAUCAAACACAUGAAUUAUAUGUUUUUUUGGUUCUUCCUAUUAUUGUUACUACAAUGGAGUAAUGAAAUUAUUAAAAGAUUUUAGUAUGGUACACUAUUGAUCGAUCAGGUUAUGAUGUUAUGGUGAAAAGGUAAAUGAAUCUGUUUAUUAAUUUAUUUUAUAUCUUCUUAAGUGAGAUGAUGUCAUGAUCAUAUCAAAGUAUGGAAUCUACUAUAACACUUGCUCAUUAAAUGUAAGAUUAGAUAAUGUUUACUUAAGUGAUUUUUAUUUAAUCGUUUGAUUGUUGUGAAAUAAAGAACAUGUAUCAAAUAUUACUAGUAUGUUGUUACCAUACAAUUUCAUAAUUGGUCAUAUCAGUUUUUUUUAUAAUAUGUGUUAUAUCAAUAUGUCCUUAACCAUUUAUUUUUUCCUUACCACGACAGGGUUAUUUUUUUUAUUAAAACAAAUUUUAUUGAUAAGCUAAACGAAUUACACAAAAGUAGGGGACAAACGCGCUACAAACUAUGCGGCAAGUCCUUUCUGGAUAGCAAACCCGAUUCUCCUAAAUACAUAUUCGUUCGAACCCGCAGUCAUCACGUUGCUAUCCAUUACCUUCUGCACUCUCCUGAGGAGCUCAACUGCUUCUGAGCCUAGCAAUCCAAAUGUGUCAAAUGCAAAGGGGAUGAAACUAUGUUGGUUAGCCCUACAAGCUCCGUCAUGUUUCUCCACUUUUGCUGCUGCUGCAUUGCUAGCUGCUAGCCCCACCUCAAAAAUCCCAGCACCCAGCCCAACCAUCGGAGACGCCCUUGUAACAUCAAAACACGCAUGUUUACCUUCACACCAGUUGUAGACCAGAAUAUCAGCAGGACGUAAUGUCGAUCUUCCUUCCUUAGGAUCAGUAAGAAAGUUAACAGGAGCCUCCUUCUUAACCUGUACUCCAGCCUGCCAGAACACAUCACACAAGAUAUCUCUAACGUGGUCAUGCCUGUACUUGAAGCCGGGGUAAUGCUUACAAUGGGCCGCAUGGUCCCCAAAAGCCUCAAGUCUGCUUUUCUUGCACACUGGACAAAGUUCACCAUCUGAAUGGCACGAUAACGAAGAAUGACACGAUAUUCUACAGGUGUCAUGCGUUGUCCAAGUCCUUCCAUCGGGAUAGCAAGGAUAAACUUUGUUCUAAAGAAUUAUAAAACCAAAUCUUUCACAAGCCAUAGGUCUAUAAUAGAUCUCUAAACUCUACCAUGACAGAAGAAGAAAUUAGACAUCUAUACAAACAACUAUCAAUUAAACUCACAAAUGGAGAAGUACCCAUUAAUGGAUCUGGAAUUAGACCAAAGAAAUUAUUAUCACCAAACAAUAAUCUUGAAUGGAAAAGUACCCAUCACUUAGAAAAAUAAUUGCCAAUUCAUAUUGACAUGGUAUCAUUUAAACAUAUUGAUUUCAACUGAUAAAACCAAAUAACUUUGCCAUGAUUGUUGCUGGUAACAAGCCUUUGAAGCUCAUUGUUGCUUAGAUACAAGCUAUUAACUCAAAUUGGGUUCCUAUGUUAAUGGGUAUCUCAAAGAAUGACUGGCUUGUUGUGAGAAGAGUGAGGUAUUGGAGAUGGACGACUGAAUAAAUUCCAUGCAACAUAACCAGUGAGUUGUUAUCUGUAAAUAACCCAAAUCCCUAAAAUUUGUAAGCUUACUAGCCCACUAAAGGUUGCUGGAAUUUAACAUUAAAAAUGAUUGUUAUCUAGAUAAAAAAUUUCUAGCUUGGAAAAAGAUCCAAUUAAACUGGCUUUUUCUCCGGAGAUCGAAUUUCUUAAAUAACAAAUGGAUGAAGAUUCAUAAGCAUAGAAGAAAAUUUGGGAUUAAGCCAUCAAAUCUUGCCACGUGUAUGUAUUUUUAAUAAAGAAGUUGGGUAACCUUUUAAGUAAAACAUGCGCUAGGCACUGUAUGUGUAGCUUAGGUAUUUUAAAAAAAUUGAUGGCUUGAUGAUAAGUCCUCAAAAGUGUAUAUCUAUCCUCUGAAUAGCACGUUGUUUGCAUAGCACUUAGCUUUAUAUUAUUGUGUUAUAUCUAUUGAUUAGUGCUUUAUUGUCAUUUGUGUAGGUUUCAUGAUCUAAAAUGUGAAUAUUGUGUUAAAGCCCGCCAAAAGCCAAGAAACGCCAUUAAAAGAGUGUUAUUUGCACAAAGAAGAGGAAUUGUUAUUUGCACACAUAGAGUUUCUGAGGGCACCUCGUGGACUGGUCCUAUGGACUUGACUCUAUGUCCAACAUGGGUGGUCCAAAUCUCAGCUCAAUCCAAGUUACAAUGAAGCAUGCAAGUCAAAAGAUCCAUUGAAGCAUUUACUUGAAGUCCAAUAUUAAAAAGGCUUUAUAUGAAGAUCCAAAACUCUGAUUUGGGCCCAUGAGCUGUCUAUCUGAAGGUCUUGGUCCAGGUUACAACUUAGACCUAAGAUAAUUAGGUUUUUAUAAAGUCUUACUGCUUCUAGAAGGCCUAUAGAAGCUGCCAUGAAUUUGGCCUAACUUGGAGAGCGAGUAUACUUUGUGAAGUAAUGUGCUUUGUAUUCUCUAUAUAAAGAGAGGUAGUAGCUAGGGUUUAUUCUAGUUCUUUCCCUUGUAUUGAACUCAAUCUUUUUAUUCUCAAUAAUAAUCCAUUCUAUUUUCCAUUAUGAUGUUAUGUUCUUUAUUUACUUAUUCCUUGGUAUCAUUAUCAAGGAUGAGUAGCUAAGUUCCCUUUAGAGGGAAUGGCUGAAGAACUCUAGAUAAUGCAAAAGCUCCAUGUUUAUUCUUUAUGUUCAUUAUGAUUCAAAGUUCUUAAUACUUGUUUAUUUCUAUUCGCGACAUGAAGUAAACAUGAUUAUUUAUGUGUUACUGUUAUCCAUGUUAAUUAAAUACUAUUGUUAAAGUAUAGGGAGACCUAGCUAUAAUGGUUGUAUUAGAUUAAUUAGAUAUAUAUAUAUAUAUAUAUAUGAUGGAAUAGCUGAGAGGUGACUAUCAUAUAUCUAGAAUUAAUCUCUUUUAUUGGACCCCUUUUGUAAUCAAAUUGAAUAACCGAGACGUGACGAUUUAUUUAUGAAUUAAUAUGUUGAAUUAAUUGAAUUGAAUAGCCGAGAGGUGAAGGUUUAAUUAAUGAACCAUAUUCAAUAACACAUAUAAAAGAAUCCCGUUUUAAUUGAGUUGAAUAGCUGAGAGGUAACUACUUGAUUAUUAAAGGCAUUAUUGAUUAAUUGGAAUAGCUGAGAGGUGACUAAUUAAUUACUAUAGAUUAAACAUGAAUGAAUGACAUGUAUGUUUGCAUUGUUUAGUUUGUAGAUACCAACUAUUCAUCGUAAGAUCUUCUUUAUAUCUCUUUCCAUCUUUUAUUAUUAGUUUAAUUAUUAGUUAUUUAUUUAUUGCCUGUAGGAAGUAGAAUCAAUCUCAAUCUUGUUGUGGUGUUCUUAAGUUAUUGUUUUAUAUUGUGUUUGAACUAAGAAUUCCUCCUUCGAGGUGGGUACGACCCUUGCUUGUUACUUGUUCUACAUUGAUAAUAAUAUUUACAGGCACAAAAAUGAAAAUAUCAAUACAAAUCUAUCUUUUGAUUAGAGUGUAAGCAAUUAUGCUCUAUCACUUGACUUCAGUCAACUGGAUGGACUGACAGUUAAGUAACAGAAAAGGAACUAAACACGAAUAAAUGAAAAACUCUAUACCACUUGCUAAAUAUCAAAGUUCUGGAGGGACCAAAUACAAAAUACCCCUACUAAAAUUUUAGAGAUUACAUAUUUAUUAUGAUUAUAUACAUUUAUUCUUUAGCAAAAAAAAAUAAAAAAAUGAUCAUAUACUUUAUUAACUUUAAGUAAAUACUAGUAAUUUAAAUUCAAGGCAUAAUAGUUAGUAAAACAACUAGCAUAAUUCGUGCAUAACAUUGGUUCAUCCAUUCAACAAGUCACUAAAGCAGAUUUCAUCCCUCAAUGCCAAACUGGCCUGAAAACAGCAUAUCCUAAAAAUUUAUUUAUAGGAUUUAAUUCGGAAUUUGUUUUUGUUUUUUGAUAUAAAAAAUAAAUCAUGGAACUUCUUGUCUUAACCAUUUGAUUUCAAUAUUUCUUCAGUUGUGGAAUAAAAUAUAUUAAUUUUAGUUGUGCAAAUAUGAUAUGUGUAUGAUAUGGCAAUGAUUUCAAGAUUUACAUGUUCUAUUGACAGUUUGAUUCCUUUUUUUUCCUACUACCCAUCAGCUUCCGCUUGCAUAAAAAUACUUCCUCUGGAUAUGCGUACUUAGUCCACAGACCUUUAGCCCUUGAUGCAUCUGAAGAAACCCACAAUUUAAAGCACCAGAGAUAAUAAAAUUCUACCAUUGUUUUUAGAAGGAGAAAAAGGUACAAUUAUAAGUUGUAAACACACCAUCCCAGACAGCAAAACCUUAUCCAUUAACAGGUACAUUCAUUCGAGCAUUCUGAAUGCAUCACCAAUGGGCGAAAAAUGGAAUAUGGUAUGGUAUUGGUUUUGGCCUAUCAGUAUUGUAUAAGAAUUGGUAUUGGCCUUUGAGUAAUGUAUAUUAUGCGAUUAGCAUUCUUAAUGUGGGCUCGUUUUGUACUUUCAAAUUCUUAUUUGAUGCACACACUAAGGGGGGCUUGCAAGCUUGAAGAAAGGGGGAGAAGUGCUUGUACACUUCUUUUGUUCAUUUGGUCUUAUAUCUUGUAACUGAUUUUAAACGGGAGUUUACAUAUUAUUACUGUUUUUAUCAUAAGUUCACAAAGAAGGAUAUUGUAAAGUCCAAAGUGUUUGUAUUGUGAACUAUGACAAGGUUAUUAAAGUCAUUGUAUGUAAACUCACAUGUGGUGAGUCUUUGUGAGGGUUAUUCUUGUGUUGAUUACUUAAAGACCUCUGAAGACAAUGAAGAAUCAAGAUAUUGUAGACUUGAAGACCCCGGAAGAAUUGAAGCCUCAAUCAUUGAAGAUAUUGGAGGCUGUCGGACUUCAAGAUUCAGGCGCCUAGACAAUGUCAGAAUCCUAGGUGCCUGAACAACACUUUUAUGAAAUGGGCUAAGGUUGACCCGACCCGGCCAGAUCAAUUCAAAAUCUAGAUUUAGUCAACUUUAGUUUGACAAACGGAUCUAUUUGGAUAUGUUGUCUUAUUUAAGACAAGAGAAAGCUUCAAGAAGUUUUGAUGGUGUUUGCUUAUAUUUUCUAAAGACAUAUAAAACCCUAAAAGAGCAAUUACUCAAAAUCCAUCAAUACCCCAUUAAUACAAAACCACCAACAUCAUUAACUCAAUUCUUUUGGGAGGUGGUUGGUUGUAGGUUGAGAAUAUUUCCUCAACAAGUUGAGUUUUAAUUACUUCUCUUUACUCCUUAUUUGAGGCAUUUAAGAAGAGAAUCUUCAUGAUUGUUUCUAAUUGCGACUAAAAGGUAAAACCCUAGAGUUGUCUAGAUUAGGGAUUAGGGUAUCCCUGCUCAAAGCUUUGAGAAGUUAGAGAUCUCAAAAGGGAGACUUGUGGUUGAAGUAGUGGUGUACUAGGUGUAACUGGCUUGCUUUAAUUGGAUUUCUAAAGGCUAGAGAAUGUUUUUUUUAGAGUGGACGUAGGCUACGGCCGAACCACUAUAGACCAAGUGGUGUGGUUUUGAAUUUUCUAUCUCUAGAUUAAUUUCAAUUUAUAUCUUGAGUGGACGUAGGCUACGGCUGAACCGCUAUAGACCAAGUGGUGUGGUUUUGAAUUUUCUAUCUCUAGAUUAAUUUCAAUUAAUAUCUUGUACACAAUCAAUUAACUUUACCAUAAACCAGGAAAAAGACUAUUCCCCCCCCCCCCUCUCUUUAGUCUAUAUUGACGUCAUUGUAUGACAUUUCAGAUCCCAAAAGGGACCGGAUGGAGGACAAAGUUCUUGACAAAAACAAAAACAAAAAAAAGGAAAAACCCUUCUCGGCACUGAUCCUCUUUUCCCCAACAAUCAUCACUCCCCUUUCUGGAUAAAGUAGAUGUCCCCCGAUAACAUAUCUCAUGUUAAGGUUUCAUCGUUGAGUACGAGCUGGUGUAGUUACUUGCAUUCCCUCGUGUUGUUGCUGACCUCAUUACGAUUGGGCUAAUUGGUAGCUUUUAUUCGUUGUUGGGGGACUGUCAAGGGUUCGUCCUUAGUAGGGAUGGCUUCGUUGAUAAGAUCACCAUCUUCCCAUAUCUGGUUCUCCAGGUUGAUCACCUUCUCUGGGUUGCUUUCUGGAUCUGGUCUUCGACAUCGUCUUUUUUCGAAGCUUUGAGCAUGUUUGAUGUAGGCAAGUCAUCACCACUCCGCGGUGGGCUUUGGGGAUAAAGUAGACCCUCAUCUAUAUAUUAAAUCUUAACAAAAAGGGUUACAAAGCUCCCAACGAGGAUAGUCAUUUGUGGGAGUAACACACAUACAAGUGUACAAUAAAGGCCAACGGGCCUUAACACAGAGCCUAAGCCCAAGAAAUCGAGCCCCAAGAAUACAUUUUAAAACCAGUCUGAUACUAAUUCCAAAUGGACCAAAGCCCAAAUCCAAGCCCUAAACUCUAAGUUGACUGACCCAACCUCACAUGGAUCAUUAAAGAUCCAUUUUCUCAGGUAAAAAUGACCCAUCUUCUCAACCCGCUUUGAAUUGAUAUUCAAAGUUGAUUCCGGCAGCUAGAUCACCAAGUCUCAAUGUUGUAGAUCCCAAAUCUUGAUAAGGACAUCACACAGGUUGCACAAGACUCGCCAACCUGUUUAUAGUUGGUCUUCAAACUGAAAUUUGAACACCAUAGCAAGAUCUCCAGAUGCUUUGAUAUAUGUCAGAUCUAAAAUCCCCAAUACCAAUUUGAAGAAGUAAAACCCCAGAUGCCAAUCUUGUAGAUUAGUAAGAUCUUUAAAAUCUCGACUUUGAUUUGUUUUGCCUUAGUGAUGCUUUGUAACAAAGAAAAGAAUAUAACAGAAUUUAGUAUCUCUGAUAGAGGUUCAAUCUUAUUACUGUACAAUAUAGUGAUGCCAAUCUAAUAGACUAUGUGAAUAUAUACACGCAAUAGUACAAAUUACAAUGUUGUGCGUCUUCCAUUUUCCUUUGAGUACAUGUUAGAAAUAGAAUUAUAUCUAUAUUAUAAGCGACAACACGUUUAUAGUAUAGAUUCAAUGUAUAUGAUUAACCGUUUGAUGAUCCUUGAGAUCAUAAUCUUUAGUUUUGAUUAAAUCAUAAUCCUUAAUUUAUAUUUUUAAUUGGGUCCAAAUUUAAGUUGCUUUCCACGGUUCUGAUUUAAUCGAGAUCCACACUUGUGGAUAUACAUCGCCCCCUCCUAAAACCUUUAAUUCCUCUGAAUGAAACUUUUACGUCUCUCACAAUCAUUCAAAACCUAAAAUUCCACAUUCCAUUCAUCUCUCUCAAUCUCAUCGCACAAUCUUUUCAUCCGUUGCUAUCAAUCUGUUCAUCUGUUCAAUAUCUCUCUCUUGGACCAAUCGAUUUGAAUCAGGUAAUCUCUUCAUCAGUUGCUAUCAAUCUGUUCAUCCGUUUCUAUGUUAAACUCUCUUCCCUCUUUGUGUAAUAUAACAUCGUAUUCACUAGAAUUUGAGGUGAUUUGGUGUUUGGGCAAGUUGUAGAUUUGUAGGGUUUGCAUUGUGAAAAUAUUUUAGUGCAAGUAGAUGUAUUGUAGUUAAGUUUGUGUUUUUAGUUCAUAAUAAGUAGAACAGCCUGCGAAUGCCUUUGUUGAUUUUGCAGAAAUUUAUUGAAAGAGAAGGUUUUCGUAGGUUUUAGAACAAGGGAAUUGUUGAUUAGGAGUUUUACGGUGAAACUGAGCGAGUCCCCUUCCUUUUUAUUGAGGUCGGACUGCAAAAUAGAAUUGAUUUUGCGAGUGAUUUGUUCAGUUGAUCUGAACAAAUGGUGCAAUAAUGUGUCAGCUUUUUUCCCUUGUUGGUGUAAUAGUGUUGUUGGUGUAAUGGUGUUGGAUCUAAAUUGAUUGCAAAGAGGUGUUUUAUCCAUAAGAGCUUGCUUAACUUUGUUCAGUGUUUAGUAACGCUGAUGAUACCAAGCUUCUAUUCAAGUCCAGCUUUUUCGUUUGAAUGUUUGGGUAUUUAUACUUGACAGUGGCAUGGUAAUAUCUGGUUAUUUUAUAGUUAUUGUCAAUACCCUCCCUAUUUUCUUAUCACUUUCAUCUUCUUUUUAUACAGAUUAAGGUUUCUCUACACAAUGAAUCAUCUAAUUCUUAAUCGAAAGGUAACUCAAUUACUCAAUAAAAGCCUAAUUUCGUCAUCUAUUUGUUCUUAAUCUAAUAAGUGAAUUUAGAUAGAAGUCAAUGAGUCUAUUAAUAGCUUUUUGUCCCCAUUCAUUGACGCGGUUGAUUACCAUUCUGCGUUUCAUCUAAAUUUUCAUUAUAUCCAUCAGUUAGUAUAAAAACACAAAUGGACAUUUUUUAGUUGGGAUUAUGAUGUGACUGCUUAAUCUUUCUCUAGGAUGAACUGUUUUUUUUUAAAACACUUUCAAGAGAAAAAGAAUGACUCUUGGACAAGCAGAGACCUUCCAGAGGUUCGAAAUGGACAUUUUUAGUUGGGAUUAUGAUGUGCAUGCUUAAUCUUUCCCUAUUAGGGGCGGUUUUUUCAAAACAUUUCCAAGAGAAAAAGAAUGGCUCUUGGAGAAGCAGAGACCUUCCAGAGGUUCGAGUUCUUAAGCCACAAAGCAAGUAAUAAAUUAAAUCGGCAUCAUAUGGGUGGAAAAUACCAUCUGGGUAUACCUUCAUUGUUGUCGAUGAAUGUAUAGGCAUUCCUAACUCAGGUAUGUUUCUCAACUCAAUUACUCAAAGCCCUAUUUCAUCAUCCAUUUGUUCUUAAUUAAAGGUACUUUGUUGUUGGUAAAGUUAAUUUAAUAUAGGUUUUUUAUAAUUUUUGUUAGAUAUUUCAUGGCUUUUUAGUUAAUUGACAUGUUUCUUUGUCAUCUAUUUUGAUUUAUUCUAGGUUUCCUUGUCUCAGUGGACUCUACAUGAAUUUCCAGGUAAUACUUUGAAGUCCAUUAGUUUAUUUGGUAUAUUAAACUUAUUUUCUUACUUUUGCAUUUUAUCAUGGCCCAAAUUAAGUAAUAGCAUGUUAUAUAGUGCAAGAAAACAGAUCAUGACUCUUUUGAUUGAGUGCAAUAUUAUUUGCUGUUCUAGAUCAGCAUGGUUCAAAAUCUUGUAGUUGAGUUUCUUGACAUAUUCUUCUUUUUGCUUAUUGCCUAUAAUUAGUACCUCUUUAACAGUUGAUCCUUUUCUGCAGAUGGCCAACAUUGAGGAAUGUAUAGAUGGACAGUUCACCGGGAACCUAAGAAUAAUUUUGAUGGUAAAUGUCUUCCAUACCCAACAUCUUUUUCAUGUGAUUUCAAUAGAUACCUAAACACUGGAUUCUAAAUGAUUUAUUAUUGCUCUUCUUCAAGUUUUUCUUUUCAUUUGCUUUUAUUCAAAGUUCUCAAAUAUUCAAGUUAGUAGUAAAUAAGUCGGAGAAUAUCUUCAUUAGGUCAAUAUAAAAUAACAAAUUAUUAGACUGCAUAACAUUAAUUCAAUUAAAAGAGGCCUUUUUCUUGUAUUAAUAAAGGGUAGAUAGAAAGUGGAUAUUAAUUUAGGGUUUUUCAUCCUUUAUUUCACCGGUUUAAGUUGUGUUGGAAGGUUGUAUAUUAGAUUAGUUCCCAGGUUUUACACUAACCUUCUUUUCAUACGAAAUUAAUCUCAUCUUUAGCUUUUUAAUAUUUGUGUUUGUAAUUGAUAGCUUUUAUUAUGAAUUCGUCGUAUUUCCAUCUUGGCAUACCCUUGCACAGUAAAUUAUAUAUGUGCACGUUUCGAUUCAGAGAUUCUAAUUACCCUAAUUACAUGAUUAAUUUUGUUUGAUGAAAAUAAUAGUAAACAAGCGUAGUAUGAUUUUCAUUAUGGUUAUACUACAGUAAUGGGAACAAAUAAAAAUAAUAGGUAGUUGAAUGUCAAGUUUGAACUCCUUCUGGGUAUUUUAAUCUAAAAGAGUCAAAUUUGAGAAAUUGGGUAUUGUAAAUAAGAUACAAAGCCUGAUCAUCACGCAGUUCAAACUUUAAUAUCUACUUAUUAUGAACUAAAGGUACUUUGUUGUUGGUAAAGUUAAUUUAAUAUAGGUUUUUUAUUAAUUUUUGUUAGAUAUUUCAUGGCUUUUUAGUUAAUUGACAUGUUUCUUUGUCAUCUAUUUUGAUUUAUUCUAGAUUUCCUUGUCUCAGUGGACUCUACAUGAAUUUCCAGGUAAUACUUUGAAGUCCAUUAGUUUAUUUGGUAUAUUAAACUUAUUUUCUUACUUUUGCAUUUUAUCAUGGCCCAAAUUAAGUAAUAGCAUGUUAAAUAGUGCAAGAAAACAGAUCAUGACUCUGCUGAUUGAGUGCCAUAUUAUUUGUUGUUCUAGAUCAGCAUGGUUCAAAAUCUUGUACUUGAGUUUCUUGACAUAUUCUUCUUUUUGGUUAUUGCCUAUAAUUAGUACCUCUUUAACAGUUGAUCCUUUUCUACAGAUGGCCAACACUGAGGAAUGUAUAGAUGGACAGUUCACUGGGAACCUAGGAAUAAUUUUGAUAAGGUAAAUGUCUUCCAUACCCAACAUUUUUUUCAUGUGAUUUCAAUAGAUACCUAAACACUGGAUUCUAAAUGAUUUAUUAUUGCUCUUCUUCAAGUUUUUCUUUUCAUUUGCUUUUAUUCAAAGUUCUCAAAUAUUCAUGUUAGUAGUAAAUAAGUUGGAGAAUAUCUUCAUUAGGUCAAUAUAAAAUAACAAAUUAUUAGACUGCAUAACAUUAGUUCAAUUAAAAAAGGCUUUUUUCUUGUAUUAAUAAAGGGUAGAUAGAAAGUGGAUAUUAAUUUAGGGUUUUUCAUCCUUUAUUUCACCCGUUUAAGUUGUGUUGGAAGGUUGUAGAUUAGAUUAGUUCCUAGGUUUCACACUAACCUUCUUUUCAUACGAAAUUAAUCUCAUCUUUAGCUUUUUAAUAUUUGUGUUUGUAAUUGAUAGCUUUUAUUAGGAAUUCGUCGUAUUUCCAUCUUGGCAUACCCUUGCACAAUAAAUUAUAUAUGUGCAUGUUUAGAUUCAGAGAUUCUAAUUACCCUAAUUACAUGAUUAAUUUUGUUUGAUGAAAAUAAUAGUAAACAAGCGUAGUAUGAUUUUCAUUAUGGUUAUACUAUAGUAAUGGGAACAAAUAAAAAUAAUAGGUAGUUGAAUGUCAAGUUUGAACUCCUUCUAGGUUUUUUAAUCUAAAAGAGUCAAAUUUGAGAAAUUGGGUAUUAUAAAUAAAAUACAAACCAUGAUCAGCAUGCAGUUCAAACUGUAUAGUCAGAUAGACCAAAGAGGACACCCCCUACGUUUACCAGAACCCCUACAGCUAUAAAAUCCCUCCCAUACAAAAAGUAAAAAGAAGGGAAAAAACCUGCAAACAAAACCAGCUAGGAGCCCAUUAUCGGUUACCAGUGUAAUCUGAGGACUGUAAGAGCUGCUACAGUCACAAUAACCAGCCAAUUUUUCCCCUAAACUUCAUUUUUUGAAGGUUCUUUCAACAACCUUGCGUCUUGUCAUUAAAUAUGGAGAAUUGCUAGGGAGCUGAAUUUCAAACAGUCAAACAGUUCAAGCACCUAAAGCUCACUCAUUUUCAUGAAACGAAAUUAUUCACGUAAAAAGUUGAGACAAGAUGUGAAGAAAGAUUAAAGUAAGAUAAACUGGCGAAGCACUGUACAACAAAGAAUAAAAUAUUAUCUACCCAACGAGAUCCUGGAUGAAGAUUUUUGGUCUAGAUACACAAAUCUUUCUUGAACUAUAAAUAUAUGUCCGUGGGAGUGUGAAUAGCGCAACGAUUACCUGAACGGUACUCUGGCAUUAAUCUAGAGAGUAGAACUUUUUUAUUUGCAAAUCUCCAACCAAGAUGUCCAAUUCUCCCUCCGAGAACAGAGAGGUUAAUUAACUUCCUCAUAUCAUGAAUAUUAUUUGCUGCUCUAUGACUUCAAAAGCCAGGAAUGCAGGAAAAUAGAAAUACUAAGAAAGGAGCAAAAGCUGUUUAGACCAUACUUAUUUCAUUCCAAUAGCAUUUUUUAUUUUUUUCUUUUGGAAUACUGAGAAGCCUAGCUUGUGGUAUUUCAAAACUGUUUAGAAACAAAGCAUGGCUUAAACUUUUGCAUCGAAUCCUAAUUUUAUAUUUUCCUGGCUGACGGUUUUUGGUACUAAUAAAAUCUGAUUUAUUGCUUCAUUGAUUGUACCAUCUAUGAGACCUAAAGGAAUUGGCUUGAUAUUAUUAUGAUUGUGUGCAACAUAUCUGAGUUGUAUUUUUCUUAUAAGUCAUUAUUAGUUUUCGGGUUAACGACCGUCUCAAGGAUAGCUACCUGAGGGGAUGUGGUAGGCUUAGCUUUUGGUGAGUAGGAGCUAUUGGGUGAAAAUAUAUGUGCUAGAUGCUGGUGCCUAGGAACAUGUAUGAGACUUUUUCAACUAUCUUUCGCUGGUUUUAUUUUAUAUAGCUUUUAACAAUUGUCCUUUAUAUUGAUUUUCUACUAAAAAUGUGGAUUGAAUUCGACUCAAGUGUUCGUUGUAUGAUAAUUGCAGAUUGCCAUUUUAAAGAUUAUUUGUUGGUGAAUUGUAAGCGAUCAUAGAUACCAGGUAAUAUUUCUCAUUGCUUCCUUGAACGCUUUAGUGUUGUUAUUGUGUGUUUUUGUAUGUAUGUAUUUUGUUGCCAUUAAACUGAUUGUCAACAAUAAAUGCAAGGUUGCAUUUUUUUUUUUUGGUGCUUGGUUCAAUACCCUUAAUGGAUGUAGCAAUUUAACAGGAUACGGGUAGCAAAUGACUCAUAAUUACUGGUCGGAUUAUGCUGUGGUUUAGGAAAUAGGCAAUAAAUGUGUUAGCAACAAAUGUUAGCAAAGCAUAAACUACUAAUGAAGCAAAGCAUAAACAUAAUUACUAAUGGAUAUUUAUGUUGUUAAAUGAAGCAAAGCAUAAACAUAAUUACGACCUAUCCUGUUAAAUGAAGUAAAGCCAAUUCUGCUGUGGUUGCAAAUAUAUAUUUGAUUGUAACAUGUACGGUGUACCUUAAAUCAACAUUUUCUAAUCCAUUAGUAGUUUAUGCUUUGCUUAUUUUAUAACCAGUAUAUCUAAGCCAAUCUCAAUGGCUGGUUACAAUGUUUAUAUAUUUUAUUAUAUUUCCAUCUUGGACACCAAUGAAUAGGCAGUGAACUGGAUAUUCUUUUUUUUUUUGUGUUUCUUAUUAGUAGUAAUUAGUAACACUGUUAUGUGUAGACAGUCUUUGUUGAGUUUUAGCUUAUGUCAAUUGUAAGUUACAUUGAUUGCUAAUUUUGGAAAUUUAUAAAUAGCAAGAAUGGUUUUGAUAGGUUUGGUGUUAGCUUGGAAGUAUUUAGUGGUUUUGAUAAGUUUGUUUAUGUGUUGUACUUUGGAUGCUUAAUGAUUUCAAAAUACUAAUGCUGGCGUAUUUUAUAAAGGUGAAAAAAUUAGGUAGCAAGGUGAAAAAAUUAGGUAGCAACCCUUGACGUCUUUGUGCCUGGAUAAACAAACAUAUGAUUUAACAACUCCGUAGAUUAAAAGCCUGCAUAAUAUAAACUACUCAGCCUAUAGUCAUACCAUUACUGAUUUCUUAAAGCAUUGAGCUUUCCGUGCUCAUUUUUAUAAUAAGUAUAUAAGCUCUGUACAAGCUUUUUUCUGCAAGGAAGCAGAAGCAGUAGAAUGAACAGAGAUCAGCCUGUUCCACACCUGACACCUUCUUAGUGAACCUGCACUGAAUUAAUGUGUGGUAUAGAUUCUUCUGCCUCUUUACAUAACACACAUCAUUUAGAGCUUCUGUCUACAAUAUUUAGAACUUCUAUCUGCUAUCAAUGGAUGCUUUUGAUUUGGAAAGUAGUAAAAGUAGAAAUGGUAGACGUACAUGUUUUUAAAAUCGAAUGACUUUAGAAUAAAAGGAUUGUUCUUAAUGGCAGGUAUAAAUAAAAUUCACUUUAAAAUGGGUAUUGCGAUAUUCAGAACUUCUAUCUGCUAUCAAUGGAUGCUUUUGAUUUGGAAAGUAGUAAAAGUAGAAAUGGUAGACGUACAAGUUCUUAGAAAUCAAAUGACUUUAGAACAAAAGGUUUCUUUUUUUAAUGGAAGGUAUACAUAAAAUUCACUUUAAAAUGGGUAUUGCAUCAUGUUACCAAUUUUUAAGUUUUUAUCAUAUGCCCGUUAUUCAAAAGUUUCUCAAAAUAAAUUUAAUUUGGCAAGGUUGUUAACUCUAUAAAUGUUCCAAAAAAUUCAGUUUCUACUAUUAAGAACCAUCUGACUGUUGUUAACUCUAUAAAUGUAUAAAUAAUAUAACCUAUAUUUUAUUUACUAUCAACCAAAAUAUUCUUCUGACCAUUCUUGCUGUGAUUCUUUCUUAUUUUUUCAUGUACAGAUUAAUCUAAGGUAAAGAGAAAUGGAUAUAAAUAACCCAGAAAUAUUUUGCAUAUGUUGCGAGGAAUAUGGACAUGAAUCCAGAGUUUGCCAAUGCCCAUAUAUGGAUUUGAAUGUAAAUGACAAAGACUACAUCAAAUUCAAAUAACGAAGAACAAAUCCACACACGUGGACGAUAUGAGCUGAAAGAUAAGGUACAUCUUCUCUUUUUUCUAUUGUACUUUAAAAUUUUAAUCUAUAUUAUAACUUCUGAUGCAUCAGCUUACAAGAAUGAAUAUCAAAUAAAAUGUAUAAUCAUAUCAGAUAAAAUGUAUAUAACCAGAGGGACAGGUGUUUAAAGAAGCACUAAAAUCUGGACAGAUGUUACUAUUGCCGAUUAAACUUUGUUGCUUAAUUGCCUAAUCUGGAAAAGUGUUUCAAGAUUAUACCUUCUCUCCAUUUGAGUGAUUCAUGGUGAUAACUUAUAAACACAUUAUUAAGUUUGAUUAUUAACACUGGUUUAUUGAUGUAUCUUUUGACAACCUAGGUAGUGUGGACAAUGGGUACAAAUACUACUAUAUUGGAAAUAUAGAGCAUUGUCUAUGGAUAUCACAUUAAGCUUACUACAUGACUGCAUGGAAACUACUACAUCAUCUAUUAAUUGAAUAUGCUCAGGUACUCUUCUGCACUCUUAUAUCCCACUCUUCUCCUCUAUCUUUUAAGCAUGAAUAAAUAAUUAGAUAUGUUUCGGGUUAAAAGGAGAAAAUAACACUGCAGCCAUAUUGAACCAAAAAGCUGGGAAUAUUUUUUUCUCUUUAUUUACUAAAGUAUUGAUAUGGAACAACUGAUAAGAAACAUCGAUUGCUGAUUAAAUACCCUUUAAAAUCUAAUCGAAAAGAUUAACAAAGGCCUAUUAGCUCAGUCGGUUAACGAUGCAAUGCCAUAUACAAGAGUUUUUAUAUGCUUUUCAAGGGAUGACACCGAUUAUUUCAAACCCUUUCUUGGAAACAAUCUAUGUAUGGUUUGGUGGUCUUGCUAUUAUUCUCUGACCAGUAUUGUUGUAGGUGAUGUACUGGCUUUAAUGGUAUCAAGUAUAUGGCCAAUCAGUGUACCAUUUGAUAGACUCGCUAUUCUUUUCUGUUUUAUGCAAGUCUAUGUUUCCGCUUACUGAUCACCUCAAUAUUGGAAAAACAAAAAUCAAACUCUCCUUAAAUCUGUUUGUGUGGGAAUUGUCAAUUUUAUUUGGCCUCUCCUAUACUAUAACAUCCUUGGCCAUACACGAUGAAAACAACAAUGCUAUAUUGGACAUGUCACAUGCUAGAAUGUUCUUGUUUUCUUAGUUAUGACUUUUUUAGUCCAAAAAUAUACUCACAAGAUGUGACAAUAAGGCUUCAUUACAGAAGAAUUUUAUCUUAGUCUCCGAAUCUGUAAGAAUUCCAUUUAACAGCUUUGGAGAUGGAAUCAAUGACUUCAUUGGGCAUCAAGCUGAUUUUGUCUUGGUCUCUGAAUCUGUGAGAGCUACAAGCAUACUUCACAUUCUUUUUAACUUAUCAUAUUGCCUUAUUUUUUUCUUUAACUUAUCGUAUUGCGGAUCGGUAACAAGGUUGGUAUUGCUCUCUUUCCCACCAUUGAGGUACCCCCAGCUAUCCUGUCUUACGUAUUCUCUUCCCGAACUAAUUGUCUAAGAGGUAUUUAUGUAGUUUAUAUUUAUUAUAUGCCAGUGUUUGUGGCACUCAGUUUUUCUUCUGCUUAAGGUUCAUGAGAUUGGCUUCUGGCAUUAUUUCAUGAUUACUCAUCCAGGACAUUACUCAUCCAGGACAUCACUACAACAUCGAGUAGAGGUGACAUUACCACUAAUGUCCAGUUGGACGAGUACUAUAUCCGAUAGCUUCAUUACUUUCGAUGGAGGCUUCCAGAUGACCCUCUUGCCUGGUGGCAUGUACAUGGUUGCCAUUGUGACGUAACAAACAAUGUAGCAGAAUCCAAGUUGUUCCAUCUGGAAAUUCUAUUAGAUGGAAUCACUAUCAACGAUCUGAGGAAACUAUUGAUCACCUUUUCUUUCAAUGCAUGUAACUUCGCAACUCAUCUAUGGUCACAAGCUGAAGUUAUGGGAUGACUCACAUGCAGCAGUUGGGUUGAUCUCUCAAACACAACCCCAUAAAUGUUUUCCUUGAAUGCUAUUGGCUGCCACCUCUCCCAGGAGUGAUUAAACUGAACUCAGAUGGGUCUUGUGCUGGAAACCCAGGUCUGGCAAGUUGGGGAUGCUUAUUUAGGGAUCACACUUGCAAGGUCAGUGGUGUUUUGAUUGGAGGUUGAGGCAACGACACUAACUACAAUGCAGAAGUUGCAACAACUAUACAUGGGCUUGAAAAAGCAGCUGGACAGGGCUGGUUACAGAUUAACGUUGAAAGUGAUUCUACUUCAGUGAUGCAAGCACUCAAUAAGGACAAAGUACACUAGAAGCUCCGGCGUAGCAGAUGGGCUCAUAUCAAAGAUAAAUUUGGUUUAGAUUGUAAUUUAAUUGCCAAUACUGCCAACUGGUAAGCUUUGAUCAGAACUUUUUUGUGGUUUUUCUUAUUCACAUAAAAGUUUAUAGUUCGGGUCAAUAUGUGUAGGGGUACUACAUACUCCGACCAAUCAAAAGCAGCCACGUGGCACAGUCAUCCAUCCGUCAGGUCGCCACGAUCUCUACCCGCUCGCAGCUCGACUAAAGCGACCAGACUACACAACGACCAGCGACCUGCUAUUCACACGUUCUCCUAUUCAAUGCACAGAAUAUUCUCAUCAGUUACAUAAUUAAUUCACAGGGAUGAUCCUCGCGCGUUACACAUUUAAUCCUCAUUAUGAUGGCGGAGAAUCUGCAAGAUCCACGAUCCACGCCCUUCUAUCUUCUAUAUAAACAGAACUACGAUGGCUUGAUCUCUAAGUUCAAUUCCCCCGAGCUAGAGUACGUAGGCAAUCUCGAUCUCAACGAGGUGCAGCCACCCCAAUCUCAAACAUCCCCAUUUGGUCAAGUCUCCCUAGCGACCUGACCCAGCAGUGCAUUAAUCUAGAAAUAGGUUAAUACAUUUGGCGCCGACUGCAAGGAAUUCGAAAUAAUCGAAAACCCAAACCCUCCCACCCAAAAUCAAAAAUUACCUGUUCAAAUGACUACCACAGAAUUAACUAUCAGUGAUCUGCAUGCUCAAAUCACAGCUUUGCAGGAAGAAAAUGCACGCCUCAAAGCUGCACAAACCAACCCCCAGCAGGGUGAAAGUAGCGGACAUGGAGUCGUUCCCACUGACGAUUCCAAUCAGAAAUUUGAGCAACUCAGUCAACAACUGGCGGAGUUCAAAGCAUCACAGGCCCUUCUCCACCGUUCCAAGAGUCACACUGCAGAGCAACUUGCUGUUCAGUCACUCCAGCAGUUCCAGGAGUCUCCUUUCUCUAAGGAGAUCCUGGAACACGAUUUACCGAACAAGCUGAAUGCCCCCAAAUUCGACCAGUAUGCAGGAGUCGGAGAUCCAACCGACCAUGUCAAGGGAUUCCGGAAGUCCCUUCCUCUGAUCAAAGAGGAUCAUCUUUUGUGUUUGCUGUUUCAGUCCAGCCUCACCGGACCAGCUCUCGACUGGUUUCAUCGAUUGAAGCCAGGAUCCAUCAACUCGUUUGCAGAGCUUGAGAAACAAUUCGUCAUCUUCUACAUCCACAAUAAGAAGCGACCUGUUACCAUUGACUCCAUCUUCAAAGUCAAGCAGAAAGAUGGACUUCGCAAAGGAGCAUGAGACCUUUGCAACUAUUGCUUUCUCUCACGGACUGAUCCAAGGGUCCGACCUUCACAAGUCUCUGGCAAUGAAGAGACCUUCAUCACUUGACGAGCUCUACCUAAAGGUAGAUCGUUACAUAAAGCUAGAAGAAGCCCUCACUGGGAGGGAGAAGAACCACGUAGUCAGCAACAUUGAGGCUGGCUCAAACAAACGACCUCGAUCAGAUGGAAAGAGGUUCAAAGCUAAGUCGCUGCCUACGGAGCAGCGAGAGUAUCACCGCUUUACGCGACCAGCCGGUUAUAUCUAUGAAAGGGUCAAGCACAACCAUUGGUGCAAGAUUCCUGCCUUCACACAGUUGGAGGAUACAUCUGGUCGCCCGUACUGCAAAGUCCAUAAAGUACGGUGUCAUCAGAUUGAUGAUUGUCGCGUCUUGAAGCGCGCACUUCAAUCCUGGGCCGAUGAGAAAAGGCUCAACAAUUGGAUCCUUGGAAGGAAUGAGGAAUCCACAGGCAAACGGGUAAGGAAGGAGUCCAGAACGCCUCCCCGUUCCCCAAAAAGAAAUCACAGCAAGGCCAGAACGGCUUCAACAAGUCCAGCACGCAGCAGAGGGCGUAGCCUCUCCCAACGCUUAGGUCCAACAGGCGACCUACGCGACCACAUUAACAAGAAGGUCGCCAACAAAGUUGACAGCGACAGCGAGUCGGAUAGUCAUGUGGUCUACAUGAUUGAUGAAUCUCACCACACCCCUGUCUCUCGAGACAAAAAGAGACGAGUGGAACAUCUCCACCAUGUCUACUCUAUCACCGGCCGAGCAGCUCGUUUCAACAUCCCUGCCCGCCAAGAGACUGACAUCACCUUCACUGAAGACGAUCUCAACAAGGUCGUUACCCCACACAACGAAGCCCUAGUCGUUGAACUCAGAAUAGCAGAUUAUACUAUCAAGAGGGUAUUUAUUGACCCAGGGGCAUCAUGCAACAUUCUCAUGUACAGGACCUUCAAGGACAUGAGGCUGCCCGACUCAGUGCUCAUCCCAGACUUCACACCGAUCCUUGGCUUCAAUAGUUCAAGGGAAGACCCUAAGGGGGAGAUCCUUCUGCCCGUCACUGUAGGCAGAUGGGAAGACAAGGUCGUUGUAACCAGCAAGUUCAGCGUCCUAAAUAUCGCAAGCAAAUACAAUGCGAUUCUGGGUCGAAAGUGGAUCCACGCUAUGAGAGGUGUGCCGUCAACUUAUCAUCAGGUAUUCCGCUAUCCCGGCCCUUAUGGGAUAAUGGAACUCCGCGGCAAUCAGAACACCGCACAGGAAUGCCACGGCAUUAUUGAAGCUGUUCCAUCGUCAAAACCAUCCACCUCUGGAGUCAAGGAUGCUGAUGUCAAAGGAAAGAGCCUAGUCCCAACAGAGGCUCAGGAGGGCAACAAGUCAAAGAGCCCAUCCAAGGAAAAGGCUGAACCUGCUAAAUAGCAAUUACAGAAGGAGCAAGCGAGCUCCCCCAAGCUUAGUCUCGGAAGCACCGAUCCAGGCGUGCGCGUUAACAUUGGGUCAGAUGAGGACCCAAGGUACGUCUAUGUAGGUUCAGAAAUGGAAGAAGAUAAGUUCGCUAAUUUUGUAAAUUUUCCUUCAAUGAAUAAAGAUGUUUUUGCUUGGUCGUAUAUCGAUAUGCCCGGAAUAGAUCCAUCAAUUGCAUGCCAUAAGCUACGGGUCAAUCCCAAUUAUCGACCUGUCAAGCAGAAACCAAGGAGACUUGCUCCCAAAUUCCACGAAGCCGUCAAUGAAGAGAUCAAUAGACUCAAGCAGGUCGGCUUCAUCAGAGAAGUCGAUACUCCAGACUGGCUAGCCAACAUAGUCCCAGUCUUAAAGAAGAAUGGAAAAACAAGGGUCUGCAUCGACUUCACAAGCUUGAAUAAAGCUUGUCCUAAAUAUUCAUUCCCACUGCCACGAAUCGAUAGGCUAGUCGAUCAGACAUGCGGUUUUGAGCUACUGUCAUUCAUGGACGCAUACUCAGGGUAUAACCAGAUCCCAAUGUACGAGCCUGAUCAAGAAAAGACCUCUUUUACAACUGAGCAAGGUAUUUUCUGUUACAAAGUCAUGCCAUUCGGGCUAAGGAAUGCAGGGGCGACCUACCAAAGACUGGUCACCAGAAUGUUCGACGACCUCCUAGGUCGAACAAUGGAGGUCUACAUUGAUGACAUGCUAGUGAAAAGCGACAAAGAACGAGAUCAUUUGUAUAACCUCGACCAGGCAUUCCAAAGAUUAAGGCAAUACAGAAUGCGUCUUAAUCCAGAAAAGUGUCUGUUCGGGGUCGCAUCAGAAAAAUUCCUAGGCUACCUAGUCACCAGACGAGGCAUUGAAGCAAAUCCCGACCAAAUCAGAGCCCUGGUCGACAUGCCAAGUCCAAAAACAAAGAAACAAAUCCAAAAACUCAACGGCAUGGUGUCAGCUUUGAACAAGUUCAUCUCAAGAGCAUCAGAUAAGUGCAGACCAAUGUUUCAUAUCCUAAAGAAGGGGGCUACAUAUGAGUGGACAGAAGAAUGUGAGAAGGCCUUCAAUGAUCUCAAGGCAUAUCUGUCUACUCCACCAGUUCUAACAAGGCCCAACGAUGGAGAUGUACUCGGCGUUUACCUCGCAACAUCAGAUUUCGCGAUCAGCGCAGUACUCUUUAAAGAAGAUAACCAGGUCGAGCGACCUAUCUAUUUCACAAGCAAAGUCUUACAGCAGGCCGAAAUAAGGUACACACCUCUAGAGAAGUUAGCAUUAGCACUACUUUACGCUGCAUGCAAAUUCAAGCCUUAUUUCCAAGCACACACUGUAAAAGUAAUCACCGAUCAGCCAUUACGCCACAUACUGGAAAAGAAAAACAAAACAGGUCGUAUGGCUCGAUGGGCAGCCGAGCUGGGUGAUUACACUUUCGAGUUCGUUUCACGACAGGCCGUCAGGGGACAGGUCGUCGCAGACUUUUUGGUAGACUAUCCAGCAGAGGAUGUCAAUUGGGAACCAGAACCUGAAACAAGGCAAGUCCAAGACAACCCCCCAGAUACUUGGCAGCUGUAUGUAGAUGGUUCCCACAAUUCCAAUGGAAAUGGAAUUGGUAGUGUGCUAAUCUCUCCUGAAGGGUCACAGCUCGAAAGAGCAACUCGUCUGGACUUUUCGACCUCAAACAACGAGGCCGAAUACGAAGCACUCAUACAGGGCCUAAAAAUGGCCCUCGACUUGCAAGCAGUUCGUCUCAAGGUGUACAACGAUUCACAACUGGUAGUCAAUCAGAUUACUAACAAUUACCAAAUCAAUGGGAUCAACCUAAUCAGGUAUGCCAGCAAAGCAAAGGAGCUCAUCAGCAAGCUCAGCUAUUUCACAAUUGAACACAUACCCAGAGAUGACAACAGACAUGCUGACUCACUGGCAUUUCUAGCAUCUAAGAUCGAGUCAGACAGACCGCGGGCCCUAACUAUAGCAAUCAACUCACAGCCCGCAUAUCUCUUCAAGGAAGAGGAUAUUCAUCAAAUCUCCGAUCUACUAGAAACAACUCCAGUAGACAUCCAGGGGACUUGGAUGGAGCCUUUCAUGGUUUAUCUUCAAACUGGUGUCCUACCAUCCGACAAAAAGGAAGCCAGUCGAUUGCUGCAUAAAGUCACGAUGUACAAAAUCCAUGAGGGCAAACUGUUCAGAAAAUCUGCAACGGGAUUGUUAUUACGAUGCCUGAUUCCAAAGCAAGGCCAGAUGAUAUUUCAAGAAAGCCAUGAAGGUGAAUGUGGAAACCAUUCCGGUGGGCGUACCUUAGCCCAUAAAGCAAUCUCUCAGGGAUACUUCUGGCCAAGAAUGAAGGAAGAUGCGAAGAAAUUUGUUUUGAAGUGCAAAGAAUGCCAGCGAUUUGCUGAUAAGCAACACCAGCAUCCGAAUGAUCUCAUCAACAUUACUGCACCAUGGCCAUUCCACAUGUGGGGGCUUGAUAUCAUGGGCCCCCUCAUCAAGGAAAAGAAGUCUGAGAAGAGGUUCGUUCUAGUAGCCGUCGACUAUUUCACUAAAUGGGUGGAAGCUGUUGCCUUAACCAAUGUAACACAGGUAGAUGUCCAAAGAUUUAUGUGGGAAAAUAUCAUCACAAGGUUCGGACUACCUAAACGGGUAGUCACAGACAAUGGCACUCAGUUCGUUGGCAAAAAUAUAAAAAAAUUCUACGACCUGUGGAAAAUCGAGCAUUCAAGGUCAACUCCUAGAUACCCGCAAGCCAACGGCCAGGUCGAAGCUGCAAAUCGACAGAUUCUAAACAAUUUGAAGAAGAAGCUCGAAGACCAGCAUGAUCAAUGGCCACAACAGUUGGAGAACAUCCUAUGGGCUUAUAGGACAACUCCUCGCACAUCCACAGGGAUGUCACCAUUCAGUCUUUUCUAUGGAGUUGAGGCCGUUAUUCCCACUGAAUUAACAUUUGGAACGACCAAGUCUCUUCUGGUCGACACGGAGCUCAACAAUCAGAUCUGGUCGUUUGGAGUCGACCUCCUCGAAGAGCGACGUAACCACGCCACUAUAAAGCUCGAGCAAUACCAACAGAGACUCAAGCGAGCUUAUAACAAAGGCGUGCGACCAAGAACUUUCCAGCCAGGGGAACUAGUCUUAAGAAGAAUGUUCAGUAACAAAAGAAAGGACACUAUCGGCAAGCUCAACGCCAAUUGGGAAGGUCCUUACAUUAUCACAAAAGUCCAAAGCAACGGUUCUUAUCGUCUUCAGACACCAGAAGGGGAGAUCGUUAAGAACCCGUGGAACGCUUUUCAUUUAAAGAAAUUUUAUCAGUGAAAUGUAAGCAUCCAUUCAUUGCAUUUCAAUCUAUAAAUUCAAUUUUGCCUUCAUCUCUGCUCAAACAUGAAUGGCUACUAAAGGUCUAAUCCCUCGACCUACAAAUUAUCAAAACUCUAGUCCCUCUGAUAAUUUAAAAGUUUGUUAAGUUAAAUCACUAGAAACUUAACUUGGUGCAUUGGUCAUUCUCUUCCCACGACCCAAGCACAAUUAUGUUGAAUGCGACCUCAACCCACAAUCAGGUCGAGCAAAUGUCACAUAUUGUUUGCAAGUCCAUUCAAGCAGACAAAACGACAUGAGCAACAAUGCAAGGUAAAUCGUUGAAUUAACUUUUUACUUUAUGAGAUUUUAACAAUUACAGGUACAACCAAAAUAGAAUCAAGGCAUACAAGAGGAACUGUUUCAGUACGUCCUGCUUGCAACCAUUCAUCUCGUCUACCUGCCUUCUGAACGAGCUACCAGGACUUCCUGGAAACUAGCUGGUCAAAAGAAAUCUAUACAAGGUCAUCGAAGUAAAAAACUGAUUACUGAUGGCAAAUACAAAAGACAAGGAGUUCUCCACUCAAGCUCUCAGAAUUACAAGGGGGUUCUCAACAAUAAGCUCUAGAAGACAUACUGCAAGAACAGGGAGUGCAAGAAGCAAACUUCGCACAAAGUUACCCAAUACAAGAAAGGGAAACCAAGGUUACCCAAUACAAGAAAGGGAAACCAAGGUUACCCAAUACAAAGAAGGGAAACAAAGGCCAGCUCACUGCUGCACAGACUGGUCGCCAGAAGCAUCAACUUCAAUAAGGGCUCCAACGACCUGGUCACUAGGGCCCAUCGAGGUGUCCUGAGCUGGCGCCGAAGUCUCUUCAACACCACCUCGCGUCUCCUCUCCUUCGGGCGACCCCGUCAUAGCUUUGACCAGUUGCUCGCAGUAGGCCUUCCACGCUGCUUCAUUCUCCUGACAAACCCUCUGCCAGUACUCAACAGAAAAUUGAGAAGCAGCAUCACGUUCCCUUAACUGCUCCUUCAGAGCUGCGACCUGGGCAUCCCUGUCCUUAACCUUACACUCAGCAACGACAGCAAUGUUCCUCGCCUGCUCGAGCUUUUCAUUGAGAGCCUUCAACUCAAUUUCAGCUUGAGCACCAAUCUCAGCAACCAGAUGCACCUCCUGGAAGCUGGCAUUGAGCUGCAACCAACAAACGAAAUUUAGACCAAAUAUCAAAGCAUAACCAAAACAAAUACGACUUACGAUCACACUCACCAAAGACAGUGCCCCGUUUAUCUUUGAACAGGUCACCAACAAAGGCUGCGACUUCACCACUCGGGCAUCAGCGUCCAGGACGAUACCCUCAUUCACAGCCCGGGCAACACAAGGGUCAUCAAUAGCACUGUCGUUCUCAUACACGACAUGCUUCUCUCCUUGCCCGUCCAAAUAAUCGAACGGCCCAGGGCGGAAUUCAGACAAAAUACCUUUGCCUUUCUGCGAAGGCCGAGCAGCAGUCUUCCUGGACAACACAGACAUUCCAGGAGACGUCACAACCAUUGAAGAAACAGGAGCUGGCAUAGCUGGGAACUCCAUCAGCUUAAGGUUCCCUGAGAAGGACCUCUUCUUCCCAGCCAAUGCACCCACCUUAGGAAGUGAGGGGGGUGGACCUGAGACUGGAGGGCUCGCCACGGCUCCAGCUUGGCGAGAGCUACCUACAGCCCGCUCCCUCUCCGCAGGCAGCUCCCUCUCCACAGAUCGUUCCUGCCCCACAGGUCGAUCCUUGUCAACAGGUCGUUCCUUCUCCGACCUCCGAGGAGCACCAACAGAACGCUCUCUUUCAACUUGCUUCGAGCUACCACUUGCUCGUUCACUGUCACCAGCUCGCGAACUGCUACCAGUUCGCCCACCACCUGCUUUGUGCAGAGAAGACAUGAAUGUUUUCUUCAAAGCUUUCCUCCUCUUGAGCUCUUCCCAAACAGUUUUUGGACCACCUUUAGGAAUAAAAUGCUCCUUUAGGUGAGGCAGAAAUGAGAUCUUCCGCUCGUCGCUCAACUUACCAAAGCAGUUCAGAGCAGAUUGCAGAUCGUUUUUUCUAAUCAAUUGAUCGUCCCGGAUCGCUGCAACAAAAAAUACAAAGACAUCAAGUUCAAAAACUGGAAGACGAACCAACAAUCCUAGUACUACAGACAACUAACUUACGAGCGUCAUUCCUAAUCGUAUGACGCAACUGGAUAUCCCCUUCAACAAUCGGCCCAGUGAACAGCAUGGGAUCUUUCCACCAUGGCUCGCUACUCACUGGAUAAAUCAAAGGCAAACGGUCUGGCCUAACCUGCAUGUUAUAGCCAGAGAGUUCAACCUUUGAGGAGCGUUUGAAGCAAAAGUGGUUCUGUACAUCUUUCGGCGUAAUGUUCCACCUAUGCAAUUUGUUGAGGUCCUCAAUUACCCUCAUAUUCCGCCAAAAAUUCCCAUUCAUCUGGCAGGGGGCUCGACCAAUGGCAUUCAACAGGUCGACCACCAAUUCAGACAACGGCAACCUCAGCCCAGCACGGAAUUGGUUCAAAGUCAAUACAGUAGAUGAAGGAUUAUUAGGUCGAUAGUCAGGAGAAAGUAAGCGGUCUCCAAGAAAUCUUAUCUCUAAAUUCCUAAUCGACCUAAGCUCAUAAUGCCUCCUAACAGCAAAAUGCCUAUGCACAUAAUUCAUAUUCACAACUCUACACAAUGUGCCAUUGUCAUCCUCAACCAUCUCAUCAUCAGAAGAAUCUGGACCAUGAGAACCACUACUCUGGGGGCUAUCUACCUUCUCAUCGGGAACGAGAGACGGAGGGUCAGAAUGAGUACUCUCAGACUCAUACUCCUCAAGUCCACCAUCACUCAAGUGAUCAUUUUGCGAGUCACUACCCUCAGACAUUACUCUCAAACAAUACAGAAGACAACAGAAGAUGAAAAAGAAAGAAAAUAAACAAUCAAAGAAAAGAGAAGAAAACAAACCUCACGAGCUCUCAAAGUUCUUCAGAUCGCAAGGCAAAAGCGGCAGCAAUUCAAAUAAAGGCAAGAUAAGUAAACCCUUAUCAACAUAACUACAAUUUAUAUACUGUAACUCAAGCAUUUCCAGCCAUCGAUUCAAAACAAACGAACGGCUGAGAUCGACCAAAGGAUCCAUAUGCAGUACAGUUAUUCUCCACUCACAAAACGGUUCGCAUCCACCGUUGGAUAGAUCCACGUGCAAGACAGAUAGCAAAUCAGGCAAUACGUGCGUCAGUUGCCAUAACCACACAUCUAACUGCUCGAGGAAACUCCUCCACUUCCCCGUAACAGCGCCAUGAUUACCAUAGACAGCGCUGCAUGACUGCCACAUCAGCAACUUCAAAAAAGCAAACUACAAAUCAGCAUCGAUAAGAGUAAUUAGUCUUUUCAGCCCGACUUCCAUAGUCGACCUAAAAAGAGGGGGCUCAUGUAGGGGUACUACAUACUCCGACCAAUCAAAAGUAGCCACGUGGCACAGUCAUCCAUCCGUCAGGUCACCACGAUCUCUACCCGCUCGCAGCUCGACUAAAGCGACCAGACUACACAACGACCAGCGACCUGCUAUUCACACGUGCUCGUAUUCAAUGCACAGAAUAUUCUCAUCAGUUACAUAAUUAAUUCACAGGGAUGAUCCUCGCGCGUUACACAUUUAAUCCUCAUUAUGAUGGCGGAGAAUCUGCAAGAUCCACGAUCCACGCCCUUCUAUCUUCUAUAUAAACAGAACUACGAUGGCUUGAUCUCUAAGUUCAAUUCCCCCGAGCUAGAGUACGUAGGCAAUCUCGAUCUCAACGAGGUGCAGCCACCCCAAUCUCAAACAUCCCCAUUUGGUCAAGUCUCCCUAGCGACCUGACCCAGCAGUGCAUUAAUCUAGAAAUAGGUUAAUACAAUAUGCUAUAUGGAAUCAUGAUGAUUCUUUUUAUCAAUAGACAUGAUUCUACAAGGUUUAUUUGUUUGCUUGAAGUUACUCAUCUCAUUAAUCAUGGAUGUUUCAAUCCAUGAUGUCUUAUUACCUGGACCUAGAAUAAUGCUAAUCAUUGAUACAAUUGCAUAAUUUGGGUAUCAAGUCUAAUCAAUGGUAUAGGCGAUUGAAACCAGGUGCUCGUCUGUGCACAUGGACCGAAGAAAUGCAGAGCACACAUGCUCAGAAAGAAAGGGGGUAGCUAUUGCUUGGAGAUGGAGAGAAGAGUAGUCGAGAAGAAAAAAAAAUGAAGAUAUUUGAAAUUUGAAUACUACAAAGCAACCAAAGAGAAGACUAUGGCAACCAAAGAAAGGCGGUAGCUAUUGCUUGGAGAUGGAGAGGAAUAGUCGAGAAGAAAAAAAAAAAGAUGAAGAUAUUUGAAAUUUGAAUACUAAAAAAACCUAUAGAGAAAUGUGGCGUCGAACAAUUUGUGGCACAUCCUUUGGAGUUAUUUCAAGUUCUCUUAGAAAGGUGUUCUAAGAAUGAAUUUCCAAACAACGAUCAAAGGAUGAAGUGAGAAGAUACUCAUGACUCCAUGAGUCUGAAAGAAAUAAGAAAUGUAUGGGGCUUGAAAUUGAACUUGGCACUCAACAUGUAUCAAAAUCGAACGACAAUGCAUAUGAAAGCAUGUGUGGUCCCACUAAUGCUAAGCAGUUCUCAUCAGAUGAUUGUUCAUUGCUCUUUCGCCCUAUCUGCAUUAAUUAGCUUAUUAAAAUUUGUUCAAUUGUUGUUUUCAACUAAUAUUAAGCUUAUUGCUGUUUACCGAAACUUUGAGACAACAACAUCCUAUUUAAACCAUUUUUAUUCAAUGGAAAAUUCUUGUAUGUUUUGGUUGUUGAUAAAGGAGGGAUUUACUGACUGGACUAAAUAUUGAUGAAUAUGUGGGUGAAGAUAUUCCAAAGUAUAGUACAGAAAAUCAUAGGUGAAAAAAUUCGAAAAUGCCGGACAGAUAUUCACGAAAUAUUCCGGUUUUUAGGAAUUCGGAGCGGUACGGCAUACGAAUAAUAAACGAAAUAUAAACCUCCUCACGCCGCUCGGAUUUUUACUAAUAUUCGUGAAAUAUUUAGGCAAAAUACGAGAUUUACGAAAUUUUUGAUUAUGAAAUUAACACAUUUAUUUUUAAUUCCCACCAAACUAGAACUUUCGAUGAGGUUAUCAAAAAAGGGUCCAAAGAUUAGCAAUAUAAAUAUUUCUUGUUAAUGAAACCUUGGAUUUGUUAAAACUAAACAAACAAAUAGGCACUGGUUGUCUACCUCUCAAUCCAGAAGGCACUAGACGUUUGGAAACUUUCUACUGGGAUGGGGUUCGUGGAACCUCCCUUAUUCUCAAGGCAACAUCCAACCUACCUAUGUUUACCCUCAUUUUUCUUAUGGGAACAUGGGAACCUCCCAAAGUGAUGAUUCCAGUGUACCAUCCUACCAAACCCAACCAGAUUCCAGUGGUUCUUAGUUUCCUAAUAUAGGGAGUUGGUUGGCCCCAAUGACAAGUGGGUCGGACGUGCAGUCAGCUGAUACAUUAAUGCCGGUUCAACAAUACUCGAGAUUUUCUAUCUUUGAAUCAUUUGCUCCGUAUUGUAUGGAUCAAGAUGCAUAUGAUAUGCAUAUUGACCAAUUCAGGUCGUACGAGCAAACAAUGUCAUGGGAAUAUUACUGUACUGAGUUCGUCCCCACACGUAUGCGACUCGAAGCUCAUCGGUUUGACUUGGGGCAUCUAUCAAUCUGGGGUUAGCAUGUCUUUUAUUUUGAUUAUUAAAAUAAAACUAUGGGUUGAGUUGUUAUGAGGUUGUUUGUGUUUAGUUCUUAUAUUAUAAACAAAUAAAAGUUCCGUGAAUAUCCGCCCGAUAUUUACGAUUUUUUCACCUAUGAGUAAAACUAUCUUGUGUAAUAGUUCCGUCUGAGCUUCCUUGUAUGAUUUGUCGCGUGUUUAAUUUGCAAUGUAUGUUUUUCUUUUAAUUAUAAGUUUAUACAUUGAAACCAGAAGAAAAACAUGACAAUAGCAGAAAACCUCCUAAUUUUUCGAAUUUUUUGCGAAUAUUCGCGAAAUAUUUCGUGAGAACCAUUUUUGCCAAACCUCCCAUAUCCGACAUUGGGGUCCGGAUAUUUGCGGAAUAUUCCGGUUUUUCCAAGGUCGGAUAUUCGGAUAUAUUCAAAAUUUUCACAUAUGCAAAAAAUUACAAAUAAUACAGGGAAAGCAAAUACUGUAACCUGUAAUGAUAAUGAAACACUCACUUAAUAUAUCUCUCAAAAGUUAAGGCCAUGGAUCAUCUUGAUUAGAAUAUUCUAUGCUCAGUUACACAUACCAAAAAUGAUUGAAAUAAUCAUUUGAGUAAAUUUGUCUUUAAUGUAACAAAAUUAAGCAAGAGGUCGUUAAUUAUUGUCAUCAUGUCAUGUAUUGUCGCUCACAGUUGGCAAUUAUUUUUACGAAAAUAUUUUACACUAUAAAUAUCAAAACAUUCUUGAAGAAAUGUAUAUAGUAAUAUAAUACAAAGUGUAGUAACCAAAGUAUUGAAAUUGAUGAUUAAUUUAAAUAAAAAUAUAUCAAAAUUAUUUAAACUAGCGUUGCGAAGCAACGGGUACAGCUAGUAGGCUUUCAACCAUAUAACACUAGUUAUACCCGUGGCUUCGCCAUGCUAGUGAUAAUAAAUUUGUAAACUUUUUUUUAUUCUGCAAAAUUGAAAGGAUUUGUAAAUAAUGAUGAUAUGCAUUUACUAAUUAUAAUUAAAAAUAUUUUAAAUUUUGAACUUGUACUAAAAGAAGUUCAUACAACUUUUUUUAGUAAAACUAAUUUUUUUAAUUGUAUCUUCAAAGCUUCUAAGAAAGAUAAAACGUCAAAACAGGGACACAACGACAAUGGAAAUACAACAACAGUAGAUUCAUUUGGCAAAAUUUUAUUUUCAAAAAUGUCUAAAACUUAUUAUGAAUUUUCUUAUAAACAUUAAAAUUUAUAUGUUGUUAUUUUUACAUUCUUAAUAAUACAAGUUGAUGAUAGUAUAUAUUAGUUUCUAUUUUAACUUAUUGAAACUAAUUUUUUUAUUGCAUCUUCAAAGCUUCUAUUUCAUUUAUUUUGUACUAAAAUCACCCUUUGUGUAUUCUGCCGUGUUUUGUACUAAAAUCACCCUUCGAGCCAUUCCGUGUUUUUCACUCUUAGUGCAUCCUCUUAUAGUGUUUCUAACAAUAAUCCAGCUACAUCUCCUCCUUAGUAUUGCAUCUUAUAAAAACUUGCUUUCCAUGCCAUUUAACAGUCAUAGUUCAUUUUUUUUUCGCCAAAGCAAAUAUCAUUAGCACCUAUAAAACAAAUUACAAUGUCUGGGCAACAUGCAUAACCUACAGUGCCAAUUUCCUCCCUCAGGACAUAUCCUCAUGAUUCACAAGUCCCAUACCCUACAACUCAUACAAGUACAAAAAAUAAGACUGAACAAACUGACCAUCUAAC
RNAcentral lists this long non-coding RNA (118714 nucleotides) under Aquilegia coerulea. RNAcentral describes it as "long non-coding RNA (ACOE_LNC002192)". The record is from RNAcentral. Lineage: Eukaryota; Viridiplantae; Streptophyta; Magnoliopsida; Ranunculales; Ranunculaceae.